CUGAAAUCACCUUAAAAUUCAGGUAUCUAAAAUAUAGGAGAAGCGAUAAAGAAAACAACAAAAACACCAUGACAUUCAAUACACUAGCUAGUGACACAAACAUGCACAAUCAAAACAAACAUACAUUACCAUGUGAUAAUAAUGGAAAGAUAGUGAGAAACAAGACACUUCACACAUGAAUUAUUGCUUUCUCGAUGGAUAGGACAAGAACAACAUGCUUGGUUUUCUCAUUUUCAAGGUGUUUGGCAACAUGACGAGUGUACUCUUUGAAUAACUUGUCGAGUAUGCGUUCUCCAAAUUGGCUUAUGACCAGCGGCUCCAUAACUGCUCAUAGGACUUUUACUAUACUAUAAAAGAGAGCUAGAUGAUCUGUUAUGAAGUGAGAAGAAAGGCAGGUCCAGAAUGCCGUUGAUAGGCCUAAGUCCCUCACCUAGAGUCAUCGUCGGAGGAAAAUCGGUAACCUAACCUACAGGAGUAGAAAAUGAAGUAGGUCCAGGUAUGAUCAAGCUCUGUCGUGAGCCGGUGCUUGAACCGUGGUUGAGGCUGGCGAUGCCUCUCACAUUAGCUCCCGGCCGCUAAAAAUAAGGCUAGGCUUGCGAGCCCGCCUUCCCUAAUGAGAAAGAAAACUAGAACUAUUAUAGCCUUUACUAUAAGCUGGGAACUCUUUCUGACUAAAGAAAAAAGGAAGCAAAGCUAUAUUUCGAUCCAAGCCCUAGGUUUGGCUCACGCCCGGAAACCUAUAGUACAAGGGUCGGUGGAGGGGACCCUGAGACCUAUGACUUAGCAAUAUUUUCAUCGCUCCUAAUACUGUUAUGCACAUCAUCACCAUCUGAGUCAUCAUAGGGAUCCCAAUUUAUCUCAAAUACUUUAACAUGAUUCACGUUGAACAACCCAACUUGCUUCACUAUCGCCUCCCCUUCACCAGCCGAUGGUGAGUAGAUCGGAAGAUAUAAUGACUCAUGUUUUCUUUCUCCACAAGACCAUGCAAGUCCAAUUAUUUACUACAAAUUAUAGCCAUUACCUAGUGGCUAGUAUGAGCAGAAAUCGUCGUAGGGAGUUGUCUCUUACCUAGAGUCCCUAGACUCUAUCGUCGUGAUUAUUGGAAGGUCUAAUAUGAGCAGGAAUCCAGAAGUACAAAUAUGGAAAAGAUAAUAUUGGAAUAGGAGAUACAAGUGAGAGUCCUAAAAAAUAGGACAAAAUCUCAAUAUAUAAGAUAGAGUUCUAAGUAGAUCAGAUUAGAUCCUAAGGCAUACAUGUAAUUAUAGGUAGUUGGAUUCUUAUACAACCAGGUCACUAAACUAGACCUAUUAUAUAACCUACUCGUAUUCACUCUUGUAAUUUCCCCCCUCCUUGGACUAAAAAAGGAGAGGCGAGGGAGCCCUCGAGAAUGCAGACCAGAAUAUAAUAGAUCAAUAGCUAUAAUUCUCAAUUCUCGAUUCUCGACAAAUAGAACAUAAUAGAUGUAGGGUAUUAUCUCACGAUGAGAGCUUGAACCAGCCUAAAUUUUGUGUCUCAUGCGCAUUAUACCUUCAAUUCUCUAUCUCGUUACCUACCCCAUAAAUUCACAACUGAGAAAUCCACAACAGAGGGAUCAGAAGCCCACGCCUAUGAAGACUCUGAGCAGAAGGAGUUUACUUUAAGAGGCAUGUUAUAUCCUUGAUCAUAUUGUCUUUACCCAUAUAAUAUUUACUAUUAUGUUCGCAUAUAUGCAUUUGACAAUUAGGUUAACCUGAUCGGACCUAUUAGGUGACGUCUAGUUUUGUUUUCCCUAUAUCUUAUUUACACCUAGUUUAAUUAUUAUUGGGUAGACAUGCUAGUUCUCUACAUGGUUAAUGGGAUAAUGUUAUAUAACAAAGACGAAUAUUAUUUUAGUCACGUGGAUAUUGUUUUAUUAUUGUGGUAUUAUUUUAUAUUUAAUUCAAAUAUGGAGCGACAACCCAAGAAAAAAGUACAACCAUAAUGACUAUUAUGGCUCUAGCUGAUUAAUUAGGGAAACUAAUAUCGGUUAGCCUUAUCAAAAGUGCAAGAGGGGAGGCAUUGCUCAAGUAUAGAUCAUUUCUCGUACUGAUCUGCUCUAUGGCAGCUUUUCGGUGGAGGGAGAUCUAUACCACCUCGACCUAAAACCUUAGCAGGUUACCUCAUACUAGUGGAUCUUUAUAAAGACCUCAUAUUGAACCCUACCAUGCUGCCUUGGAAGAGGUGCAUAGGAGUCAUGACUCCUGGUAAAUAGGUAACACGACUUGUGGGUAAAGAUAUACAACCUCGUAGAGUGUAGAAGUGAUAUAUCAACCAUGCUCACGGUCAGAGCGGCUUGGAUCCUCACAUGAUUAAACUAUGGAAGUAAAUUAAAUGUAUUUGUAGGUGGUUUAUUUAUUGUUGUUAUUUCAUUAAUGAUAUUUUAUUUAAUUGGUAACUGCUAAUAAAAUUUUGACUAGCAUAAUUAAAAUGUGGGAUGCUACAACCUUAGACUUAUUCGUGGUAAGCCUUACACUACACUUUUUCUACAUACUUGUUGUAUACCAAACAUAAGUGUACAUAUUAUUGCUAAAUUCGCUGCUUAGAACAAGGUCAGCAACAAGAUGACUACUAUGAAUAUUUUAAAGAGUUCUAGGCCUUCGAUGCUCUAGUCAACCAGCGUGGAUAGUCGUCGUUGUCUUCAUUUAGUUUCUUUUGUUUAUUUUUUUUAGUUUAUGAAAUUGGUUUCUAGAUGCACUAAAGUCAUCAUAUGCGUGUAAUUUGAUCCUGGCGUACAUAUGAGAUGCAUUUGUAUUUGUUUUCAAAAUCGGGUGUGCCAAAGUUGGCCACGACCAUGGUUUCAGGAAGGAGAGCUAUAUAUACUUCUCUACUGGCCUCCUCAAGAACUGGCUUAAUCUAAAACAUAGCUUUGUUAUAUUUCCAUCCAACAGAAACAUGUGUUCUACAUGGCUUGAUAUAUUAUGAUACAAAAACAAACGAAUGGAUCGAUCAUAAAAGGAGCAAUUUAUUUGUAUUAAUUCCUUGUACAGGAGUGUUGCCUGAAAUCACCUUAAAAUUCAGGCAUCUAAAAUAUAGGAGAAGCGACAAAGAAAACAACAAAAACACCAUGACAUUCAAUACACCAGCUAGUGACACAAACGUGCACAUUCAAAACAAACAUAUAUUACCAUGUGAUAAUAAUGGAAAGAUAUAUAGUGAGAAACAAGACACUUCACACAUGAAUUAUUGCUUUCUCGAUGGAUAGGACAAGAACAGCAUGCUUGGUUUUCUCAGUCUCAAGGUGUUUGGCAACACGGCGAGCGUACUCUUUGAAUAACUUGUCGAGUAUGCGUUCUCCAAAUUGGCUUGCGACCAGCGGCUCCAUAACUGCGCGUAGGCACUUAGCAACAUUUUCACCGCUCUCAAUACUGUUAUGCACAUCAUCACCUUCUGAGUCAUCGUAGGGAUCCCAAUUUAUCUCAAAUACUUUAACAUGAUUCAUGUUGAACAACCCAAGUUGCUUCACUAUCGCCUCCACUUCACCAACCGACGGUGAGUAGAUCGGAAGAUAGAAUGACUCAAGUUUUUCUUUCUCCACAACACCCUGCAGGUCCAAUUGUUUACUACAAAUUAAAGUCAUUACCUAAUGGCUAGUAGAAUGAUUAAAGCAACAAUAAUCUAUAUUUAGUUUACCUCAUCAACUAGGGAUUUCAGUGACUGCGCAAGCAAUCCGUAAAGAUGGUUGGACUCUCCAGCGAACACAUCCUCAUGCUUCCUUCCAAUAAAUGUUAGAACCAUUUGGCCACCAGACACGAGUUCCUCAUAGCGUAGCCUGAGGAAGAGGGAGAAGUCCUUCUGAAACUGAUGUUGAAACAACUUCACCAUCGAUGGUGACAUAGUCUUUGUGAUGUAGAUAUCUAGGCAUGAUUUUUGGGUGCCCUUCAAUUGCUCUGGUGCCUGUAUAUGUAUACAUAGAGAGAGAAAAAAAAGACGGUCAAACAAAGAGCAACUAUAUAUAGGUUUGUUUCAAAUUAAAACACUCAAAAGCAUGGAUCGGACAAGCAACAGACAAGCUCUGACAGGUAAGACUUGUGAGUGGUGAACUGCAUAUCUCUUGCGGUACGGUUGUGGGAAUGCAUACCUGAGAGCGCCACUGAAGGCAGAACAGAGAGUGGAAAAGAUGAACGCUUUCGCUAGGGAAGAUCCUAGUGUAGUAGGAGCCCGGCAAUCCGGAGAUAUAGCAAGGAGGCUGUAGUGCCUCAGUUGCUGCAUCUCCCUUGUGUGUCGUCGAUGACUUAUUGAACUGCUCGAUGAGCUGGAAGAGAUUGUUGAAGUCGUUACCGGGCAGGUCAUUCAGAAAGAACUGAAGCUGCGGCGGGUGGUCAUGUCGUCGGUUGUGCUCCAGCUUGCAAUGGUGAGCUAUGAUUCUAGUCACCUCAGUGACGAAGCGCAGUGUGUUAGGCCCGGAUGAGCAGCCUAAGUCGGCCACAACCAUGGUUUGUGGGAGGAGAGCUGUGCAUACUGCUCUAGUGGCCUCCUCAAGGACCGACUUCAUCUGAAACAUAGCUUUCUCCUGUUGCCAUGCAUGCAUCCAACAGAAACAUUAUAUAUGCAACAGAAGAAGCAUGCAGCUGCAUGCGUGCUGGAAACAAAUAACGCUGAGAGAGUAAUAAUUACUUACUUGAAUCCUAGAAUUUUUUGUGUAGCUAGUUUCUCCGUUCCCUGUGGCCAUGUGGAGAUCACGCUCGAUUCUCAUCGGCAUGGCUGCCUGCGAGUCGAGGCUUCAGCGGUGCGCCGGGGGGAGCCAAAGCUCAGCACAUACAAGCUAAGCUAGCACAACAAUUUUACAAUCUUAAGCUGUGUGGACGAUGGCUAAAUUUAUAGACAAAUUUAAUUUGCCAUGUUCGUCUGCACAACGCGCUAUGUAUUGCACGUGAAUCAUCAGCUGCAUGCCAUAUAUGAACAGAGAGACAUAUUAAUAAUUAAUUUUCCAUAUUAUUAUAGCACAUAUGUCAGGCUAUGAUUCGAGAGAGGUAUGGAGCAUCUGUGCAUUUGAGAGCAUGCAUGCAUGUGUCAAUAAUGGAUCUAGCUCUUAAUUCAUAUGUCUCACACAACGCAGAUUUCGGCAAAGGGUGCUAGCACGUGGAACAUACAUACAUUGGACCUUCCAGGAAGGGGUAUUAUCAGAUUGGGUGACUUGAAAAUGAGUGAUGAUGUCCUUAUCCUCCACUUGCAAGAAGAAUUACGUAAGGGUUGCUGGGCCACUGAAGCCGGAUACGGUUGGGCCGCCUGGCGUCCAUGCCUCUUUAUUUUAGCAAAAUAAUAUUUCGAUUAUUUAUACAUAUAUGUAUUAUACAUUAUAUAUACUUUAUCUGUUCCAAAUUAAAAAAUUUAGAUUAAAACCAGAACAUAAAUCAUGACAAUAUCAUAUAUAUUCUAGUAUAAGCAUAGCUCGUAUACUAGCUAGUUAGAUUAACCAAUAUAUAUAUGAACAUAAAUACUAGUGUAAGCAUAGCUUAUACACUAGUAAGGUUAAACAAAGCCACGAUAUUAUUAGAUCAUAGGGUGUGUAUCUUACCGGUGGUCAUUGUUGUGGAGAAAUAAAGUGCUCGGAUCAGCUGACAGCGAAUACGCAUGGACAUAUAGCACCGCCUGACUCGAAUUGUUGAAGACUACCCGCCGUGGAAGUGGAGAGCAUUCACACCAAGAGUGUUUCACAAAACUCAAUUAGUCUUCUCCCGAUGCAUGACAGUAAGGAUGAGGAGACCUGUUUAUCUGUAGCCAUUUGGGUUGAAGAUACUAUGACGGCAGCGUCGUAGUGAGAAAAGGCAAAAAAAAAAUAUAUCAUAACUCAGUUAGAUAUAUUUUAGAACUAGUUUAAGAACUCUAUUUUUACAAGGGAUUCAUAUUUUUCCAAGAAAAAAAAUAAAAUAAGUAUAGAAAAAAUUGGUAGGGCCUAAGAUUAAAUUGACAAUACAGUAUAAAACAAAAAAACUCAGAUCUACUGGCAGAUAGUAUACGUUUCAUUAGAACAGAACAGAUCUGAACUAACUCAAUAAAAUUAACGCAUAAAAAAAGAAUCGACAAUCUAACCAUAGAACCGUCAUCGCAAUAAACUGAAAAUGCAAAUUUACUUAAACUGAUUUCCAAAUAAAUAAAAGACAAAAAUAAAAUUGCCAUUUAGAAGAGUCACGAUGAGAUCGCGGCGUCGGUGUAGCUACCUUUUAGCAAGCAAACAAAAAGUGUCAUUGGAAUGACGCCACUUUCUCUAAUUUAUUUAUGCUGUCUCCCUGUGCCACAUGCCACCUUUUUUACUAUUGGGUGACUUGAAAAUGAGUGAUGAUGUCCUUAUCCUCCACUUGCAAGAAGAAUUACGUAAGGGUUGCUGGGCCACUGAAGCCGGAUACGGUUGGGCCGCCUGGCGUCCAUGCCUCUUUAUUUUAGCAAAAUAAUAUUUCGAUUAUUUAUACAUAUAUGUAUUAUACAUUAUAUAUACUUUAUCUGUUCCAAAUUAAAAAAUUUAGAUUAAAACCAGAACAUAAAUCAUGACAAUAUCAUAUAUAUUCUAGUAUAAGCAUAGCUCGUAUACUAGUUAGAUUAACCAAUAUAUAUGAACAUAAAUACUAGUGUAAGCAUAGCUUAUACACUAGUAAGGUUAAACAAAGCCACGAUAUUAUUAGAUCAUAGGGUGUGUAUCUUACCGGUGGUCAUUGUUGUGGAGAAAUAAAGUGCUCGAAUCAGCUGACAACGAAUACGCAUGGACAUAUAGCACCGCCUGAAUCUAAUAAUAUUGGUGUGGAGAGCAUUCACACCAAGAGUCAAUCAUUUAGUGAGCCAAUCAUUCUAUAUGUGAUGUCCGACGAGACUAUAUGUGAUGGGUGUGUCCUUCACUUGUUGAACCUCGCCACUUUGUAGAACAAGUAUGCAACCCUGCUAGAUGAGAGCUGUCAGGGAAAUGAUCCUCGGUCCCUAGGACCCACCGAUUAGUGAGCAUGCUAAGGAAAGAGUCCCUGAUUUCUAGGGCCUGUUAGCUAGUGAGAAGAGGCAGAUACAUCAACCCUUAAAGGACCCGAUCCCGGUCGAACCCAGCGGCACCAAGCCUAGGGUCGGGUGUGGUGGAACCUGUCAAGGGAGGCCGAGCGUGUCGGAAGAGAACCACUAGAGUGGAUCCCACGCCCAGCCUCGGACUAACCCGCCAUAAAUGACUGGGCGCAUUAACCACGCCUGGCACCAAGUCACAGCGUGGGCGUCUGUCCGCUUCCCAUUCAUGACCUAUGGACUUGUAACACCCUAAAUUUGGGGGUAUAAAAUUUCUUUCCUAAUACACACCAAAUUCAGGUGUUACUCUCUCAUUUCUUUGCUUUCUUUCUCUUUUUCCUAAAAAUGGAUAAUUAUUUUGUUUUAUAUUGGCGUAAACCUAGUGGAAUAAGCCCUAGAGGCGCUUUGGUUGUUGCAUUCAUGUCAUUUCAUGGUGUUUAUAAGUGCAAAAUGUGUUUGAAACAUGUUAGUAUAUCCUAUAGAAGCUCUCAUUAGAUUUUCAUAUUUUUCGGAGUAUUUUUCUAUUUUCUGGAAACCAAAAUCUAUUUAUUUGAGGUACUUAAAAAUGUUUUUAGAAACUAUAAUUAUGUUUUUUGAGUUCAUUAGGUGCCAAAACAUUUCUAGGAAUUUUUCUGCAAGUUUUAGAAGCAUUUAUAAUAUUUUGAGCACAAAAUAUGGAUUUCUAGGCUUUUCUGAAUUUUAUAAAUGGUAAAAUCUGAAUUGGACCCGAAUUUUCAUCUCGUUCGAACCCGAACUAUAUAUAUGCCUGGCUUCUUCUCAUCGAGCACGUUCCAGAGCAUAAAACUGUUUUCUCAGAUUCAGUUCCCUGCUCCCGGAAUUGCUCGCCGAAAUUCGGAAGCGGUUCCAACUCCGGCGACAGCUCCGGCGAGCAAUUACUCCCAAUCCGUGCAUCAUAUGCGGAAUCCGAGGAUACCUCUGCGAUCGUCUCAUCGAGGGCUUCAUCUGGGGCGCGGCCUGGUUCAUUGAUCGGACCUCCGAAUCUCUGUCAAUCAAUGGUUUCCUCCUCGACUCCAGUGAGGGUCUUCUUCCCCGGUGAGAAACCUCCAUUGUUGCACCUAGUGUUUCAUCGUUUCUUGUUUUUUCCGUCUGUGCAGGGCCUCCCUCUCCCUCCCCUCACCUCCCUAGGCGGCGGCGCCCCUCCGCCUCCUUUUCCCCGGCGCCGCCCCCCCUCUCCCCCAACGGCGCGACUGUGCCCGCGACGCGGCCCAGCCGACUCGCCCCCCCUUGCACAACCCCCUCCCCUCCUCCUCCCUCUCCCAUGGAUGAGAGGAAGGAGAAAAGAAGAGGAAGAAGAUGACAGUUUUGUAAUUUAGUCCCUGUUUCGUUUUAACCCGUACGCAUGAAUUUAGUCUAGUUUAAAACAGUGAUAACUUUUACGUUUUAAACCCGAUUCAAUCCGUUCAAGUUGCGUUAGAUUCCUGUUUGAUCGGAGGUUAAUAGAACAAUGUUUCAAUUUUAAAAUCUAAUUUAGGAAUUCGAUUUGUGCAUUUAUAUUUCGUCACCAACAUGAAUAACCUUAACUGAAAUGUUUAUUAUUAACCAUUUAGUUUAAUCAUGCUUUCUAUUUAUUAGUUGCCACGUAUCGUUUCGGCCCGCGCGCCGUAUGCAUGCCGCAGUGCUAUUUCGCGCGCGUCGUCACGCGCCGUUCACGUGUGUUGCGUGCCUUGCCGCGCGUCGUUCGCGUCUAUCGCGCGUUAUCCGUGCGUGACAUAACUUCUCGAUCAUAGCUCCGACUGCCGCGUUUCUUUUCGUCGCGUGACCAUAGUAGUCAGCUCUAUUUUUGCAUGUUUUAUUAUGUUUUUAUUUGAAUGGUGUAAUGUUCUUAUGCAUAUAUAUAUAUAGGCUGAUGGUAAUGGAAGCCCUGGGCUUCAGAUAGGUGCGGGGGAGCCCCGGCCAGGUUAUGUAGACGAGCCGAGCCGGACGCACCAAAUGGGCUGAGCCAGGCGGCCCGCAUUGUGGACUGCAUUUAUGCAAGUAUAAAGGUUAGGAAAAAUAUGCGUAACAAAACGUGGGCCAUUACUCUGUACAUGGGCCGGUGACGUGUCACCCGAGCAUUGUGGAAGCGGAUUUAAACAGAACGUUACGACAGCAUAAACCUACGUAUAACGUGCAUAAAUGGCUGUUACGCCCACGAUCAGCGUGCCCACGAUCCUAGAAUGAAGCAGAUACGCACGCAACCUCGCAGUGAUUAUCGCGUCCACGAUAAUGGAUAUGCGCAUGGGCAAAAGGAAAUAUUCAUAAGCUUCCAAAAAAGGUAGACAGUAAGAAUCAUUAAUUAGGGCGUGCCUGGCUGAAGGGCGUAAUUUGAUCUGGAAGAUGGCGGCGCCAUGGGGUAAAGAGUCAAUCAGUGAGUAUACGACGCCGACAUCAGUUCAUCGAUCAAAUCCAUGCUUGGAUAUCGUAACAAUGGUGCAGGAAGAACAACAAGGAGCGAACCGGUUUGCCUCGGAUGCAAGUGCACAUAUGCAAACAACUACUGCCGUAGGGGCAAUUACUCCACCAGCAGCUUUGAGGGCGCCGGGGGUUGAUGAUCAGAACACAUUAGAGGCAUCGAGGAUGACCAUAAAUCAAGGAGGACAGCAACUUACUACUACGCGUACUAUUGGUGAGCAUGAACAUGACACACCAGUGAUUCUGCAGAGACAUGUAAGUACUAUAUAACUGAUUUGGAUUUUCAGUAUUGUAGAUUAAAUUGUAUACGAUGGAAUGCAGCUAGAUGGUAUGAAAUGUUAUAUUAUGCAUACGAUGUACAAUUAUGUAGGACACCAUACAACAUACAUGUUAUGGAUAUAUGUACAUACAUAUAUAUUUUAAUUUUUUGCACAGGAAGUUACAAUUGAUCCGAGGUUGGUACCUAAAGUUGAUAUGACAUUCAGUGGUGUGGAUGAAGCAUAUAAAUUUUAUAGUAGGUAUGCAUAUGAAGUUGGCUUUCCAUUGAAAAAGUAUAGGGAACGAAAAAAUUGUAAAUGGUUGAAUUGCUCGAUGGAAGGAAAGAGUGCAGUAAGGGGAAUAUCAAACCCAAAAGGUACGUAAUACCAGCUCGAAGCGGACACAAUGCAAGGCCGGUAUGAAACUUAAAAAAAAUUUAUGAUGAUGCAAAAGAGACAGUUAUAUCAGUGCGUAUUGAUCUGUUGCACUUGGAUCAUAAUCAUGAAUUUUUUAAGAAGGAUACAAAAAAGAAUCAAUUACAAUGCAACAAGACGCAUAAUCCUGAAUACAUGGAUUUCAUAAGUUCAAUGCAGGAGAGUCGAAUCCCGCAACAUUGUAUUAUGGAUUAUGUUUCAGAAAUGCACGGUGGUCCUGAGAGUGUGCCUGUAACAGCACAUGACAUGUAUAACCUGUAAGUUUAUAAUAGGUUUAGAUUGUAAUUCAGAAUUGAAAUUUGCAAAAUGUUGGUUUCGCCUAAUGCUAAAUAUUGACAAUAAUUUCAGGAAAAAGGCAAAGCAACGAGAGAGAAAUGCAAAUGAUGUGGCAAAGCUACUAUCUUUUUUUUGCAUCAUGCAAAAAGGAUAAUCCACAAUUUUUCUCUGACUUCCAAUUGGAUAAAGAAGGAAAGAUUUUGAGCAUAUUUUGGUCACAUGCAAGCCAGCAAGGGGACUACAUGGAUUUUAGUGAUGCAGUUACAUCUGACACAACACAUAAGACUAAUCUAUAUGAAAAACCACUAGGUAUGUUUGUUGGUUCGAAUCACCACCUCCAUUGCACUAUAUUUGCUUUCGCAUUAUUGGGGGAUGAAACUGUUGAUACAUUUGAAUGGGUAUUCAACGCCUUCAAAACAUGCAUGGGAACCGAAGGGCCACGAGUGAUGCUGAUAGGUACGAAUGAUAAUAAUGAAGGAAAUGUAUAUACAUAAAAUAUGUCUUAAAUUUGAUCUUAUUUUCUUUCUAACAUGGAAUAAGAUUCAUACAAUUUUGACAUCUAUGAAUGCAAAUCAAGAUCCUGCAAUGCCAGUAGCACUCGAGAGGGUUUUCCCACACACAAUACAUCGGUUGUGUCUAUGGCAUGUGCAAAAUAGGUAUAUGCCUUUUCUAAACGAGUUGUAUGCAAGGUUUGAGGGAAAGGACUUUAAGACAAGGUUCCAAUCUAUAAUACAUCAUCCUUUGACUGAGUUGGAGUUUGAGACUGCAUGGUCAAUGCUAGUUGAAGAUUUCCAUCUGCACGAUAACAUUACUCUCAAUAAGAUGUAUGGAAUACGUAAGGAUUGGGUGCCUGCAUUUUUCAAGAAUCAUUAUUGUUGUCUAAUGUUGUCUACAUAGCGUAGCGAAAGCAUGAAUAGGCUUGUGAAAAGUGCACAUGUCGAUGCAAACACUCCGCUUCAUCAAUUCGCCAAGCAAAUGAUGAAGCUUCUACACAGUAGAAAGUUGAUAGAGUCAAAAGAAGCAGUGGGAAUCAUGGUGAGGACAAAUUGUUAUGAUGUAUAUUUAUACCUCAAUAUACGUGUCAUCUAAUUUGAAUUAUAUAUGCCACAGGGUCAAAAGGAAACAAACACGCUCUAUAUGUUUGAGAUAAGGUUGCAAGAGCAUACACAAGGGCUGUGAUGAAUAAAUUCUAGGAAUCUUUGAAAUAUGCAACUACAUUCAAGAUAAUGCAUGAUCAAGAAGGGGGUACAAAUGAUUGGGUAGUGCAACAUACAACAAGAUCGAAUAAAAUUGUGUGGGGACAACACCAAUUCAAAGUGACAGCUGAUGAAGAUACAGGAAAGUAUACUUGUGAAUGCAAACAUUGGGAACAUACAAGUAUGGAGUAUGAAAUAGUAAAUAUAUACAUUGAAAACAUAUAAAAAAAUUCUUAUGAUCGUUAUUGUUUUUAUAGGGCUAUUCUGUGUACAUGUACUACGCGCGUUUAUGCAUCUUCAGAUUGAACAGAUACCGAAGGAAUACAUUUUACAAAGAUACACCUACUCUGCAAGGCAAGAUGUUCCGUUUUCAAGAGACGAUAGGAAUUUGAAGGGAAAGGAUGGAGAAACAAAAUCAUAUAGACAGAAGAUGUUGCUAAAAAAGCAAUGAAAGUAGUCCAUCAUGCUAGUUUAUCCAAGGUAGGUAAUGAUAGAGCCCUAGCAGUAAUGGAUGAGCUUCUCGAGGUACUUUCACGUUUGGAGACAGAUAUAGAAGUUGAGGAGACAUGUGGAACUAGUGGGGGAGAUGGUAUACAUGUAUGUGAUGUUUUAAUGUAUAUUUUUUAACAUAUUAUUUGUAACACCUCUGGUGUUACUGUCACUAAAACUUGAGCAUAACAUCAUAAGCAUUGGCAUUUCAUAUGUUUGACACACCUAGAGUGCAUUCACUAGGCAAAAUUUCAAACAAGUUGUAUUGAUAUGACCUUUUGCAAAUAGAACCCUAGAGUGGGGAACUUAACCCUAGAUUGGGUGUAAUAGAACCAACAAGGCUUAAACAAGUAGAAACUUCAAAAUCCAAUUGAAAAAGUCAUAAAGUGUCUCCAUGGAUGAACUCAAGUGGGAUCCAAACCCUAAGAGUGCAAGAAACCCUAAUUGGAACCUUGGAAAACCCUAAACCUAAACCCUAGGGGGCUAAGUGCAAAAUUAGUGCACUUUUGGGCUAAAGUGCAAAAACUAUGAAGUUAAGAUGUCUUAAGUCAUAUGGUUCACAAUUAUGAAGAUUUGCAACCUAAACCCUGAGUUUUGGACUUAUUUGCAAAAGAGCCACAUUUGAACUCUUUUGACUAAGUCUGAAUUUCAGUGUAAUGGGUUCAUCUUUGGGGCCUUGUAACUUCCAAACAAAAGGGAUUCUGCCCUAGGUCACCACAUCAAUAUUGUAGACCUAUGGAAGGAGAAUAACUUUGCUAUAGAAAUCAUGCCUUGCUACCGUGAAGAAUUCUGAGACAAAUGAGCCUGAAGUUGGACUGUCACAUUGCUUGAAAUCUGAAAUUCAGAUUAACAGUGGAAUGGCAUGGAGUUAGGGCUCGAAUUCAAGCAUGAUCCAGCAAGAAUUUGGCUAGGGGUGCUAUAACAAAGAUGAAGAUGGUUUAAUGGUUUACAACUUUGAUGCAGGGCCUUGGAUGUGUUGCCAUAGAAAAUUUAGAGAUAAUCUACCCUAAACAUCAUCUGUCAGGCACUCUUAAGAUGACUCUCAUGGUACAGUAGCCGAUCGGAUCAGGUUCAGUGAACCUCACCGCCGAUGACCGUCGCACUGUGAUUCACGUCGAUUGUCGGGAUUCGUGCGCUAUGGAUUGUGGAUAACUGUGGGCAGGUAAAGAUCUUGGCGCCUGGAUCAGCUUGAGUUCGGUCGCGACUAAGCCCGCCGUACCCCCUUGCUCAUCGGUGGAUCGGGAUGAGUCCUCGCCGUCGUUGAUCGAUCACUGCCGUGCGCCGCGUGUCCAGACACUUUACCACGUCACGAUUAGUUACGUUAGGGGAUCCGGUGAUCGCCGGAGGAAGCGCCACGGUGAAAGCCACCCAUCCCGAGCACCAGUAUCCAUGUUUCCCUCCGGCCGCCAGCACAACCUCGUGAAAUUGGACACCACCGACAAUGGGAACUAUAAAUUGACACCUUCGCCUGCUCCGCUAGGUAACUGCGCAGCCGGUGAAGCAAUCCGCACCUUGAAUCCUCCCCUAGAAUUCACCAAUUUCGGAUUUCCCCAAGCUGCUCAAGAACUCCGCAUGUCUUGACUUCGCCGCGGUCCGCUCAAUUCUUGUCCGAUUUUGCCAUUUAUGUUCUUGUUUCAGCACCCAUGCUUACCCUGGAUACUCACCAACCCACCCAAUUGAACUAGAAACCCACUGAUCAUUGGGAACGCGGUUGUCUGUCCGCGACACCCACGGUCACUGUGGCCAGAACAAACCUAGUAGUCAUUGAUGAAAUUAAGUGGGGGGAAACAUUCAUUAUACCUUGAAUUUGGUCUCGGUCGAAGGAUGGCGCUAGUCACUGCGUGAGUCGGCCGGUAUACAGGCUCGUUGGAGCUCUGCGCACCGCCGCUCGACGAUGGGGACUUCGAGUUGUAAAGGGAAGGAAGUGCACGGGUUUAUUGAUAAAUGUCAGCGACUAUUUCAAAUAGUACUUUGGACUCCUUCGAAUUAUUCAAAAAGACAGGGACCACCGUGCAAAGUCUGCCGCGCGGGCGUGCGCGCGGGCAGUUUCUUUCGGUUGUGGGCUAGCUUGGGCUGGUUUCAGCACAGGACUAUUCAUUCUUUUUCUUUUUCUCCCAGAGCUAAAACAAUUCUAGAAAAUUGUAGAAAAAUCCCAAAAAUGUAGGACCAAUUUUGCUAGAUUCCUAAUUUUACAUAGAAUUUAAUAAAAAUAGUUUUAGGAUUUUUAAUCCAAACAAGAAAUUACAGAGUAUUUAAAACAGCCUAUGACCUUGUUUCUGGAUUUUUAGAAAAUAGAUAAUGAUUCCAAAAAUCCCCAAACUUUUUGGAUGACCCUUAUAUAUAAUUUAGAAGCCUUGGGUAGAGUUUGGUAUGAUUUGGACCUUGUCUGAUACUUAGAACCCAAAACCCUACCCCCUGCCCUUUGAAAUACAAUAUUGACUCCGAAAACCCUAGGUUCUCAGAGAACCAUGAAGGAAAAUUGUACUCAAGACUUUAGAUAACCAAUUUCUAUUGUUUUUGCAUCUUCAUGAGCACUACAUGAGCAUUCAUUAUUAUACUUGGCUACAUAUAGCAAACGAAGAAGAAGUUGAAGUUGAAGAAGAAAGGACACCACCACCACCUGAGGAACAUCAGGCAAGCAGCUGUUUCUAUUUUGACAUUUGCGGGUCCGUGCCUGAUUCACCAAUAAAACAAGGCAAGCCCCGGUGCAUUUUCCACCUCCUUGAUUCUUUUAAAAUCUUUCUCACUUGCUUGAUGCAUUAGGUAAUAGGAGUUGAGUGCUAAAACAAUUCCUGCAUUUCUUCCUUGAAUUUGAUUACCUUCCUUGAAUCCCUGUUUUACAAAAGGUUUUUCUGAUGCUUAGUCUUGCUCUAGCAAAACAAAAUGUUUUGUUUUUACAAAAAGAUGAUGUUGCAAAGUGGGAGGGAUGUUUUUGAAAAUAAAACUUGAUGGUGGAUCCAUCAUGGCCAUGAUGGGUUCAACAUCAGAAAAGAUGUACCUCUGCCAGGUACCAAACUUUGGGUUUGAAAUAAUUAAGCUGAGACCGGGCGGGUGACUUGCACGAGAAGAGAGUCUCGGUGUAGUGUCUCCGUCUGAGUCGAUUAAGGACCGUCUCGAUGUAGGCUUGCUGACCGAGGACCCUUUAACUGGUCACAUGCCUCGUCAUGGGUAAGCUUUGCCUCGGACAGACUAAUACCAGAAUAAGAUAACACACAAUGGGAGUGGAGAGAUGGCGAGAGUAGCGUGUACCCUCCGUGACAAGAGGUUGGACGGUGGUGUAUCUGUACUCUCGGUUGGCGUGAACCUGAUCUGGUCUUAAGAACCCCGGUGGCAAGUUGACAUAUGCAAGGGUUAAGUGCUACAUAUGUCGUGUGAUUGGAGAUCCUCAGCUGAGUAUAAUCGAUUCGGAUCGCCGUACCUUCGCGGUUAUGAAGACUUGGUCACUACCCUAUACGUAGAAAUCCAGUAAAGAUGAAGGGUUGUUAAGAAAUUGGCUAGUGCAGGUCAAGUGUUUGAACUAGGGUAGAAAGAACUCUAGUUGCAGGUAAUCUUACUUAACCUGACAAAUUAAAAUUGGAUUUUUAAGGAUCCACUUUAGUAAGCAUUUCUACAAACAGAGUCAUUGAUUAUUAAUAAGCCUUGCCUUGACUCCCUUAAAGCCAGCAUAUCCUUGAGAGUCUUUUACUUUGUCGGGUAAGUCUUGCGAAAGUACACUUCGUACUCAGGGCUUUGUCCCAUGUUGUUUUAGGUGAAGAAGCAACAAACUUCUGUUGCUUCUGUUCAAAGGUGGUACCCAAAGAUAAACACCAAGACUAGAGCUCCGGGAGGGAAGGCCCUCCGUUAAAAACUUUUUACUACUUAUUCGGGAGGAGUUUUUGCCUCCCAUGGUUUGUAAUAAUAAUACUCUGCACUCGUAUAUUAUGUUCUGGUCUGUAAAUAUUUAACUCUGUCCUACUUUUUAAAUAAAACUAAGUUAUUGUAACUGCUUUCGCACUUCCGCAUCUCCGAUGAUUUGUAAUGUCUGCGUGACGGGUAAAACGCUCUUGGGAAAAUAUGGAACUCAGAUACCGAGCUUGUCAAGUGAUCAGGUGCACCUGUAGGGUUGUCUAAGGUCCAAUGGACAAGGACAACUGCAGGUGAGCCUAAUGACUUGGGAGGUUCCAUCACAGCUGGUAUCGGAGCGAAGCCCAUCUCUGCAGAUAUUAUAAGGCAUCUUCAAAAAGAAUUUUCCAGACUUAUCUAGAAAAUUUCUUCCCUUCUUACCUAAGUAUCUCUGAAGAGUUUAUUUUAAAGACCAGAUAGUAAGAGUGCAAUGUAUAGAAGGUGUGAAUCAACUAAGGUUGAUUCUGUAAUUAUACAUGCAUCAUGCUAAAAACUAUACUAAUAAGGUUUUUCCCCUCAUGGAGAUAUGCCGCCGCGCACGAGAAAGACUGCGCGCAAGUCAACCGGGCCGUUUGGCGUGCCCCGUCAUCAACUUGCCCCACAACAUGAAGGUAGCAGCAGUGGUAGUAACGAUCCGAUCGGGGAUCUUGAAGCACAAGUUGAUCAGCUUUGAGCAGAACUCCGACAUAGGAACGAUCUUUGGGUUGCGGAUGGCGAAAGAAUCAAUGAAUUGAGGACAGAAAUCUGCCACCUGCAAGACCAGCUAGCGGAUCGAGAUCUAGCGCUCGACUGGGCUGUGAGCUCUCGUUCACUAGCUUGGGCAAAGGAAGCUAGAGCUCAAGCCUAUGUGGAAGAGCUUAGCUCAGCUGUUGAUAACUUGCAGGUAUAUUGUAAUACAUUACAUGAAAAAGUUCAUGUGUUGUAUUCACAAUUACACCCGAACGUCCCUGCGGAUCCUGUCGGGAUGGGAACCGGACCAUCUGGAACAGCAGAAGAAGCCUUUGGAGGAGAACUAGACCUUUUCAGGCCCCCUCCUUCAAUGAAUUUGGUCGACCAGUGGUCUCCUACGCCUGACAGCGAGGCUACCAAAAGCAAUCCUCAACACUAAUCUGAGAACAAUCAGGUUGAGUUAUGGCCAAGAAGAAAUUCUUUUGACUAUCCCCGUAGCCAUUCCAGCUAGACCAACUGGCAGAGUCUAUGAAGCUAUCAUACCGGAGAUCCAAGAUAUUCCGGUAGUAUGUGAGUUCCCAGAUGUCUUCCCAGAAAAUUUGUCGGGAUUGCCUCCUGAAAGAGAUGUAGAAUUUGUGAUUGAGUUGAAGCCCGGUACGGCUCCUAUUUCUAGAAGGUCGUACCGAAUGCCUCCAAAUGAGCUGGCAAAACUCAAGACCCAAUUGCAAGAUCUACUAGAGAAGGGAUUCAUCCGGCCAAGCUCGUCACCAUGGGGUUGUCUAGCCAUCUUCGUCAAGAAGAAGGACCAAACACUUCGAAUGUGUGUGGAUUAUAGACCCCUUAAUGAGGUUACUAUAAAAAAUAAGUACCCUCUUCCACGGAUUGACAUUCUAUUUGAUCAACUGAUUGGAGCAAGGGUAUUCUCCAAGAUUGACCUCAGGUCGGGCUAUCAUCAGAUCUAUAUCAGGCCCGAGGAUAUACCAAAUACCGCAUUCACCACGCGGUAUGGACUAUUUGAAUAUUUGGUUAUGUCUUUCGGACUGAUGAAUGCUCCUGCCCACUUCAGAUAUCUGAUGAACUCGGUAUUUAUGCCCAAGUUGGACAAGUUUGUGGUGGUAUUCAUUGACGAUAUCUUAAUAUACUCCAAGAAUGAAGAGGAGCAUGCUCAGCAGUUGCGGAUCGUAUUGACGCGCUUAAGGGAACAUCAGUUAUAUGCUAAGUUCAGUAAGUGCGCGUUCUGGCUGGAAGAGAUUCAAUUUCUGGGACAUGUAUUAUCCGCUAAGGGGAUUGCGGUGGAUCCCAGCAAAGUCAAGGAUAUUUUGGAGUGGAAACCCCCAACCACCGUACAUCAAGUCCGAAGUUUCCUUGGACUGGCUAACUAUUACCGCCGAUUCAUUCCGGAUUUUUCUAAGCUUGUGAAACCAAUCACAAGUUUAUUGAAGAGUGAUAUUAAAUUCAAUUGGUCUUCAAAAUGUAAUGAAGCUUUUGAGUAGCUAAAAGUAUUAUUAACCACUGCUCCGGUAUUGGCUCAACCGGAUAUCGAAAAGCCAUUUGAUGUGUAUUGUGACGCAUCAGGCAGUGGUCUCGACUGUGUUUUAAUGCAAGAAGGCCGAGUAAUAGCUUAUGCUUCACGGCAGUUGCACCGGCAUGAGGAACAUUAUCCAACUCAUGACCUGGAGUUAGCUGCGGUGGUUCAUGCCCUCAAAAUAUGGCUUCACUAUCUGAUGGGGAAUGUCUGUCACAUUUAUACAUACCACAAGAGUUUAAAGUAUAUCUUUACCCAGUCAGAGCUCAAUAUGAGACAAAGGAGAUGGCAAGAGCUGAUAAAGGAUUAUGAAUUAGAAAUUCACUAUCAUCCAGGCAAAGCUAAUGUAGUGGCAGAUGCGUUAAGUCGUAAGGCUUUCUGCCAUUGUCUUACCAUGAAGACUUCUGACAAGACGUUAUGCCAAGAAAUGGAGAAGUUGAACCUGGGAAUGAUUCAACAUGGAACUUCAAAUCAUUUGAAGCUUGAGUCAGUCAUCCUGCAAGAAAUAAUUGACGCACAAAGAAGUGAUGAGGGAAUAAAGCACAUUCAUGAGAGGAUAGAAGCUAGAAAAGCCGACUGCUUCCAAAAAGAUUGCCCACUUCCUUCCAGUCAGAGUAAAGUAUACAGUGGCCACAUAUGCUGAAUUAUACAUUGAUCGUAUUCUCAGUUUGCAUGGUGUUCCGAAGACUAUAGUGUCGGAUCGUGGACCGCAAUUCGUGUCCAAAUUUUGGGAAGAACUUCACAAGGCUUUGGAUACUAAGUUGCUCCAUAGUUCGACCUAUCGUCCUCAAACCAGUGGGCGGACUGAGAGGUUAAAUCAAAUACUUGAAGAUAUGUUACGGGCUUGUGCUUUGGAAUUCCCAUAGAAAUGGGAUGAUUGUUUACCAUUAGCGGAGUUCUCAUAUAAUAAUAGCUAUCAAGAAAGCAUUAAGAUGGCACCCUUCGAAGCUUUAUAUGGACGACGAUGUCGUACUCCGUUAAACUGGUCUGAACCAGGUGAAAGAAAUUUCUUCAGACCUGAUAUGGUAAAGGAGACAGAAGAGAAGGUUCAGCGAAUAAUUCAUAAUUUGAAGAAAGCUCAAGCUCGUCAGAAGAGUUAUGCAGACACCCACCAGAUACCCUUGUACUUUCCAGUUGGAGACUAUGUCUACCUGAAAGUUUCACCAAUGAAGGGUAUAUCAUGUUUCGGGGUAAAAGGGAAGCUUGCACCCCGGUAUAUUGGACCUUUUCCUAUCCUUGAAAGAUACAGACCAGUGGCAUACCGAGUUCAGUUACCCGAAACCUUGUCUACAGUACAUAAUGUGUUCCACGUGUCUUAAUUGAAGAAGUGUCUUUGGGUUCCCGAUCGAACCAUUGAAGUAACGGAUGUUGCCCUAGAACCAGACUUGACGUAUUCAGAGCACCCUAUUCGACUCUUGGAUCAAAAGGACAGAAUUACCCGAAGAAAAACUCUCAGGUUUUACAAGAUACUGUGGAACCAUCAUUCAGAAGAUGAGGCUACAUGGGAAACUCAGGACUUAUUAGAAAGGAACUUCCCAGGCUUUUUAGCAUCAUGUAAUUUGUAAAGUGUAUACAAUUAUUGUAAUAAAGGAGUGAGCCCCAAACCACCCCUGCCUUGUACCAAGAAUAAGGAAAUAAAGACAUGUCGUGUUUCCUUUUCCAUUCCUUGCCCUAGGACUUUUAAUCUCAGGACGAGAUUCUUUUAUGGGGGAAAGGAUGUAACACCUCUGGUGUUACUGUCACUAAAACUUGAGGAUAACAUCAUAAGCAUUGACAUUUCAUAUGUUUGACACACCUAGAGUGCAUUCACUAGGAAAAAUUUCAAACAAGUUGUAUUGAUAUGACCUUUUGCAAAUAGAACCCUAUAGUGGGGAACUUAACCCUAGAUUGGGUGUAAUAGAACCAACAAGGCUUAAACAAGUAAAAACUUCAAAAUCCAAUUGAAAAAGUCAUAAAGUGUCUCCAUGGAUGAACUCAAGUGGGAUCGAAACCCUAAGACUGCAAGAAACCCUAAUUGGAACCUUGGAAAACCCGAAACCUAAAGCCUAGGGGGCUAAGUGCAAAAUUAGUGCACUUUUGGGCUAAAGUGCAAAAACUAUGAAGUUAAGACGUCUUAAGUCAUAUGGUUCACAAUUAUGAAGAUUUUCAACCUAAACCCUGAGUUUUGGACUUAUUUGCAAAAGAGCCACAUUUGAACUCUUUUGACUAAGUCUGAAUUUUAGUGUAAUGGGUUCAUCUUUGGGGCCUUGUAACUUCCAAACAAAAGGGAUUCUGCCCUAGGUCACCACAUCAAUAUUGUAGACCUAUGGAAGGAGAAUAACUUUGCUAUAGAAAUCAUGCCUUGCUACCAUGAAGAAUUCUGAGAUAAAUGAGCCUGAAGUUGGACUGUCAGACUGCUUGAAAUCUUAAAUUUAGAUUAACAAUGGAAUGGCAUGGAGUUAGGGCUCGAAUUUAAGCAUGAUCCAGUAAGAAUUUGGCUAGGGAUGCUAUAACAAAGAUGAAGAUGGUUUAAUGAUUUACAACUUUGAUGCAGGGCCUUGGAUGUGUUGCCAUAGAAAAUUUAGAGAUAAUCUACCCUAAACAUCAUCUGUCAGGCACUCUGAAGAUGACUCUCAUGGUACAGUAGCCGAUCGGAUUAGGUUCAGUGAACCUCACCGCCGAUGACCGUCGCGCUGUGAUUCACGUCGAUCGCCGGGAUUCGUGCGUUGUGGAUUGUGGAUAACUGUGGGCAGGUAAAGAUCUUGGCGCCUGGAUCAGCUUGAGUUCGGUCGCGGCUAAGCCCGCCGUACCCCCUUGCUCAUCGGUGGAUCGAGAUGAGACCUCGCCGCCGUUGAUCGAUCACUACCGUGCGCUGCGUGUCCAGACACUUUACCACGUCACGAUUAGUUACGUUAGGGGAUCCGGUGAUCGCCGGAGGAAGCGCCACGGUGAAAGCCACCCAUCCCGAGCACCAGGAUCCCUGUUUCCCUCCGGUCGCCAGCACAACCUCAUGAAAUUGGACACCACCGACGAUGGGAACUAUAAAUUGACACCUCCGUCCGCUCCGCUAGGUAACUACGCAGCCGGUGAAGCAAUCCGCACCUUGAAUCCUCCCCAAGAAUUCACCAAUUUUGGAUUUCCCCAAGCUGCUCAAGAACACCGCGUGUCUUGACUUCGCCGCGGUCCGCUCAAUUCUUGUCUGAUUUUGCCAUUUAUGUUCUUGUUUUAGCACCCAUGCUUACCCUGGAUACUCACCAACCCGCCCAAUUGAACUAGAAACCCACUGAUCAUUGGGAACGCGGUUGUCUGUCCGCGACACCCACGGUCACUGUGGCCAGAACAAACCUGGUAGUCAUUGAUGAAAUUAAGUGGGGGGAAACAUUCAUUAUACCUUGAAUUCGGUCUCAGUCGAAGGAUGGCGCCAGUCACUACGUGAGUCGGCCGGUAUACGGGCUCGUCGGAGCUCUGCGCACCGCCGCUCGACGAUGGGGACUUCGAGUUGUAAAGGGAAGGAAGUGCAGGGGUUUAUUGAUAAAUGUCAGCGACUAUUUCAAAUAGUACUUUGGACUCGUUCAGAUUAUUCAAAAAGACAGGGACCACCAUGCAAAGUGUGCCGCGCGGGCGUGCGCGCGGGCAGUUUCUUUUGGUCGUGGGCUAGUUUCGGCCCAGGACUAUUCAUUCAUUUUCUUUUUCUUUUUCUACCAGAGCUAAAACAAUUCUAGAAAAUUGUAGAAAAAUCCCAAAAAUGUAGGACCAAUUUUGCUAGAUUCCUAAUUUUCCAUAGAAUUUAAUAAAAAUAGAUUUAGGAUUUUUAAUCCAAACAGGAAAUUACAUAGUAUUUAAAACAGCCUAAGACCUUGUUUCUGGAAUUUUAGAACAUAGAUAAUGAUUCCAAAAAUCCCCAAACUUUUUGGAUGACCUUAUAUAUUAUUUAGAAGCCUUGGGUAGAGUUUGGUAUGAUUUGGACCUUGUCUAAUACUUAGAACCCUAAACCCUACCCCUGCCAUUUGAAAUACAAUAUUGACUCCGGAAACCCUAGGUUCUCGGAGAACCGUGAAGGAAAAUUGUACUCAAGACUUUAGAUAACCAAUUUCUAUUGUUUUUGCAUCUUCAUGAGCACUACAUGAGCAUUCAUUAUUGUACUUGGCUACAUAUAGCAAACGAAGAAGAAGUUGAAGUUGAAGAAGAAAGGACACCACCACCACCACCACCUGAGGAACAUCAGGCAGGCAGCUGUUUCUAUUUUGACAUCUGCGGGUCCGAGCCUGAUUCACCAAUAAAACAAGGCAAGCCUCGGUGCAUUUGCCACCUCCUUGAUUCUUUUAAAAUCUUUCUCACUUGCUUGAUGCAUUAGGUAAUAGGAGUUAAGUGCUAAAACAAUUCCUGCAUUUCCUUCCUUGAAUUUGAUUACCUUCCUUGAAUCCCUGUUUUACAAAAGGUUUUUCCGAUGUUUAGUCUUGCUCUAGCAAAACAAAAUGUUUUGUUUUUACAAAAAGAUGAUGUUGCAAAGUGGGAGGGAUGCUUUCGAAAAUAAAACUUGAUGGUGGAUCCAUCAUGGCCAUGAUGGGUUCAACAUCAGAAAAGAUGUACCUCUGCCAGGUACCAAACUUUGGGUUUGAAAUAAUUAAGCUGAGACCGGGCGGGUGACUUGCACGAGAAGAGAGUCUCGGUGUAGUGUCUCCGUCUGAGUCGAUUAAGGACCGUCUCGAUGUAGGCUUGCUGACCGAGGACCCUUUAACUGGUCACAUGCCUCGUCAUGGGUAAGCUUUGCCUCGGGCAGACUAAUACCAGAAUAAGAUAACCCGCAAUGGGCGUGGAGAGAUGGCGAGAGUAGCAUGUACCCUCCGUGGCAAGAGGCUGGACGGUGGUGUAUCUAUGCUCUCGGUUGGCGUGAACCUGAUCUGGUCUUAAGAACCCCGGUGGCGAGUUGACAUAUGCAAGGGUUAAGUGCUACAUAUGUCGUGUGAUUGGAGAUCCUCAGCUGAGUAUAAUCGAUUCGGAUUGCCGUACCUUCGCGGUUAUGAAGAAUUGGUCACUGUCCUAUACGUAGAAAUCCAGUAUAGAUGAAGGGUUGUUAAGAAAUUGGCUAGUGCAGGUCAAGUGUUUGAACUAGGGUAGAAAGAACUCUAGUUGCAGGUAAUCUUACUUAACCUGACAAAUUAAAAUUGGAUUUUUAAGGAUCCACUUUAGUAAGCAUUUCUGCAAACAGAGUCAUUGAUUAUUGAUAAGCCUUGCCUUGACUCCCUUAAAGCCAGCAUAUCCUUGAGAGUCUUUUACUUUGUCGGGUAAGUCUUUUGAAAGUACACUUCGUACUCAGGGCUUUGUCCCAUGUUGUUUUAGGUGAAGAAGCAACAAACUUUUGUUGCUUCUGUUCAAAGGUGGUACCCAAAGACGAACACCAAGACUAGAGCCACGGGAGGGAAGGCCCUCCGUUAAAAACUUUUUACUACUUAUUCGGGAGGAGUUUUUGCCUCCCAUGGUUUGUAAUAAUAAUACUCUGCACUCGUAUAUUAUGUUUUGGUCUGUAAAUAUUUAACUUUGUCCUACUUUUCAAAUAAAACUAAGCUAUUGUAACUACUUCCGCACUUCCGCAUCUCUGAUGAUUUGUAAUGCCUGCGUGACGGGUAAAACGCUCUUGGGAAGGUAAGGAACUCAGAUACCGAGCUUGUCAAGUGAUCAGGUGCACCUACAGGGUUGUCUGAGGUCCAUUGGACAAGGACAAUUGCAGCUGGGCCUAAUGACCUGGGAUGUUCCGUCACAUUAUUCAUCAUAAUGCAUUGAUGAGGUAUAAGACAAUAAAAUUUCAGGACAAUGAUGAAGACAAUAGAGACGUCGAAAGAGAUGGUGAAUUGGGUGAAAGGAAUAACAAGGUUUUGAUCAUAUUGUUGUGAAUGUUUAUUUGUAACUGAUGUAUACUGAACUUUGAACCAAUUUUUCAGGAAAUUCAAGACGUAUCUAAUAUAAUUGAAGGGGGUGUGGACAAUGUUCAAAUACCUAUACUGAUACAUUCAUUUGAAGAGGUAAUAUCUUUAACAACUAUAUUGAUUUGCGGUUGUACAUAUAAAUGAUUUAUUGUUUGUGUUAUUGGCUUAUGAUUGAGCUUAAAAUGUGUUGGCAGGUACAGGUUAAUUUGCAGGAUCACGCGAAUAUGAAUGAGAGUGGUGACCAUGAACAAAGUGAUCAUGCUAGAAAGGUAAUAAUGGUAUUAUACUGAAUGUUGGACUGCAUAAUAUUAUAUGCUGAGAAAUAUAUACUUUUGAAUUGCAGAAACUGGAUUUUGCAGUCGAUGGGAUAAGCUUGGCAAGACCAAAUAACUCAAAACCCAAAGGAAGAACAAUAAAGGGGAGUGAACAAAAGGUUAUUAAAUUGGGAGCAAAAGGUACAAAGAAAAUGAACAUGAAAUGCCAGAAGUGUGGAAUUGCUGAUGGUCACAACAGUAGGACAUGUUUGCCAUUGGAGGAAAAUAGAUUACAGUUGGCUAGCCUUGCUGGACGUAAGAGAGGACGACCUCCUGGAUCUAGGAACAAGGGUGGAAGUAACGCUCCUCAUUGGAAUGAGACAACAACAUCAAAAAAACACGCAAUUGAUUUCGAUAGCAGUGAGUCAGGCAGUGAUUAGUAUGUUGCAUGAGUGACAAAUGAUUUAUAUACAGGUGGUUGUUGAAAUCUAAUAAAUAUAGCGUAUAUUCCUUACUAAUGUUGCAUAAUUGACACUAAUAAAACAUCGUAUAUAACCUGUAUGAUAAUCGUAUAAUACGUAAACUAUAUGACCAGUAAUGUGAUGGAUGCGCAAUAUGCUUCGUGAAUAACAGAAUAACAAAGAGUAUAAAAAUGAUCGGGAUACCAAUAAGUUUAUAUACAUAUUAACCAAAAAGUAUAAACUUAAAUGAAUUGUUCGUAAUAUUAAGAAAUGAGGUAUGCAUAAAUAAUGUAGGCAAUUAACAAAAGAAGAACUUCAUAACAUAUAAAAGAUCAUAUUUAAGCCCACAAAAGUAAAAACAUCUGUUGUUCACAAGACAGAAAAACAUCGUCGCAGCCUAACCAAAAGUAUCCCACCAACUAAUGUUCACAAAAGUACCUGUGUAACAACCUAAGACAAGGUAGCAUAACAACUGUUCUAAACAUCACAUGUAAGGAAGCUUCCUAACAUUGUUAACUAACAAGCAUGACCAAAAUACCACAGUACGAUACAUGGCCCACACCAUUGCUUAGUUCUGACACAUAGUUAACUACUUGCGCGCAAACAUAAAUCUCUGGAUAUCUAAUGGAACUGGCAGCGCCUUGUUCAUGCAAUGGAAUGUGAGUUGAUAAAGGGCAUGAGCACGUAGGUCUCGAGAAUUGUCCUGCAAUAAAAGCAUAGCAUGUAUUAUACACGUAUAUAGCUAACAUGUACAACGAUGGCAACCGAAAUAUAAAAUAGUUAGCAUAUUCACUUACUGGUUGAGUGUAAGAAGUGAUGACACCUGCAUUGUGAUCAUAAUACUUCAUGUAACUCAUUACAUAAAAGCCACAGUCGUUUGACCCUGUUCUCAUUGUUGGGCAAUUAGAUGGCAUAUCCAUUGGAAAAUUACCAAAUUUUGGGAAGGCUGCAUUGGGGCAAACAUGUUGUAACGCUUUGCUCAACCUACUCAUUAUAACCCUAGCCCAUGGGAAUUUCCUUCCACCUAAAUAGAUUGGGUCAUAAUGGUAGUCCUUCCAUGUGGUGCCACCAAGUUCUAUACCAUACAGAUUCGAAUCUAAAAUGUGUAUACACCGAUGCUGUAGGUUGAUUACAUACAGUGUCCAAUGUCCCCUACUAAGCAUAGGUACCAAUAUCUGUUGAUGAAAAAAUGUAAAUAAGUUACAUGUUGCUGUUACAAUGUCAUGAUGAGUAAAAGGUACAGUUAAUAUGCUAAUGAACCUGGGAACAAAAGGUUACUGAGGCUUACCGACUUGCAUUUAUCCAGAUUUACCAAAGGAGGCAAUGUGUUAUGCAAGCAAUUCUAUAACACAUUUUGAUCAAACGGCUGAGGAUUCUUACUAUGACGUUCCUGCUCUUCAAAAUUUAGCAGAGCCUAGAAACAACAAAGAGAGUGUGUAAGUAUAUUCUGUCAAUAGUUACAAUAACUGUGAAGAAGAACCUACCCCAACAUUGACAUCAAGUACUAAUCUGUUAGAAGUCAUAGUUCGACGAUGAUUUUUGGAAUCAUCACGAACACACUCAAUGAAGCACUGCAUGAAGACAUUCUCAAGACACUUCCCCUCUGCGAAAGAUUCAUAAAUAUCGAUACAGUUUCCACUGUAUUCACCGUAAUCUAUGACAACCCUGUAUGAUGAAUAUAGCUAUAUAUUCAUAUUGCAUACAUGAAACAAACUUAUAAAUACGGUCUUCGCAAUUUGUGUAACAUGUACCUACUUUGGUCAAUGUCCUUGGAACAGAGUAAAUCCCACAGAGAACGAACACAAUCAAGCUCUGUAAGGAGUGGAUCAGUUCCAGAAAUUGUUGUCCCUAUCAGUGUAUCAUCCUGAGAUGCAACCUGGUUAUAAGUGUUUGAACAUUAGAAUAAUUAGUUUAAUGGCAUAAAAUGCAUUAUAUAAGAUGUAUUUUAUUAUACUGACAUGAGGCGUUGGGGUCUGAUAAAAAACUAGCCCACUGUCAUUGUGUUCCAUUUCCUCUGUUGCCAUUUCACCUCUCUACACAAAGGUAUAUUAUUAGUAAAAUUAUGCAAUAUGUAUUGUACUAAUGUAUCAUAAAAUGGAAUUAUAACAUGAGACAAGGACUGCUAAACAAACAUUUUUUGCGGUGUCACGUCAAAUUUCGGCAAACGGGUGCAAGCUGGUGUGGUUUGAGGUGUGAUAUUUGUGUUCCUCAACAUGUUGUUUCGAACAUCAAAACAGAAAUCCUGUUGACAAAAUAGUGUGGUUCGUAUCCAGCUAAAAAGUAAUAUGCAAACAAUGUACGUAUGAUGAGUAAAAAAAGCUAUUGGGGUUGGAUAUAUUACCUGAUGUCCUGUAACAACAUCCGCUUCGUCAGGACAAGUCUCCAGUACUCUACGGAUAUGCUGUUGUCUUUCAUGAAUUUCUUCAAACUGAGUACCACCCAGCUGGGUCUCGAGCUGCGAUGCUUUGGAUGACAGAUCCGGUGUGGGUUGGGUGGCAUGCAUAGUGUGUCCUUGUACACAAUUAUAUUGAAAAUAAUAUAUGUCAAAACUUGCAUUAUAGAUCAAAUGUUGCUGCGUAUACUAAGGGCCCGUUUGGCACAGCUCCAACUCCUGAUUCUAAGCGAGGAUCUGGAGGAGUCGUGCCAAACGAGUAUUUUUUUAAACUGAUUCUCAUGUGGAGCCGAAAGAUUGGGAGACGUUUUUGUGAAGAAAGGUGGGAUCUAAAAAAACCUGCUCCACCCUCCCUUAAAACAACUCUUCAACCAACCAAAUAUGGACCUCCACUUAAAGUUUGAUCGAAAUUACCCGCAAUUGCCAUUGGACAAAAACAUAACGAUCCCCUCCCACACCCUCCAUGGCGCCCGUCCUCUGUCCCGUGACCACCUGCCUAUCGCUGAAGGACAGGGAGUGGCGGCUAGGGUAUCACUACUCUCGCUGUCCUCCAGCCCUUCCACCCCACAGGGUGGCCACCGGGGGUCCACCGGCGCCGGCGCUAGCCUUCGGUCCCGCUACCUCGCUGCCGCUCUGCCCUACCAUAGCCACUACCUCGCUGCCACUCUGCUCUGCUAUCCGCGGUGCUGUGGCGACCGACCUGUGGGUGUGAGGUGUGAGCAGCUGAGCAGAGCAGAGCAAGAGACGCGGGUGGAAGAACGAUCGCGCGGUGGGGCUACAGCGAGACUGCAAGAGACGCGGGUGUCGAGGUAUGAACUGCAAUCCCUGUCGCAUCUGUUUACAGCACUAGCACCAUCUCGCGGUGAGCAGGUGUACAACACUAGCACCAUGCACGAGUUGCUCAAUGGUUUCUCCUAGUCAUCUGAUUAGUCACAUCAUGCUGCAGCUGUGACACCCCAGUGUCACCUAGGGUUUCUCUUAAAAAGCCAAACCAAGGACCAUUAUUUCAUGUGAAUCAAAGUAAGCAUGGGCAUCAAAUUAACUUAAGUAAUAAAGAAUUCACCAAGUAUAUACUUAAAAGUGUCAUGAUCAAAACAAUUGAGACUUUUGAAAGAUAAGAAUGUGCAACCCUAAUUCAAAACCCUAAGUAAACCCCAUGAACAAAAUUCAAGAAAGUAAGAAAAAGGGAAUGAAAAGUUUAAAAUUUUGACUUGAGCCAAUUAGAAAAAUUAAAGUACACUUAAUGAGCAACAAGAAAGAUUGAGAAGGCUUAGCCAAAAUAACUCAAAUAAAUCCCCAAAUCAGCCCUUGAUCAAUGAACCCUUAGAGAAAUUCAGAUUUCUGAAUUUCUGAAUUUCAGACCUCUUCUCAAAGAUCAUCUGUGUUCUCUGCUUUUCCAAACUCAAAGGCAGAAGAUCCAAAUAUCAAAGUCGUGCCAAAUUACCUUGAACACAUUCUGGGAAAGUUUGAACUCAAACCAAAUUCAUUUGACACGGUUUUGGCGCAGCUCAACCUCGGGACCAGGCAUUCUGACACUGGCACCUUGGUGACGCUACAACUCCCUGUCCCUAGCCUAAAACCGCACGUCGUCCAUACACAAAAGACAAAGCUUGGUCUGGUGAACAAAUCCCUUGCAGUGAUCUUGCCCAAAUUCGCGAAGAUUUGCUCCCAAUCGGCGCUUGAACAGGGGCAGAGGCAACGGGAACACGUGUUCGACCGCGGCUGACACCCCCGGUUCACGCCCGUUCGCGCACCGCGCCUUCCCAGUGCACGCCCGCGCACACUCGCCGGUCCACGACCGCCCGUGCACCGCGCCGUGCCUAUAAAGCCCUCCCAGGCGCGCCCCACUUCGCCCCGCACUCACCCUCACCGGCCAGCCACUUCCCCUUAGCUCCGGCGAGCUUAAAUCCGCCCGCCAUUGCCGCCAGAGCUUCGGCCACCGUGGCCAGCCCACCCCAGCCAUCCUCUGGGCAAGCCAGUGCUUCGGCUAGCUCCGCCAGUAGCCCGUAAAGCUUGCCAAGCCCUCGGACCCGACCGGACUUCACCGGAGGCCCGAGAUCGACCUCACCGGACUUCGGUCUUCCGCCGCCGCGCGUGGACUGAGCUAUCCAGUGAGUCUCCGCCCGAUUCCUUUCGCUCAUGUCUUCUCUGGCAUCCCGUGGACCUCCCUGACCUAUUUGAUUGAACUAUCUCGCCGUGACCAGGCCGGUCUCCUCGCCGCCGACGAGCAUCCCCGCCUGCGCGCGUGGACCGACCGACUCCGGCCAUCUCCGACGGCGUUCCGCACACCGUUGUGAUCCCCGCGACCUCCCCUUCACCCUCGACCACUUCACCGGAACAGUCUCGCCGCCGGUAAGCCCCUCCGCCCUUUUCUUCGCCGCGGCUACUGUUUAAGGUAGAAGAAGGACCUCGGGUUAGGUUCUGUAGAACCCGAGGGGUUUUCUGUAAUGUCAGCGACUCAUGUGAAUAGUAACCUAAGGACUGAUUCGCAAAGGAAACUUAGAAAACCGCCAGGGACCCCAGUGCAAAGUGGAUUUCCACUUAAUCAAUUCUGCUAUUCUUUUUAAAAUGACCAGAGAACUUAGAAAAUCCAUAACUUGAUGAAAUCUUAAUAAAAAGUUGUCAAACCAAUUUUGCUAGCUCUGGAAUAUUGUAAUCUGUCAUUUAAAAAUAGUGAACCCUAUGCUUUCUGUUCUAAAUUUUAGAGUUUAAAAUUAAAAACAGAAACCCCCUAAACCUUAUUUAAUUAAGGAAAAUUAGUUUUUCUUUUGUGCUGAGCUUAAGAAAAUUUGUAGAUGUUUAUACCUUAUUUAGACACUGUUUAAAAAUAGUAGGAACACCAGCAUUGGAAAAUAUGAGGUAGUUAUUUAUUUAAAGCUAUUUUGCCCAAAACUUAGAAAAAAUCAGAAAGGCCUUAGAGAUUAAUGAACAGUGAUUAAUAAUAUUUUUCCUAGUUUACUUAUGCAACAGAGAACCUAGGAAAAAUACAGAGACCAUUAAUUUGGACCAGUUCUUAAAUAAGAUGAUUUAAUUAACCUUAUAUAGACUGAAAAUUAAUUAUUAUAAUUGCAAAACUAUAACCAAAGUGGUUAGUAAAAAUCCAGUGAACUUAUAACCACCAGAGCCCCACUACAAAAAUACAGAACACCCCAGCCCAACUUUUUAAGUAGGGAAAACAAAUACAGAGUGAUAAUAAGGCAUUUUUCCAAUAAAUCAUAAACAACCCCUUUUAAUGUGAUAAUGGGCAACCAAAAAUUGGCUAAGUCCAUGAUGAGACAAUCCACCAGAGAAAAAUGCAAACCCAUGAAAAAGAAGUAAACUCAUACCUUUUGCUAGUGAUUAAAGAGAAAGACCACUUAAUUCAAAUAAUGCAAACCACCCCUUCCCUUAAGCAAAUAGAAGCCAAACUUCAGAAUGAUUGCUCUUGCACAAAAUACCAACUAAGAAAAAUAAGAACUCUGUUGUUUGAUGUUUUAAAAUAUAGUGGUAGUAGAAAGCACCCCUUUGGCUAGAAACCUUAAGAAAACCAUAGGAAAAGAAUUAAAAGGUGUUAAUGACUAGAAAUUUGUAUCAAGUCAUGUUAUGACACCUAAAAGUCAGCAAAAAUAAGUUUUGGAGAAUUACCCACUGUUAAAUAAUAGUUAUAGUUCAAAGUACCCCUUCUGCCCUAAAAUUUGGUAAUUUUGUCCAGAGAAAACCAUUCACCUUCUGACCCCCAAAUUUUGAGACAGAAAAUCAUACACCAGUAACAAGCCACUGUAAUUUUUGCAGAAUUUUUAGAAUUUUAUAAAAGCAACUUGUAGUUCAAACCUACUCCCAAAACAUUAAAAGAAUAAAAGAAGAGGAAAGAAGAAAUAAACCCCACCUCAAUAAGUCUAACUUGAGAACUUAUCAUUUAUCACUAAGACUUAAAAAGAAUUCAGUGGAACCCCAAAAGUAAACCUACCCCCUUACCUUAACUAAGUUUAACCCAAUUUACCAAGUAUACCACCCAAGGGUUUUACAUAAGUAAAGUUAACUUGUUUAAACUCAAAAGCCCAUACACCGUUAAGGUUGUAAUUUCUAAAGGCACAUAUCCUAUCAUGCAUAUAUCUUACGCAUUGCAUUCAUUAGAUUGUAAUCUUGCCGACGGAGAGUACGUGCUCAUCCCCGAGCAAGGACCUGUCCAAGAGGAGGACCAGGAGCAGGCUUCAGAGGCUGCUAUUGAGGAUCUCCCCGCAGCCCCAGCAAUUGAAGGCAAGCCCCGGUUUUAUGCAUAACCGUAUUAUUAUAUGCUACUUUACUACACUUAAUGCUUGUAGGAUUGUAAUGUGCACUUAAGUGUAGGAGUUGCUUGAAACCUCUAGUUGCAUGAACUUAGGAUUCCUUUUUGAGAUGAAUACUAGUAUGCUAGGUCGAGUAGCUGCUUGCUAAUCAGGAUCUCGGUAGAAGUCGAGUGAUUUUUCUAGCACUUGCGCGAGGUCAGGAAUUGAUUGUAUUCAUCUUGAUAACGGGAUUUAUGUUGGUCUAUGGACUUGGAUCCAGGGAGGAUGCCUUGUCCAUGAGACGGGAAAAAUGAAUUAAGGAUUAAUGUGUGGAUACCUGAGUCAAGCUUUUGAACGUACUAAGCACAUGCCGGGAAAAAUGGUAACCGGUAAACCUAGUACCUGAGUGAAGCCGGGCGCGGACUUUAUCGCUCAUGCGACCUGAGACUGGGUCUCCCAUGCUAGCUAUGGUGGGUACAAGUGCGGUCACUGCACGGCGGCAGCCGGGGUCAGUGGAGCAUUGUAUGCCAAGGCGGUGAGGCCUGGACGCGAACGGGGAAUCGAUGGGGACGGUUGUCUUGUGUGGGUCGGAGUACCCUGACUUGACGUGUGUUUAGGUUUACCUUGCAGGGUUAAAACUCGAUUCGAAUCGUCUGCUUCUCGCAGCUAAUGAGACUGCUUGAUUCCUUGUACUACAUCGAGUAAGAAGUGAAAUGUGGUUAUAUGAGAUAACUUGUUGGUUGAACUAAUUGAUUGUUACCAUGAAUGAUUAGAAGGAGCAAAUCUAGCUAUGUUAAUGAUGGUAGAAUUCGAAAAGCUAAAAUUUGAUUUUAGAAACAGCUAGUGCUUUUGGCAAACCAAACCCCUCAGCCAAACAGCUGCAUAGUCUAGAGGUAGAGGAGUAGACUCCUCACACCGGUUAAGUCUAGCUGAGUAUUAGUAUACUCAGCCUUGCUUGUGGCACCAUUUUUGCAGGUACCAUGCAGGAUUUGGUUGAUGGUGUGACUUGGCCUACUACCCUGCCACCGGGUUGGACGGUCGAGUGGGAUGUUGCUCCGGCAGGAGAGGAGCAUGAGGAGUAGUGGGCUAGGCCUUGCCCAAUUCCUCAUUACCGACGACAUCGAUUAUCCGCUGCACUUUAUUUUGUGAACUUUAUUUGCUACUCAAAAACUCCGAUUUAUGUAAUAACUCAGUACUUAAUUUGAGGUUUCCUGUUUUAUUGUAUUUCUUCUGUGACUCACCUUCGAGUGAGAUUGUGGAAUUUGAUCCUGGUUAAGUGGCUUCAUCAGACUAGAUCUGAGGGACUGACGGGUUAUUCCGAUUUAAGUGUAUUACGGCCCCUGAGGCGUGACUUAGGCACUUAAGCUGGAAUAAUUCGGGCGGUUCUGCCACAGUAGUGAGAGCACCUAGAGGGGGGGUGAAUAGGUGAUCCUGUAAAAACUUAACUUAUAGCCACAAAAACUUGUUAGAGGUUAGCACAAUAAUUGCCAAGUGGCUAAAGAGAAGAUCUUGCACAAUACGACAAUCACAGAGAAUUCAACACAGAGGAGACACGGUGAUUUAUCCCGUGGUUCGGCCAAGUACAAAACUUUCCUACUCCACGUUGUGGCGUCCCAACGGACGAGGGUUGCAAUCAACCCCUCUCAAGCGGUCCAAAGACCCACUUGAAUACCACAGUAUUUUGCCUUGCUUAUCUUUAUCCCACUUGCGAGGAAUCUCCACAAAUUGGAGUCUCUCGCCCUUACACUUAAGAUUCACAAAGAAGCACGGAGUAAGGGAGGGAAGCAACACACACAAAUCCACAGCGAAACGCGCACACACACGGCCAAGAUUCGAGCUCAAAGACUAUCUCACAGUUUCUCACAAGAACAGAGCUCGAAUCACUUAGAAUCACAAACGGAUGCGCAAAGACUGAGUGUGGAUGAUCAAGAAUGCUCAAGAGUUGCUUGGUUAUCUCCUCCAUGCGCCUAGGGGUCCCUUUUAUAGCCCCAAGGCAGCUAGGAGCCGUUGAGAGCAAAUCUGGAAGGCUGAUCUUGCCUUCUGUCGUCGGGCGCACCGGACAGUCUGGUGCACACCGGACAGUGUCCGGUGCCCGAUUCCUUUCCUUAAAUGGCGAAGCCGACCGUUGCAGAUGCGGGAGCCGUUGGCGCACCGGACAUGUCCGGUGCACACCGGACAGUCCGGUGCCCCCUUCCGACCGUUGGCUCGGCCACGUGUCCCGCGCAGAUCGCGCGGCCGACCGUUGGCCCUGGCCGACCGUUGGCUCACCGGACAGUCCGGUGCACACCGGACAGUCCGGUGAAUUUUAGUCGAACGCCGUCAGCAAAUUCCCGAGAGCGGCCUCUUCGGCCGAGGGAGCCUGGCGCACCGGACACUGUCCGGUGCACCACCGGACACUGUCCGGUGCACCAGACCGAAACAGUCCCUUGGCUGUACACAGCCAAGUCUUCUCUUAUCUUCUUCUAUCUGUUUCUAACACUUAGACAAAUAUAUUAGUACACAAAACCAAUGUACUAAGACUUAGAAACAUACCUUUGUUGUAGAUUUGCACUUUGUUCAUUCAUGGGCAUUGGUUCACAUCUAAGCACUUGUGUUGACGCUUAAUCACCAAAAUACUUAGAAAUGGCCCAAGGGCACAUUUCCCUUUCAAUCUCCCCCUUUUUGGUGAUUUAUGCCAACACAACAUAAAGUAGAUAGAACAAGUGCAAAAUCACUUCAAAUAAAAACUCAAAUUGGUUUUGAUUCAAUUUUGGCAUAUAUGGAUCAUCCUUUGCCACCACUUGGUUUGUUUUUGCAAAUCAAACUCAAAUCUCUAUUUCUAUGUCAAACACACAUGUUGAGGCAUAAAGAGAGUCAUUCCAAAAGAGAUUGAUCAAGGAUUUCAAAAACUCCCCCUAUUUCCCAUAAUCACCACUUCUCCCCACAAGAAGCCAACUUUUGACAAUAGAGACAAUAAGAGACAAUAAAAGCUUUUGACAAAACAAAAACUCACAAAAACUCUAUUCUACUAUUUUCAAAAUCUCUCAAGUGGUAGCUGAUCCAUUUAUUACUUUGGCCUUUAUUUUCUCCCCCUUUGGCAUCAAGCACCAAAACGGGAUCAAUCUUGGCCUUUUAACCCCAUUGCCUCACCAAAGUCUUCAAUUAAGAGCAAAUGGCAAUAAGAUUUCAUGAGAUGAACUUGGAAUUAGUUACCCUCUCAUCGGAGUGCAGUGGAAGUCUUUCAUGGUCCAAGUCCACCUUUUCCCUUUCAAUCCUCCUUCGAGACUAAAUUGUCAAACUCAAGCACAUGGUUAGUCUCAAAGGGUCAAGUUGUAACACAUCUCCCCCUAAACAUGUGCAUCACUUUGCAACGGACUUGUGAGGUCCAGGGAGUGUUUGUAUAACUUGAGCACCAUAAUAAGCAACAAAAUGCAAAAAGGAACAUGAUCAAAAGCAUAAGUACAUGUAUGCUACAAUUCAAUCCAGGUUCCGCGAAUCUAUGACAUUUAGCUCACUACGCAACCUGCAAAAGGUCUUCUCAUCUAGAGGCUUAGUGAAGAUAUCGGCUAGCUGGUUCUCGGUGCUAACAUGAAACACUUCGAUAUCUCCCUUUUGCUGGUGGUCUCUCAAAAAGUGAUGCCGGAUGUCUAUGUGCUUUGUGCGGCUGUGCUCAACAGGAUUCUCCGCCAUGCGGAUAGCACUCUCAUUGUCACAUAGGAGUGGGACUUUGCUCAGAUUGUAGCCAAAGUCCCGGAGGGUUUGCCUCAUCCAAAGUAGUUGCGCGCAACACUGACCUGCGGCAACGUACUCGGCCUCAGCGGUGGAUAGGGCAACGGAUGUUUGUUUCUUAGAGUUCCAUGACACCAGGGACCUUCCUAAGAAUUGGCACGUCCCCGAUGUACUCUUCCUAUCGACCUUACAUCCAGCAUAGUCGGAGUCUGAGUAUCCAACUAAGUCAAAGGUAGACCCCUUUGGAUACCAGAGCCCGAAGCAAGGCGUAGCCACCAAAUACUACUAGCACAUAAGUAAAGCAAAGAACCUAUCAUUGACCGGUAUGCUUUUUGAUCAACGGACUUACCUCCUUUGUUGAGGUCGGUGUGUCCGUCGGUCCCCAUCGGAGUCUUUGCGGGCUUGGCGUCCUUCAUCCCAAACCGCUUUAGCAGAUCUUGCGUGUACUUCGUUUGGGAGAUGAAGGUGCCGUCCUUGAGUUGCUUCACUUGGAACCCAAGGAAGUAGUUCAACUCGCCCAUCAUCGACAUCUCGAAUUUCUGCGUCAUCACCCUGCUAAACUCUUCACAAGACUUUUGGUUAGUAGAACCAAAUAUUAUGUCAUCGACAUAAAUUUGGCACACAAACAAAUCACCAUCACAUGUCUUUGUAAAAAGAGUUGGAUCGGCUUUCCCAACCUUGAAAGCAUUAGCAAUUAAAAAGUCUCUAAGGCAUUCAUACCAUGCUCUUGGGGCUUGCUUAAGUCCAUAGAGCGCCUUAGAGAGCUUACACACGUGGUCGGGGUACCUGUUGGGGGCCUUCGUCCUCCGAAGGUCCUCAAAAACAUGAUCUGACAAUGUUUUCCAAGUGGAUUAUGUGAACAGGUAUUUUCGGAUUCAGAAUUAUGGAUAUGGAGCACGGCCAGGACGAAGCCUGAACCAAACGAAGGUCGAAGACAGCCGAAGCUGUGCGCAGGGAAGCUUCGGCGCGAUGGCAUAAGGGGGAACCGACUUAAAGAUGAAAAGACUUCGGGGGCCUCGACAGAUUUCCAUAAACUUUCAACAAAUGUGAUGGACAUGGAUGUAAUUUCACGUGGGCUGCGUCCCGCGUCUAUAAAUAGAUGAACAGUACUCCCGUACUGUUCACGCUGACUUGGCAUUGGCUUUUUGCGUCACGCUUGUAAUCUUUACCUUCUCUCAGGACCGAAGGUACAUGUGUAAUUUAAAAUCAUUUCUAUUUCUCCACAUGAAUAAAAUAGAAAUGAUUUUAUGUUAAUGUUUAUAUUUCAUGCUUUAUAUGAACCCUUCGGCAUUAUUUAUUAAUUUUACGAAGGUAUGUCCUUUAUGACCUUCGUCCUAAAGCAUUAUUUUCCAAAGGGGCAUAAUGUUUCAGAGGACGAAGGACCUUAAUGUUUAAUAUUUUCUAUGUUGCCUUGUUCUUAACUCUUAGCGUUUGAGAUCAAGUCCCCAACAUUGGCGCCCACCUCCGGUGAACCCACUUCCACUUCGAGUUUUUGUGAACACCUUCGGAAGCUAUAGACCUUCGCUAUGGCGCCGAAGAAAGCUUCAGCGACUGAAGCAGCACCACUACAACCGCUGGACCACAACCAGGAGACCGUCUCUCUUCGGGAGGCCCGAAGCCAGAAGAGAAAAGCCGUCAGCCCGACGCUUGAGGAAGAAGAGCUAGACCAAGAAAUCAGAGAGAUGGAGAUGCUACAUCAACAAGUGCAGAGGAAGAAGGAGAAGAUGGCCCGCCUAGCUGAGUUGCAAAGGCAAAUUGACGAAGCUUCUGAGGAAGUUCGCCAUCUCACUCACGAUGAGCAGAACAGAAGGCCUCAUCAGAAAGACCUUCAUCAGGAGGGCUUCGUCAACGAAGACGACUGGUAUGAUAAUUUCCAUCAGGGAAAUUUUGUUUUUGAUGAUGCUUCUCCUCUGUCUGCUGAGCUGCAGGCUACACCUUGGCCUCCAUCCUAUAAGCCACCCCAGCUCCCCAUGUUUGACGGCCACUCCGACCCGAAGCAAUUCUUGAUGAGCUACGAAGCAACAGUGUCUUCGUACGGGGGCAACGCUGCAAUCAUGGCGAAGUCUUUCGUCAUGGCCGUCAGGAAUGUUGCUCAGACCUGGUAUUCCUCCCUUCGGCCAGGAACAAUCACUUCAUGGCAGAAGCUGAAGGAUAUGUUACUGACCAGCUUUCAAGGAUUUCAAACGAAGCCGGUUACAGCUCAAGCUCUCUUCCAGUGUAUUCAGGAUCACGAAGAAUACCUUCAGGCGUAUGUUCGAAGGUUCUUACGAUUGAGGGCGCAGGCACCAACGGUGCCCAAUGAAAUCGUUAUCGAAGCCAUGAUCAAGGGGCUUCGUCCUGGACCUGCAGCUCAAUACUUUGCUCGGAAGCCUCCUCAGACCUUGGAGAAAUUGCUCCAAAAGAUGGAUGAGUACAUUCGUGCUGACAAUGACUUUCGCCAAAGAAGGGAGGAGGCCUUCAGAUUUUCUGAGAUGACCAGGGGCUUCGGAGGAAGAUACUACCCGAGGCAUGUCCGUUCCAUUCACAGCACUCAGAAUGAUGAUAAGGGGAGUCAGCAAAACAGGCCGCAGUGCUCCUCACAGGCUUCGGGGCAACAACAAACUUCCUUUCGGCCACCAGCUCCAAGAGGCAGAGGCGCCAGGGGCUUCGGCGGAAGAUUCGGAGAUCAGCCAAGGAGACUGUUUUGCCUAUUCUGUGGAGAGGGCAAGGGCCACACCACUAGGACGUGCCAUGUUACAAUCCAGAAGCAAAAGGAACUAGCCGAAGCUGCAUCUCAACAAGCUCAGUCGAAGCAGGUUAUGCAUACUGCUUCGUUUCAUCCGCCUUAUGUCCCACAAUACAUAGACAACCACCCUGCGGCUUCUGUAGCUUCGGCAAGUCAACCUCAAGCUUCCUGGCAGCAGCCUCCGCCUCCACCUCCAUUGCAGCAAGGUCAACAGCCAGAAGGGAGUCAAUACGCUCCACAGCAGAGGGACUUCAGAGAACAGUCCGAAGCUCGCACAGUCAACAGCACUGUGCCAGAGUCGAAGCACAUUUAUUGACAUAUCCUACCUUUGAUAGCAGUCUUUUCUAUUCAGUUUUAUUUUCUGUGAAGCAAAAAACAUUGAUAGUUUCCAUGUAAUAAUUUCGUUGUUUCCACGAGAAAAAUUUAUUUGAUUCACAGGCCUAAGUUGCCGAAGCCUAAAAUUUCUUCCGUUACCAAGAAGGACCUUCGGACUAAAAAUCCUUCGGAGUAACAAAAAGUCGUUCUAAGGAACGCAGAGUAAGUUUAUAAAGUCACAAAAAGUCGUUCCAAAGGGAGCGCAGCGUAAGUUUUCUGCUCAGAAGUCGUUCCUAAAGGAAUGCAGAGCCUACAGCGAAAAAUCAACGCUGAUACCGUCUAAGUAAAAGACGAAGAAGCUCCUAAGGGAGGCUUACAGCGAAAAGUCAACGCUGAUACCGUCUAAGUAAAAGACGAAGAAGCUCCUAAGGGAGGCUUACAGCGAAAAGUCAACGCUGAUGCCGUCUAAGUAAAAGACGAAGAAGCUCCAAAGACGUUCCUAAGGGAAUGCAGAGCUUACGAAUAUAUUUUAUGUGUAUCUUCGGAACAAAUGUCACAUGCAUAACAUAACAUCAUCACAUCAUUUUGCAUAGCAUAAGCAUCAUACAUCAUAUCGCAUUUGGCAAGAGAAGGGGACACUCUCAACCUUCGAAGGGAUGCUUUGAAAAAGUGACAUUGAAAUUGUAUAGCUUCGGAAUACAGUUUCGGGGAAUAUUUUCACGAAACAUGGGCGAACUUUAUCAGAUCAAUAUCAAAGUUGCAUAGCUUCGGAAAAUAGCUUCGGAAAAUGUUUUCACGAGGCAUCGAUGUCAUUCAUCAGAAUAAUUUUGACGAAGGCUAUCUUCUUCACGACGCAUGAAAAGAAGGGAAGGUGUUUUUUCGCCGAAGGCUCAAAAGUGGUAUGUAUUUAAAGUUUCAUGCAUCGUAAAGAAUUCAGUAAUGAAAAGAGACUUGUAUAUUACAUUCAAAUGUACAAAGUGUUGCAUAGAUUACACUUUAAAUGUUUUUUCCAAAUAGCACCUAAUCUUCCCUCAAUACUGCUUUGGCGGCUUCAUUCAGAAGUUGGUCAACAACCUUGUCCAUGAUAGUUUCGGCCAUUUGAUUAAUUUCUUCAUCCCCUUUUGUGUGGGGGACGGCAGAUCGUCCAACAGUUUCUGAGCGAAGAGAACACUUCUUCAGUACUUUUACAAAUCGCGAGCAAAGUUUAAAAUGAAAAUUACAACGCAACAAGAACGACUAGUUGGUACCUAACUGUCUUUCGGGCUCCCUACUCCUUUCGGCAGCGUCCGCUACUCUUCUAGCAUCGUGAAUGCCUUUUUCGCUUCUUUCAAUGAUCUCUCGCGCCAUUCCUCGGCCGCCGUCGUUCCAAAUAUCAGUAAAAAAUUUGCCUCCAACUGCGCUCGCUUCGGCCGAGGGGUCCUUGAUGUCUUCGGAAGAUAAGGUAGCUUCGGAUUGAGCUAAAAAUUUUACAUGUUCGCAACCUUUCUUCUCUAAGACGGAAGCAAUUCCUCUGGCGCCCGAAAAAGCACAUAUGUCGCCACGACUGUUCAGAAUCUCUUCGAAGGCCUCUGCUUCGUGGCUAAUCCAUUCCAGCGGACCUUCGGGAUUGCCUCGAGAGAAAUUCUCUUCGCUGGAAAAAGCGCCUACGCUGGCGAAGCUGGAUUUAAUUUUAUUAACACAUUCUACAGAUUUCACAUAAUAUUUCCCCUGAGAUGUGCGAAGCUCCUUAACUCUUGAUUCCAAUUUGCUGACCAUAAAAUCACUAAGUUCUCGUUUCGUUUCCUCAAGAGCGCGAUCCUCUUCGGCUCUGGCCAGCUGUUUCUGAAGAUCUUUAAUUUCGAGUUUUUGAGCUUCGGCCUGGGCCUUUGAAGCAGCUUCGUCUUUUCUCACUUUAUCUACCAGUGUAAGCAGAAUCUUAUCUUUUUCCAAAGCUUCGUUUCUCAGUUUGAUAACUUCGGAGCGUAAAUUAUUAAACGCAAUUUCAUAACUUUCAUCUUCGGCGCUCUUUUGCGCUCUUAACGCGUUGCUUAGGAUCAGGCCCUAUAUGAAAAAGAAUUCAUAUAAGAAAAAAGGAAUGAGUUGCGUAAAAAAAAAUAGGGGGUUUUUUCUCAAGUGUUUAAUUCCCGUACCUUCAGGCUGUUGUACGCGAGGCUGUCUGCGAGAUCCUCUUUCGUCAUGGCGCUUAACCCAGCUUCAAGCUUCGGAAAGCCUAUGCUUCUCGCCAUCUCUCGGCAGACGGAUAGCUCUUUGUUAUCAGGCAGGCAGUAUAAGAAGUCAUCUUCAUUUGUUCCAUUGAAUAUUACUGCCCCCUUCGGAUAUUUCAGCUCCUUUGCAUAAUGGUUGGCCUCAUGAGUUUCUUCCUCAGAUAGCUUUUUCCCCGAAACAUGUCGUAUGAUGUAAUCAUGCAUGCCGGCAGGUGCUUCGGGGAUGACGGUGUCCGUUUCUUCAACUAAUAUUGGUUCCGGAAUUUUUACUGCUUCGGCUUCAAAAGGUUGUUCUUUGAAGGGCUCUGAAGGCCCAGCUUUAGCUUCAGCUUGUUGCGCCGAAGCUUCAGUAGAAGUUUCAGCAAUCCCAACACUCUUUUUUGGAGUUGUGCUUGAAGACUUAAUCGUUUCCAAGACAUCUAGUACAUUUACCAUUCUUUUCCUUUUCGGGGUCAUCGUCGGCCCCUUUUGGAUUUUUGCUGCUCCGACAUUUACUAUAGGACUCAAAACUUCUGAUGCUUUUUCCGUAGUCGGUUUUUUCACUUCUAUUUUUUCUGUGGAUGGCGUUUCGGCCAACACUACAACUUCUGGCAGCAAGGUUGGCUGUUCAGCUUCGGCGGCCGAAGAUGUUUCCCCGGUAAACUCAGGCACCGAAGCUGGUUCAAUAUGGCGUGGCCGGUGUGUGAGGACCUUCAACCUUUUUUCUUUCGGUACUGGCUCGCUAGGAGCAGUUACAGCUUCUUCUUUUUCAGAAGUUGUGUUUUUCCUUUUUUGCCUUCGGAUGGGAUAAUGAUAAUCAGGGUAGAAGAACCCGACUGCAUCAAACACUCGGUUGAGUCUCUUCUUUUUUCGGCCUCCGAAGGCUGCUGAUAGCGCAGUAUGUUCAGCCUUCGAAUAUGCCCCAAGUAGAUCAUCACUUAAUGUUUCAAUGCUCUUCAACCAGUCAUCAUCAGGUUCAACGAAUUUAUCAGCAUAUUUGAAUGUGUAUUUCAGUCUAACUAGACCGCCUUCGUCGGGCUCUUUAAUGGUCUCCUUCGGCAUUUCCCACUUCUCCGCAAGUGGCCAUACCCUGAAUGCAAUGUGUUCUUGGACCAAGUCCCUUGACCCAAUAAACGAGCAGACUACCCCAAAGGCCCUUUGGCACUCUUCGGCGGCUUCGUCCAUUUCAACCUUCGGCCUUCGAAGACCGAAGCGUUGCCAGAUUGGUCGCAUAAUGAUUUUCUUCACAUUUUCUUGAGCUGUUAGGUCAUUCUUCACGUAAAACCAUUCAGUCAUCCAGGCUCCGGGCCACCUCUUCCGAAAGGUCGGCACAGGGCAGCUUGACCCGGAGCGCGCGCCGAAGCUGUAGCACCCAAAGUUGUUGUGGUAUUGCUCCUUUCCCCAGGGCUUCGUCUCGUAUAACAACUCAUGAAUGUUACAGAAGCUUUUAGCGUUUGGUUCCAAACCUUGGCUCCUUGCAGCCCAGGCAAAUAUCCCCAUUCUUAUAAUGGCUUCGGGAGUAAUUUGAUGCAAGAAGAUUUGAAAUGUUUUCAGUACUUCAACAACGAAGUUGCUUAAGGGAAAUCGAAGCCCAGCUUUGAGAAAGCUUCGGAAGAUUACGACCUCAUCUUCUUCGGGGGUGGGGGUAGUCUUUUCUCCAGCAUCAGCCCUCACAAUAGUUAUAUCUCGAAAGUAUCGCCCCCUCAUAUUAUCAAUAUGGCUCUGUUUGAUGGCAGUUUUCCCAAAAACCGCGUGACUUGGUCGCCACGGUCGAUCUUCGGCCUCUUCCCCGCCACUCUCCACAUCAAAACUGUCGCUGUCAUCAGUGUCUUCGGACAGACCUUCAAGGAUUUCCUUGGUGAUUUUCUCUGUAUUGGUUUCCGCCAUUGCCAUAAUAAACCCUAAGUUCUUCUCCUCCUCGAGACUCAGCUUCGUUUCAGUAGGGAUCUUCUUGCCUUCAGACAUCUUCGGAAACGCUAAAAAAAUUAUUCCCGAGACCGAAGCUUCAAAACCAAAAAGACCAGCAAAACUUGGUGCACAAGAGCUAAAAAUUUUAGUGGGCCGAAGCAGAAGGCAAGUGUGCGUACCAAAUGAGUUCGCGAUGUGAUCUUAUUUAUACGCCUAGGGCGUUGAAAAUUGAAAGGCCCCGCUUGUCAGUGAAUGUUGCUAUUCUAGCAAAGGGAAGGUGUUUUUUCGGACCUUCGGCUCAAGGCCUUCGUCCAUAUCGCAAUCUGAAUUUAUUACUUACAAAUUAAUAUUGCGAGGGGCUACUGUUGGGGGCCUUCGUCCUCCGAAGGUCCUCAAAAACAUGAUCUGACAAUGUUUUCCAAGUGGAUUAUGUGAACAGGUAUUUUCGGAUUCAGAAUUAUGGAUAUGGAGCACGGCCAGGACGAAGCCUGAACCAAACGAAGGUCGAAGACAGCCGAAGCUGUGCGCAGGGAAGCUUCGGCGCGAUGGCAUAAGGGGGAACCGACUUAAAGAUGAAAAGACUUCGGGGGCCUCAACAGAUUUCCAUAAACUUUCAACAAAUGUGAUGGACAUGGAUGUAAUUUCACGUGGGCUGCGUCCCGCGUCUAUAAAUAGAUGAACAGUACUCCCGUACUGUUCACGCUGACUUGGCAUUGGCUUUUUGCGUCACGCUUGUAAUCUUUACCUUCUCUCAGGACCGAAGGUACAUGUGUAAUUUAAAAUCAUUUCUAUUUCUCCACAUGAAUAAAAUAGAAAUGAUUUUAUGUUAAUGUUUAUAUUUCAUGCUUUAUAUGAACCCUUCGGCAUUAUUUAUUAAUUUUACGAAGGUAUGUCCUUUAUGACCUUCGUCCUAAAGCAUUAUUUUCCAAAGGGGCAUAAUGUUUCAGAGGACGAAGGACCUUAAUGUUUAAUAUUUUCUAUGUUGCCUUGUUCUUAACUCUUAGCGUUUGAGAUCAAGUCCCCAACAGUACCGUUCAUCCUCGAAGCCAGGGGGUUGCUCCACGUACACCUCCUCCUUGAUCGGCCCGUUGAGGAAAGCGCUCUUCACAUCCAUUUGGAACAGCUUGAAAGAAUGGUGAGCGGCAUAUGCUAGCAGGAUACGAAUAGACUCUAGCCUAGCCACAGGAGCAAAAGUCUCCUCGAAAUCCAAACCUGCGACUUGGGCAUAACCUUUUGCCACAAGUCGAGCCUUGUUUCUUGUCACCACCCCGUGUUCGUCCUGUUUGUUGCGGAACACCCACUUGGUUCCCACAACAUUUUGCUUCGGACGAGGCACCAGCGUCCAAACUUCAUUUCUCUUAAAGUUGUUGAGCUCCUCCUGCAUGGCCAACACCCAGUCCGGAUCUAGCAAGGCCUCCUCUACCCUGAAAGGCUCAAUAGAAGAGACAAAGGAGUAAUGCUCACAAAAAUUAACUAAUCGAGAUCGAGUAGUUACUCCCUUGCUAAUGUCACCCAGAAUUUGGUCGACGGGAUGAUCCCUUUGAAUCAUCGCUCGAACUUGGGUUGGAGGUGCUGGUUGCGCAUCUUCCUCCAUCACACGAUCAUCUUGUGCUCCCCCUUGAUCACACGCCUCCAGUUGAUGAACCUGUUCAUCGUCUUGAGUUGGGGGUAGCACCAUAGUUGAGGAAGAUGGUUGAUCUUGUUCAUCUUGUUCCUGUGGUCGCACUUCUCCAAUCGCCAUGGUUCGUAUAGCGGCCGUCGGAACAUCUUCUUCAUCUAUAUCAUCACAAUCAACAACUUGCUCUCUUGGAGAGCCAUUAGUCUCAUCAAAUACAACGUCGCUAGAGACUUCAACCAAACCCGAUGAUUUGUUGAAGACUCUAUACGCCUUUGUAUUUGAGUCAUAACCUAAUAAAAACCCUUCUACAGCUUUGGGAGCAAACUUAGAAUUUCUACCCUUCUUCACUAGAAUGUAGCACUUGCUCCCAAAUACACGAAAGUAAGAUACAUUGGGUUUGUUACCGGUUAGAAGCUCAUACGACGUCUUCUUGAGGAGGCGGUGAAGGUAGACCCUGUUGAUGGCGUGGCACGCCGUGUUCACGGCUUCCGACCAAAAACGCUCGGGGGUCUUGAACUCUCCAAGCAUAGUCCUCGCCAUGUCGAUUAGCGUCCUGUUCUUCCUCUCUACCACACCAUUUUGCUGUGGUGUGUAGGGAGCAGAGAACUCAUGCUUGAUCCCUUCCUCCUCAAGGAACUCCUCCACUUGAAGGUUCUUGAACUCGGACCCGUUGUCGCUCCUUAUCUUCUUCACCUUGAGCUCAAACUCAUUUUGAGCUCUCCUGAGGAAGCGCUUGAGGGUCCCUUGGGUUUCAGACUUAUCCUGCAAAAAGAACACCCAAGUGAAGCGGGAAAAGUCAUCAACAAUAACUAGACCAUACUUACUCCCUCCUAUGCUCAGAUAUGCGACGGGUCCGAAGAGGUCCAUAUGCAGCAGCUCCAGGGGUCUUGAAGUGGUCAUCACAUUCUUGCUGUGAUGUGCUCCUCCCACUUGUUUACCUGCUUGACAAGCUGCACAAGGUCUAUCUUUUUCGAAAUGCACGUUAGUUAAACCUAUCACGUGUUCUCCCUUUAGAAGCUUGUGAAGGUUCUUCAUCCCCACAUGUGCUAAGCGGCGAUGCCACAGCCAGCCCAUGCUAGUCUUAGCUAUUAAGCAUGCAUCUAGACCGGCCUCUUCUUUUGCAAAAUCAACUAAAUAAAGUUUGCCGUCUAAUACACCCUUAAAAGCUAGUGAACCAUCACUUCUUCUAAAGACAGACACAUCUACAUUUGUAAAUAGACAGUUAUACCCCAUGUGACAUAAUUGACUAACAGAUAGCAAAUUAUAUCCAAGACUCUCUACUAAAAAUACAUUAGAGAUAGAAUGCUCAUUAGAAAUCGCAAUUUUACCUAACCCUUUUACCUUGCCUUGAUUCCCAUCACCGAAUAUAAUUGAAUCUUGGGAAUCCUUAUUCUUGACGUAGGAGGUGAACAUCUUCUUCUCCCCCGUCAUAUGGUUUGUGCAUCCGCUAUCAAUAAUCCAGCUUGAACCCCCGGAUGCAUAAACCUGCAAGGCAAAUUUAGGCUUGGGACUUAGGUACCCAACUCAUGUUGGGUCCUACAAGGUUAGCACAAAUAUUCUUAAGGACCCAAAUGCAAGUUUUAUCUCCCUUGCAUCUUGCCCCUAACUUUCUAGCAACAAUUUUCUUAUCCUUUCUACAAAUAGCAAAGGAAGCAUUUAGAGCACAAUAAAUUUCGGAAGGUUCAUUCACUACUUUCCUAGGAGCAUUAUGAACUACAUUUCUCCUAGGCAUUUGGUGAACAACAUUUCUUCUAAACACAUUUCUACCAUGCAUAACAUGAGAACUAGAAGCAGUCAUAGCAUAAGAGUCAUAAGCAUGUGAAUCAAAAACAUCAUUACUUCUAAAAGCAUUUCUAGAGUAUCUUCUAUCAUAGUACAUGAAAGCAUGAUUCUUCUUAACACUAUUAGCCAUAGGAGCCUUCCCUUUCUCCUUGGUGGAGAUAGGAGUCUUAUGGCUUGUUAAGUUCUUGGCUUCUCUCUUGAAGCCAAGACCAUCCUUAAUUGAGGGGUGUCUACCCACUGUGUAGGCAUCCCUUGCAAAUUUUAUUUUAUCAACUUCACUCUUGCUAGUCUUAAGUUGAGCAUUAAGACUAGCCACUUCAUCAUUUAGUUUUGAAAUUGAAACUAGGUGUUCACUACAAGCAUUAACAUCAAAAUCCUUACACCUAGUGCAAAUUGUAAUAUUUUCAACAUACGAGUUACUUGCUACUUCUAGUUUAGCAGUUAAAUCGUUAAUUUCACCUUUUAAAGAAGAAAUGGUUUCAUUACAAGUAGAGAGUUCACAAGAAAGUAUUCCAUUUCUUUUAACUUCUAGAGCAAGUGAAUUUUGUGCACUAACAAAUUUAUCAUGUUCUUCAUAUAAAAGGUCUUCUUGUUUCUCUAAGAUUCUAUCCUUUUCAUUUAAGGCAUCAAUCAACUCAUUAAUCUUAGCUAUCUUAGUUCUAUCCAAUCCCUUGAAUAAACUAGAGUAAUCAAUUUCAUCCUCACUAGAUUCAUCAUCACUAGAAGAAUCAUAAGUAUUAGCAUUACGAGUGAUUACCUUCUUUUCCCUUGCCAUGAGGCAAGUGUGAUGCUCGUUGGGGAAGAGAGCCGAUUUGUUGAAGGCAGUGGCGGCGAGUCCUUCGUCGUCGGAGUCGGACGAAGAGCAACCCGAAUCCCACUCCUUUCCAAGGUGUGCUUCGCCUUUGGCCUUCUUGUAAGCCUUCUUGUUCUCUCUCUUCCCAUUUUUCCCUUGCUCCUGGUCACUAUCAUUUUCGGGACAGUUAGCAAUAAAAUGACCAAGCUUACCGCAUUUGAAGCAUGAUCGCUUUCCCUUGGUCUUGGCCUUGCUUGGCUGUCCCUUUCGACCUUUUAGCGCCGUCUUGAAUCUCUUGAUGAUGAGAGCCAUCUCUUCAUCAUUGAGCCCGGCCGCCUCAACUUGCGCCACCUUGCUAGGAAGCGACUCCUUGCUCCUUGUUGCCUUUAGAGCAAUGGGUUGAGGCUCAUGGAGUGGACCGUUCAAUGCGUCGUCGACGUAUCUUGCCUCCUUGAUCAUCAUCCGCCCGCUCACGAAUUUUCCAAGUACUUCCUCGGGCGUCAUCAUCGUGUACCUGGGAUUCUCACGAAUAUUGUUCACGAGAUGAGGAUCAAGAACGGUAAAGGACCUGAGCAUUAGGCGGACGACGUCGUGAUCCGUCCAACGUGUGCUUCCGUAGCUCCUUAUUUUGUUGAUAAGAGUCUUGAGCCGGUUGUAGGUUUGAGUUGGCUCCUCUCCCCUUAUCAUGGCGAAUCGUCCAAGCUCGCCCUCCACCAACUCCAUCUUGGUGAGCAUGGUGAUGUCGUUCCCCUCGUGAGAGAUCUUGAGGGUGUCCCAUAUCUGCUUGGCAUUGUCCAAGCCACUCACCUUAUUGUACUCUUCCCUGCACAAAGACGCUAAGAGAACAGUAGUAGCUUGUGCAUUUCUAUGAAUUUGUUCAUUUAUAAGCAUAGGGCUAUCCGAGCUAUCAAAUUUCAUUCCAUUCUCCACAAUCUCCCAUAUGCUUGGAUGGAGAGAGAAUAAGUGACUACGCAUUUUGUGACUCCAAAAUCCGUAGUCCUCCCCAUCGAAGUGUGGAGGUUUGCCAAGAGGAAUGGAAAGCAAAUGCGAAUUCGAACUAUGUUGAAUACGAGAAUAAUCAAAUGAAAAGUUCGAAUUGACCGUCUUUUUGUAGUCGUUGUCAUCAUCCUUUUGGGAAGAAGUAGACUCAUCACUAUCGUCGUAGUAGAUGAUCUCCUUGAUGCGCCUUGUCUUCUUCUUCUUCCCUUCCUUCCGUCUAUGCCCCGAGCCGGAGUCGGUAGGCUUGUCGUCCUUCAGCUCGUUGACGAAGGAUUCCUUCUCUUUGUCGUUGAUCACGAUUCCCUUCCCCUUAGGAUCCAUCUCUUCGGGCGGUAAGUCCCUUUGUGAAGAGAACGGCUCCGAUACCAAUUGAGAGCACCUAGAGGGGGGGGUGAAUAGGUGAUCCUGUAAAAACUUAACUUAUAGCCACAAAAACUUGUUAGAGGUUAGCACAAUAAUUGCCAAGUGGCUAAAGAGAAGAUCUUGCACAAUACGACAAUCACAGAGAAUUCAACACAGAGGAGACACGGUGAUUUAUCCCGUGGUUCGGCCAAGUACAAAACUUUCCUACUCCACGUUGUGGCGUCCCAACGGACGAGGGUUGCAAUCAACCCCUCUCAAGCGGUCCAAAGACCCACUUGAAUACCACAGUAUUUUGCCUUGCUUAUCUUUAUCCCACUUGCGAGGAAUCUCCACAAAUUGGAGUCUCUCGCCCUUACACUUAAGAUUCACAAAGAAGCACGGAGUAAGGGAGGGAAGCAACACACACAAAUCCACAGCGAAACGCGCACACACACGGCCAAGAUUCGAGCUCAAAGACUAUCUCACAGUUUCUCACAAGAACAGAGCUCGAAUCACUUAGAAUCACAAACGGAUGCGCAAAGACUGAGUGUGGAUGAUCAAGAAUGCUCAAGAGUUGCUUGGUUAUCUCCUCCAUGCGCCUAGGGGUCCCUUUUAUAGCCCCAAGGCAGCUAGGAGCCGUAGAGAGCAAAUCUGGAAGGCUGAUCUUGCCUUCUGUCGUCGGGCGCACCGGACAGUCCGGUGCACACCGGACAGUGUCCGGUGCCCGAUUCCUUUCCUUAAAUGGCGAAGCCGACCGUUGCAGAUGCGGGAGCCGUUGGCGCACCGGACAUGUCCGGUGCACACCGGACAGUCCGGUGCCCCCUUCCGACCGUUGGCUCGGCCACGUGUCCCGCGCAGAUCGCGCGGCCGACCGUUGGCCCUGGCCGACCGUUGGCUCACCGGACAGUCCGGUGCACACCGGACAGUCCGGUGAAUUUUAGUCGAACGCCGUCAGCAAAUUCCCGAGAGCGGCCUCUUCGGCCGAGGGAGCCUGGCGCACCGGACACUGUCCGGUGCACCACCGGACAGUCCGGUGCCCCAGACCGAAACAGUCCCUUGGCUGUACACAGCCAAGUCUUCUCUUAUCUUCUUCUAUCUGUUUCUAACACUUAGACAAAUAUAUUAGUACACAAAACCAAUGUACUAAGACUUAGAAACAUACCUUUGUUGUAGAUUUGCACUUUGUUCAUUCAUGGGCAUUGGUUCACAUCUAAGCACUUGUGUUGACGCUUAAUCACCAAAAUACUUAGAAAUGGCCCAAGGGCACAUUUCCCUUUCAAGUAGCUGCACAAGCGUUUUCAAUUAUUUUUUGUAACUUUAGAAUUAAUUGCCCGCCACAAUGAACAGAGACAUUAUAGGCAACAUUCCUUUUUGAUAGCUGCAUAUAUUUGUUUUAGAUUUUAAUUUUUUACAGCAAUAUGGGUGAUAGUGCCGAUUGGAAUGAAGAUAACACUGCUCUAGUGUGUGAAUUGUUUGUCGAACAAGUGAAGGCGCACAACCGUUCUGGUACCCACUUAAAUAAAAUAGGGUACAAAAAUGUGAUGGACAAAUUCAAAGAAAAUACUGGGUUGUCCUACACCAAAAUGAAGUUCAAGAACAAAUGGGACAAGAUGAGGAUUUUCAGAGAUGUGAUCGAAACCCAGAUUAUAUCCCUACUAUUCCAUCCCGUUAUAGGCGAUAUGUCCCUCAGAAUGCAUCAGAUACAUCCACCACAGGGUCGAGUAGUAGGAACAUGAAUAGGUUCCGCGAUGAUGUAUCGAAGGUACUUUGGAAGUCGAGGUGAUUAGAAAAGGUGGUUCGUGUCAUAUUUUGGAUAUUGUGUCAUGCUAGUUUUAUGCAAUUUAUGGAUUAAACAUUUGAGACCAUUUUAUGCACUACUAUGAUGGGAAUAUUUUAUAUGUUAUUGUUUCAUAAUUUUUUUUCCAGAUAUGCAUCCUACUUAUUGGUUUGUAACAAAGUUGAAAUGCAAAGGGUAAAACAGACAAUCGCCAUAGACCACCAACUCUCAGCAGACAAGAAUCAGUUUACUUGCCAAACAGUUUUAAAAAUGAUUCUGAUUCUCUAUGAGAAUCAGGAGGAUCUGCUCCUCAGGAGGAUCAGGAUCAGGAGCUAAAGAAGCAAGAGCUGGAGCUUUGCCAAACGGGCCCUAAAAAUAACAAAAUGCUGUUAACUGUACAUAUAAAAAACUGUAUGCACAUGUAGACUGUUAAAGGUUCUGAAUGUAUGAAAAGGGAUAAUUGUAUGACUGACCUGCUGAAUCAGCCGAAUUCCUCGAAUGUUGUGGCUCAUCUGUCUCGUUUUCUAAAUUAUCGGACUUGGCACGUAGUACCUCGUCGAUCAGCUCUAUAAACUUGUCUGCUAUGUCAUAUUGCUUCACAAUAAUUUUGUCAAUGCUGUCUUUUAUGGCUAUGCAUGACUUGUCAACCUCCAAGUCAUAUGCAUCAAGAAUGUCUGUGAAUUUAGAUCGAUGACGAGGUGGGAGCUCGUUGAUCUUACUUGACAUCAUCUCCUUGAUCAAUGGAAGUUGGAUGUUAAAAGUGGGCCGAGGAGUAGGGGCAGGGCGCGGUGCAUAAAAAAUGUUGGUCCUGCACUUCGACUGGUUGUUCAGCAAAAAUAAUAAGAAUCCAUGACCACAUUCCUAUUCCAUUUGUUCCAUGAAUCUUAAAAAUAUAUGUAUAUAAUACAUCAUAAACUUGCCUCGGAUUGGCGAUCGAGCUUAGGUACAACUGAAUAGCAUGUCUCGGUCGAGCUUCGAAACUAAAAUAUAAAAUUAAAGUGAAAGUUGAAAUGGACCAUGAGUUUGUUAUGCAAACAAUGGUACUAGAAACAAAGGACAUAUAAUUGACAUAAAAUUUGUCAUAAAAUACACUUGGUUAAAUAUGAAUAACUUACUUCACAAUGUCCGAAAGGUUCGGCCCCAUGGCGUACCUUCCUCUUGUCGGCUUUAGUCAAAGCUUUUAUGAUAUUCUUAUCAAAGAAUUUAAUGCGAGGUGUGCCAAGCUUAUUUUGAAGGGCAGCGGCUGCAUGUAGGUGAUCCAGGUAAUACAACUACAUAAAAAAAUUACAAUGUGCAAUAGCUGUGUAAGUAAACAUAACAAACAUCAUAAAACAUGUUACAUAAUUACCCACAGUGAGCAACCAAAAUUGCAAUAAAUGUACAUAAGGAGAAACUCUAUACUUACAAGGACAACAAUGGAGCAUCCGUAUAUAGUCGUGGAGACAUUUGUGGUGCUUCGGUUGUGCCACUUCUUCGUAGCUUCACAAAGCUCAUUAAAAAUCAACUGGCACCAGUCGGUCUCAUGGAAACGGUGCAUUUCUUCUGUCAGAAGCACUUCAUGAUUUGUUAUGCCCUAGCUAGCAGUUGGAAACAACAGACGGUUGAAUAAAAUGAGGAAGAAACAUUUGAUUGUAAGGUCAUCAUCCUCGCCUUUCCUUAAAGGAUCCUAUAGAAAUGUCACAUUGAACUCGUCUUUAGCCAAACCAAGCUCUGCCCUCAAGUUGCUUGCUGCAACUGCUUCGUCAAUCCCCAAUGGUUUUCCACCGCCAUGAUUUGGUACACCAAGGAUAAGAUGCACAAUGUCCUUUGUGAUCUUUAGUUCCUUUCCUGGACCAGGACGAAUUGUCAUGUCCUUGUGGUCCAGCUUGUCCAUCAACCAUUGAAGGUGUGAUCUACUACACAGCGCAUCUACUGUCAUAUCAAGAAUGUUAGAGAAACCUUUACGUCUUAUGGCCUCACGUUGUCUUUCAUUCAAUAUGUUAAUGCUUGCAAUGACAUCUUGAGGGUUGCACCUCACAUUGAGCCUCUGUUAUACAAUAUAGAACCGGAAAUAAUUUUGUUAUUAUCAAAAAAUAUUCAGAAGCUUACAAAUAGGAAAUUGUUUGUUGAGUAUGCAUAACACUAACCUGUCGGGGUAGAACCUCAGGUUUAAUCCUCUUUGUCACAACUUAUCUUAGAACUCUUGUAUGGCUUUCAGAAACAUUACGCUUCUUAAGAGCUGGCAUGAAGUCAUCUUCAUCAGAAUCAAGUUGUACUGUUUCAUUGAUCAAAGUUUGACUGUCAACAUUUGGAGGAUUUCCAACUUCUGGACUUGGAUUGGACUGUUCUGCGCACGAAAUGUCAACACUGAAACACUCCUGGCUUGACUGAAUUGUUAUACGUUUGGGGUUAUUCGGAGGACGGUCCACGUGCUUCAUUUUUUGAAGUAAAAGUUGCAUGCAUAAUACACAAUACUGUAAAAAUUAAUCUGUUGGAUAUGCAUAUGUAUUUAUUGUGUGGUAUCAUUGAAUCAAUGAACCUAAUUGUUUUAAAUACCAAGCAUAAAAGUAAUCUGUAGAAAUUUUGCAUGGUACUAAUAAUAUGUUUCAAUAAACAUCUGAAUAUACUGUUCUCUAGUUACAUUUGCAUACAUAUAUUGUCAUGUUCAAUCAUAAUAAAAAUCUGAAUAUGUUUCAAUAAAAACAGACCUUGCUGUAACCAAUAAUGUAUUAGCUAUAAACAUCUGGAAUACAUAAAUGUAUGCACUAAACAUAUAUGAAAUUUUAUAUAAAUCAUAUACUCUAUGAAAAACAACUAAUUGAUUGCUCAUUUACUAAAAACAGUUGCAUACAUGUUCUGUCCUGUUCUACAAUCAUAAAAAUAUGAAUAUGUUUCAGAAAAAUAAAGCUUGCUAUAAACAGUAAUGUAUUAACAAUAGACUAAUGAAUACAUAAAUGAUUGCAUAUCACUAACCAGAUAAGAAAUUCUGAAUAAAUAAUAUACUCUACCAAAAACAACUAAUUGACAGCUCCUUUACAACAAUCACUUGCAUACAUGUUUUGUCCUAUUUUAUAAUCAUAACAAACUAAAUAUGUUUGAACAAAACAAAACUUGCUAUAAACAUUACUAUAUUAACUGUGAACUAGUGGAAUAAAUAAUGUCCUGUUUUAUAAUAAAAAAAACUGAAUAUGAUUCAAUAAAACAAUACAUGCUGUGAACAGUAAUGUAUUAACUAUAAACUAAUGGAAUAAAUAAAUGUAUGCAGUCACUAAAAGUAUAUGGACUUUUCAAUGAAUCAUAUACUCUACAAAAACAACUAGCUGACCACUCCAUUACCACUUGAACAUCAUCUAUAUAAAAAAAACUUUAACUCAUAUGCAUAAACAUGUAUUCUAAUGUGUGUAACCAAUUGUGUAAAUGUGUGUAAAUGUAUUAAUGCAACUGCAUAAAUAUUUGUCACCCCCGCUGUAAUCCUUAGAAUGCAGUAUGAACAAAAAAACAACACAUUUGUACUUCAGGAGAUCGAUUUACCUUUUUAGGGUUUGCUAACUUUGUUGACGGUCGACGACGAUCCCAGGUAAUGCGACAAGCUAGGGUUGGGAAGAACACACCGUAGAUGGUUGGGGAAGGGCUACCCGUUGGAGCGGUACCCGUUGACGGUGGCGAAUGUGGAAGAUGGCGGAGAACGUGGAAGCAGUCAGGUCGGCAGAGAGGUGGAAGCAGUCGCGUCGGCGGAGAAACUGGGGUUUUCUCCGGUCUGGACUCCCGUCUCCUAUUGCAGCAGCGAGGAUAGUGGAGCGCGGAUUGGGGUCAACAAGGAGGCACCGCUCAACUGCCGAUUGCGACUGGAUCGACAGCGAGCGGCGGAUGGAGCGGAGUCGUUGGGGAUGGCUGAGUCGGCGGAGAGUCCCGGAGUCGCGCGGCGAGGGUUGGGGUUUUCCGGUUGUGUAGUCGGUUAUGGAAACUGAGACCGGGAGAAGAAAGAGGAGCUAAUGGCGACAACACGUCAUUAUAUAUAUGGAAUCUGAAAAGUCCGGUCGGUUGUGAGUGCACGUGCGUUCGUAUUUGGCUGGGGCUUCUUGUAGCUAAAUAGAGCCUAGGGCUCUAAAUACAUACAUACAUAUAUAUAUAUAUAUAUAUAUAUAUAUAUAUAUAUAUAUAUAUAUAUAUAUAUAUAUAUUUGUUUGCUUGUACCUGUUCGUCUUUGCUUCACGUUGUGAUUAGAUCGCGAUCCGUUUCCGAGCUUCGAGGAAUCGACGGUCAAGCUUCGACGACCAUGUGAUCAAGUUCUUUAGGUUCUACAAGGUUGAAGACCCUGAGUAUCUAUUUGGUGAAGGCAGGUGUCCUCUGACCCAUUAUGUCCUACUUACUUAUAAUUCACUAUCCCGCAUUACUUAAUUAAUUGAAACCUAAGGAUUGACUAGCUUUGUAUUUACCUUGUCCUUGAUUACCAUUUGGGUUAUUAUGGUUAGCUUCAUGCUAUUGCUCUACAUUAAUCAAUGAUCAUGAUGAGAAUAUUUAUGAUACGAUGAUGUUAUCUUGAUUAUGAUGAAGAACUUAUGAUACUUUUGGGGACUCGGGUUGUUUCCUGAGUACCUCUCCGUAAGGACCUGUUCGUUGAGAGACCACCCGGGAUAACAGUACAACCAUAAGAGUGGAAUGAGACGCCCUUAGCUGAUUAAUUAGAUGAACUUGGGGGUGUAGUUGGCUUUAUCGGAGGGCCAUCAAUGGGGGUUGUGGCAUAGUGCUUGCUCUGCUAAGGGUGGGUGCCGAGGUUAAUUCAAUUUGGUUUUGUUAGUCACCCACCUUAGGGAGGAGUACUAUAUUUGUACGACUUGAGAAACCUAACGAGCAACUGCACACCAGGGGAAUCUUUGUAAAGGCUACAUAGUGAUACCCUGCCAGGCCACCUAGGUAGUGGUGAAUGGAGAGUAGCACUCUCCGGCAGAAAGGGAAUCAUGGCUCGUGGGUAAAGUGUGCAACCUCUGCAAGGGAAAGAAACUGAUAUAUCAGCCGUGCUCAUGGUUAUGAGCGGCCUUGGGAUCCUCUUUGAUUAGAGAUACAGAUGGUUUGAGAUGCGUUGAUUCUAUCAAUGGUUUUUGGUUCGAUGACGACAAUGAUGUUCCUUGAUGAGGAAAUGGUUCACGGGUUGGUUAUUGCUAAAACUUGGCUUCUACUAAUAAUAAAUACCUAAUGAACUAAAAGUAACUGCUUUGAUCCUAACCCCACAUAAAGCUAGUGCACCUCAGCCAAACGGGACAUUUGCUGAUUACGUUGAUGUGUACUCACCCUUGCUUUCACAAAACACUAGGUUGCUUUGGUGCAACCUAUGCUCAGGUAAAGAAGGAGAAGAAGGCAUCGAGUCGGAUCUCCAUGAGUUCUAGGACUUCGAUGAGUUCAAGGAUUAGGCUAGCGACCUCCCCCAGUCAGCUGCCUGUGGUGGGUUUGUUUUUGUUGGCUAUGUUUCUAUUAUGUGCACUUUGAUUUAUAUUAUGUAAAUGACUCUAGUCUGUAGUAUUAUUACUUACUCUUUAUUGUUAUUCAAAGCAUUGUGCUAUGAUGAGUCAUUUAUAUAAUUGUUGUGUACGUGAAUUUCUGAUCCUGGCAUAUACAUGGUUCGCAUUCGGUUUACCUUCCAAAACCGGGUGUGAUAGGACCCCUCGGGGCACACAUCCAUCAUGAAAGAAAAUGAUGUUGUGGCUGAUGCCCAUGUGAUCGAAGGCAUGCAAGAAAAUGAUAUUGGCCUGACUGCCAUUGUCGACAAGUUCUUUGUGCAGGUCCCAUCCUGCCACUCGGCAGUUGAUCACCAUGGCAUCUGCAUGGGGCGCACUGCAUAGGUCUACGUCUCUUGCGUCGAAGGUGAGUGGUAUAUGAGACCACUUUGUCUGAACGACCGGACGGUGAGGGCUACAUGAUUGACUCUUUGGUAGUGGUCUUUCUUCCGCUGUUUUGUUUCAAACUUAGCGCUCGAUCCACUGGUAAUCAUAUGAUGACCGCUUAAAAGGGUUGAUCGGCGAAGUCCUCUUGUUUGGGCGCUAGUGGUGGUGGUGGAGGAGGCUAUAGAGGUUGGAUUUCUUGAUGUUGCUGGUACAUGUUGUGGUUUUGCUAGUGGGGAAGGUAAUGUUCAUUGUGGAAAUGGUGUUGCUGAUAUUGUUGGGGAUGGUAGGUGUGGGCGACAACUCUUUGGUUGUCAGCCGGUUGAUUUCUGGCCAUCCUAUCUUUGGUGGGCUUGGUUUCAGAGGAAUCCCUGGUGGGAUGUGCCGAGGCUUCGCCAUGGAAAAGAUAGUAGAACCUUCGCUGUUGCGGGACUCGGCCUCUGCCUCUGCCUCUGGUGGUUCCGUCGUGGCCCUGUUGCGCGGGUACUUGUGUCGACGAGCGGUGUCUCUAGUCUGUUGCUGAUUAGCGAUGGUGUGCACUUGGGACUGGUUACGGUUUGGCCGGCCUGAGUCCGACUGCGCAGGCCUGACCCAUGUUCUGCUGGAUUGCGAAGUGUUCUUGGGUUUCCGCUGUGACUUGACUUUUCUCUGGUGGAGUUCUUUGGAUCGGGCAUACUUUUCGAAUAACUGAUAUAAAUCUUGCAAGUUUUUGGGUUGAUCUCUUAUGUAGUGACUGUAUAAGACGCUGGCGUGAAGACCACUGAUUGCGUAGUGGAUGGCUAUGUGGUCAUCGACAGAGGGCAACUGUGACUUUAGGAGAAGGAACUUUUUGCAGUACUCCUGAAGGGUUUCUUUCUCCUGCUGCCUGCAGAGUGAUAAUUCUACUAGGGCAUCUAUGUCCGACCUGUACCCUUAGAAAUUUAACAAGAAUUUGUCGCGAAGGGUUUUCCAUGAGUCAAUUGAUAAAGGCGGCAGUCUAGUGUACCAUGUCAGGGCUAGGCCUUCGAGUGCUAUAAUGAAAGAUUUGGCCAUGGUGGUCGCGUCCCCUCCGGAUGAUGCGACCGCAACUUGGUAGCUAAUGAUGUACUAUGCUGGGUCGGUGCUGCCGUUGUACUUGGAAUAAGUACAUGCUCUAAAAUUGCUAGGCCAAGGUGAGGCCUGGAGUUAUGGUGCAAGAGGGCUUCGCUCAUCAAGGUAAUUUACCCCCUGGAAAGUGGUUGGAGCUGCGGCUGGUAUGUAGGGAGCAUUUUGCUGCAAUUGGUGGCAAUCUUCGCCUUGCAUAUAUACAAUUUGUUGUUCUAGCUCUCUGGCCUUCUGCUCCUCAUCUAGUAUCAUCUGCCUGACCUUGGCAUGCACGGUGAAGCGCUGGCGCUUAGCUGCAAGUAUUUCUUUCUGCUUCUAUAAAUGAUUGUUCUUGAUGUGAAUGGCUCGUAGCUUGAUUUGUCUUUAGCUAAAAUGCUUAAGAUUUCGUCGUCUUCGAUGAUGUCGUCUGCCUCUAGGGGGUGAAGCCUAGCAGGGUGCCCGAGGUACUCCCUUAGAGCUGCUUGUGCGAACGGUGCCCUCUAGGGUAGGUGGAUUGUCUUGGCAUUGUCUCUUGCUAUUGACUGCCUCAUCCUCAAAGGCUUCCUGAGGGAUGUCAUCUGCGAGGGCUGCCUUACCCUUCUUUUCAACGAGAAGGGCCGCCUUCGCUGCGUCUUCGAUGGAAGUGGUGGCCAUCAAAGUUGCUCUCUUGGGGGCCAUCAUGGGAAUGGUUUUUCGUUGCACGAACGGUGGGCGCCAAAUGUUGGAACUGGGUGACACGUGGUCUAGCUAGCUCAAACAAUAAGAGAACGAAAAAAAGUUUGAUGCUUGCUAACACAGUGUAUUAGAGCAACGGUGUUUUUUCCCAGUCCCUCACAAUGGUGUUGUACGUGGGUAUUUAUAGGUAACCAGGGGAUGGUUCCACCCUAUCAAAUACGGUUAUGCCCCUGGUUACCUACGUUAUCCCUGGAAUAUUCCCCUCUAAGGGGUUAUCGCGGGUCAUUACAGUGUGAUUAAGUACACCCACGGACGGACGCAUUAUCAACUCUACCCACACAGUGGCUUACAAGUGGGACCCUACGGCACAAGGUGAUCUCACACGGGCCCCCCAUUACAGUAACGUGCGGGUAGCGACAUGUAGUCUUCACACUCCAUUCCCCCGGCCUUUGGCGAUCAUGGAGGCCUUCACCAUUCCUGACUGAGGCGGGAACCGCCAAGGCCUUCGCCUAUUUCGUACGCUCCCUCCGUCAUGGCGCCUUUGCUAUUCCAGUCUUCGCCUGCUCUUGCCUUCCCUCCGACAUGUUCCACUUCUGUUGUGAAACGAUCGAGCGAUGGGGGCGUUAUGCCUUUGCCCCAACACCGAGACUUCUUUGCCUAGAGUCACACUCGGCAAGGAGUUUGCCGAGUGUUUUUGGCAAAGCAGCUGUGUCCGGUAGUGAUAGUGUGUUACAUGCUAAUGUACAGUGUAAGUUUGUCACACCUUAAAAUUCCCUAAUUUUAGGAUGUGAAUAGGAAGAAUAAUUAAUGCAACGAUAUUUGUAUAAUUUUAAAAUUUUGCCAAGUAAUUUAUUAUACAAGGAAUUUAACAUAUGUAAAUAAUAAUAAUUUAUUUUUAAAAUUAAAUGAGCUUGUGUGUUUCCUGUUUGCUUGUAUGUGCUCUUGGUGUUUCUUGAGUGCAAAAAGUUUUUAAUGUGUUUCUCUAUCAGCUAGGUUCUCCCAAGAAUUUACCAGAUUAUUCUGCCAAUUAUUCUCAUUUUCCUAGAGCUAUUUUUAUUUAUUAGAAGACUCUAAAUAUUUUAUGGGCUUCAAAUAUUUUAUUCAGGUUUGCCAUGUCCAAAUAGACCUCUAGGAUGUUUCCUAGAAUUUUCGAAACCUACAAGAUACUUUUCAUGCUUUAAAUAUUGAUUCUAGACAUUUCUAAAAUUAAAAUAAAUCAAUAAAAUAAAUAUUCCGAAAAUAAAUUCUAAACCUUAGUGAGUGGCCCACUUUAUCCAUUCCUGAGCCAAUUUAGGCCUAAGGCGUAAUCGCAAAUCCAAUUUCCCUCAAGAUAGCGCUUGCGCGCGUGGAUUCUCAAUCACAACGACUAACACGUAGGGCCCACUUGUCGGAGUUGUCUCUUACCUAGAGUCCCUAGUCAUCGUGAUUAUUGGAAGGUAUAAUAUGAGCAGGAAUCCAGAAGUACAAAUAUGGCAAAGAUAAUAUUGGAAUAGGAGAGACAAGUGAGAGUCCUAAACAAAUAGGACAAAAUCUCAAUAUAUAAGAUAGAGUUGUAAGUAGAUCGAAUUAGAUCCUAAUGGAUAAGGAAGGCAUACAUGUAAUUAUAAAGAGUUGGAUUCUUAUACAACUAGGUCACUAACUAGACCUAUUAUAUAACCUACUCAUAUUCACUCGUGUAAUUACCCCCUCCUCCUUGUACAAUUCUCAAUAGGGAGCCCCCGAGAAUGCAGACCGGAACAUAAUAGAUCAAUAGCUACAAUUCUCAAUUCUCGGUUCUUGAUCAAUAGAACAUAAUAGAUGUAGGGUAUUAUCUCACGAUGAGAGCCCGAACCAGCCUAAAUUUUGAUAAUGUUUUAUACCUCAAAAACAUGAUUUGACAAUGUUUUCCAAGUAUGCGAGCAGGCAUCUUCGGAAUCAGGUUACGGGUAAACAAGAGCAUGGUCAAGACGAAGCUUGACUAGGAUGGAAGACGAUCAUGACGAAGGAUGAGACGAUCACGAAGUUAUAUGCAGAAAAGCUUCGGCAUGACAGCAGAAAAAGGGAACCGACUUAAAGAUGAAAAGCCAAAUUAGACCUCGAAGAAUUACUAUAGAGUUAUUGAUAAAAGUAAAGGGCAUUAAUGUAAUUUUACAUGGGCUGCGUCCCGUGCCUAUAAAUAGAUGAACAGUACUCCCGUACUGUUUACACUGACUUGGCAUUAGCAUCACGCUUGUACCCUUACUUUCCUUCAAGCCGAAGGUACAUUUGUAAUUUGUUGUUUAUAUAAGUAAAAUAAAUAGAAAUAAAUUAAUAAUAAUGUUCAAAGUAAUCAUGUUAUUUUCCGUGUUUUUGUAUAAAUCUCUUUUAUCUUUCAUUAUGAUUAUGAAGGUUUGACCUUCAUAACCUUCGUUCGAAAUCCAUUAUAUCCAAAGGGAAAUAAUGCUUCGAAGGACGAAGGGCUUUGAUAUUUAACAUUUUAUGUUGCCUUGUUCUUAAUUCAUAGCAUUUGAGAACAAGUCCCCAACAUUGGCGCCCACCUCCGGUGAACUCACUUCCAUUUCUUGAGCUUUGAACACCUUCGGCAAGCAUCACCUUCGUCAUGCCGCCGAAAAAAGCUUCAGCGACAGGGGCUGCCACUCUGCAGCCGCUGGACCCCAAUCAGGACGUCCUUUCUCUUAGGGAGGCCCGAAGCUAGAAGAGGAAGGCCACCAGUCCAACGCCUCCGGAGGACGACUUGGACCAGGAAAUCCAAAACCUGGAGAUGCUUCAUCAACAGGUGCAACGAAAGAAGGAGAAGAUGGCUCGUCUAGCUGAUCUUCAGAGGCAAAUAGACGAAGCUUCGGAAGAGGUUCGUCAUCUUGCUCAAGAUGACCAGAACCGAAGGCCUCCGCGCAGAGAGCUUCAUCAGGAAGGCUUCUACAAUGAGGACGACUGGUAUGAAGAUUUCCAUCAUGGAAAUUUUGCUUUUGACGAUGCUUCUCCUCUAUCAACAGAAUUGCAGGCUACACCAUGGCCCCAGUCUUACAAGCCACCCCAGCUCCCCAUGUACGACGAUCAUACAGACCCAAAGCAAUUCUUGAUGAGCUAUGAAGCAACCAUAUCUUCGUAUGGUGGCAAUACUGCAGUCAUGGCAAAGUCUUUUGUCAUGGCCGUCAAGAGUGUCGCUCAAACCUGGUACUCCUCUCUUCGGCCAGGGACAAUCACCUCAUGGCAGAAGCUAAAGGAUAUGUUGAUAACCAGCUUCCAAGGGUUUCAGACAAAGCCAGUUACUGCUCAAGCUUUAUUCCAGUGUACCCAGGACCACGAAGAAUACCUUCAGGCGUAUGUCCGAAGGUUUCUGCGUCUGAGGGCACAGGCGCCAACAGUGCCCAAUGAAAUUGUCAUUGAGGCCAUGAUUAAGGGACUUCGGCCGGGACCUUCAGCGUAAUACUUUGCCAGGAAGCCACCACAAACUUUGGAGAAGCUGCUCCAGAAGAUGGACGAGUAUAUCCGAGCUAACAAUGACUUCCGCCAAAGAAGGGAGGAGGCAUUCAGGUUCUCUGAAAUGACCAGGGGCUUCGGAGGAAGAUUUCAUCCGAGGCACGUCAGGUCAAUUCAUAACUCCACUCAAAGUGAUGAUAGAGGGAGCCAACAGCAAAGGCCACAAUACUCUUCGCAAGCUUCGGGGCAACAGCAAAGCUCUGUUCGGCCGCCAGCGCCAUGGGGCAGAGGCGCCAGGGGCUUCGGGGGAAGAUUUGGGGAUCAGCCAAGAAGAAUUUACUGCCUAUUCUGUGGUGAAGACAAGGGCCAUACCACCAGGAUGUGCCAUGUCACCAUCCAGAAGCAAAAGGAGAUAGCAGAAGCUGCAGCACAACAGAGUCAGGCGAAGCAGGUCAUGCACACUGCUUUGUACCAUUCGCCUUACAUUCCAGAAUAUGUAGGCAAUCACUCUAUAGCUUCUGUUGCUUCGGCAAGUCAACCCCAAGCAUCUUGGCAACAGCCUCCACCGCCACCACCAACACAGCGAGGUCAGCAGCCAGAAGGGAAUCAGCACAAUCACCUUCAGAGGGACUUCAAAGAGGAGUCCGAAGCUCGCACAGUCAAUAGCACUAUGCCAGAGUCGAAGCACAUUUACUGACAGAUAUCCUACCUCGACAGCAAUUUUUUCGCAUUUUCACAUUCAGUAUUACUUUUUUGUUAAUAAGGAACAAUUAUGGGAAGUCUAAAUGUCUUUUAUCGUUUUUCAAUUUCUUGUAACAGUUUCGCCUUUUGCCAUAAUGAAAAUAUAUCUUCUCCAUAGGCUUGAGUUGCCGAAGCAUAAGAAUUUAUGGUGGCACGAAGGACCUUUGAAUUAUCAAAAAUUUGUUCUAAGGGACACAGUGCAAUUUAUUCGAAGCAGUAAAAAGUCGUUCCUAAGGGAGCGCAGUGUAAGUUUUCUGAGCCUACAGCGAAAAAUAAGCGCUGAUUCCGCUGAAAGUAAAAGACGAAGAAGCUCCUAAGGGAGGCUUACAGCAAAAAAUAAACGAUGAUUCCGCUGAAAGUAAAAGGCGAAGAAGCUCCUAAGGGAGGCUUACAGCGAAAAAUAAACGCUGAUUCCGCUAAAGUAAAAGGCGAAGAAGCUCCUAAGGGAGGCUUACAGCGAAAAGUCAGCGCUGAUAUAAAAAGAUUGUGUGCUCUAUUGCAGGGAUGUGUGUAUCUUCGGCACAAAUAUCAUUUUGCAUAACAUAACAUCAUCACAUCAUUUUGCAUAACAUAAGAAUCAUACAGCAUAUUGCAUGUGGAACAAGAAGGGGACACAAUAUUGAUCUUCGGAGAAUGUUUUGGAAAAGAGAAAAUCGUACUAAGGCACAAGAUAAAUUAAGAAGAAGUGUAGCUUCAUUAGAGAGACAACAUAAAACUUUUUAUAGCUUCGGAGAAUGUUUUCACGAAGCUUGGAUAGUCUUCAUCAGAGAAGUAUGGAAAUUCUUGUGAUAUAUAAAAGAUUUUCUUCACGAAGCAUGAAAAGAAGGGAAGGUGUUUUUUCGCCAAAGGCUCAAAAAACGGUAUGUAUGCAAAAUUUCAUGCAUCAUAAAGAAUUGAACCAUAAAUAGAUUAUAUAUUACAUUCAAAGUUACAAAGUAUUACACAUGUUACAUUCCAAAUGUUUUUACAAUAGCAUUUAAUCUUCCCAAAGAACUACUUCUGCAGCUUCGUUCAGUAGCUGAUCGACAACUUUGUCCAUGAUGGCUUCGGCCAUUUUUCUAAUUUCGUCGUCCCCCUUUGGGUGGGGGCCCGGAGAUGCCUCAGCAGGUUCUGAGGGAGGAGAAAAUACGGCUAUAUUACUAUUACAAACCGCGAACAAAGUUUGAAAUCAAAAAUUACAACAGAAUAAAAACCACUAGUUAAUACCUAUUUGCCCUUCGGGCUCUGCGCUUUUCUCAGCAGCCUCUGCUACCUUCCUAGCAUCAUGGAUGCCUUUUUCGCUUUUUUGAAUGAUUUCUUGAGGCAUUUCUCGGCCGCCAUUGUCCCAGAUGUCGGUGAAAAAUUUUCCACCAACCAGGCUUGCUUCGGCCGAGGGUUCCUUUAUAUCUUCGGAAGACAAGGCAGUUUUGGAUUGUGCUAAAGAUUUCACAUGGUCACAGCCUUUUCUUUCCAAAACAGUAGCAAUCCCCCUGGCGCCUGAAAAAGCACAUAUGUCUCCGCGGCUAUUCAAGAUUUCCUCGAAGGCCUCAGUUUCGUGACUGAUCCAUUCAAUCGGGCCUUCUGGAUUCCCCCUUGUGAAAUUUUCUUCGCUAGAGAAUGCGCCAACGCUGGCAAAGCUGGAUUUUAUCUUCUUAACACACUCUAUGGAUUUAUCAUAGCACCUUUUCUUGGAAGCACGAAGCUUUUCAACAUUUAUUUCCAAAUGAUUUGCCCAUUGAUCACUAAGUUCUCGUUUUGUUUCUUCAAGUAUGCGUUCUUCUUUAGCUCUGGCCAGCUGUUUCCGAAGAUCCUGAAUUUCGCGUUUUUGGGCUUCAGCUUGAGCCUUAGAGGUAGCUUCGUCUUCCUUUAUUUUAUCCACCAGUGUAAGCAGAAUUUUAUCUUUUUCCAAAGCUUCGUUCCUCAGCUUAAUAACCUCUGUUCGUAGGUUGUUGAAAGCAAUAUUAUAGCUCUCGUCUUCGGCAUUCUUUUGCGCUCUCAAAGCGUUGCUCAGUAUUAAACCCUAUAUGAAAAAAUAAUUAGCAUAAGAAUAAAAGAAUGAUUCAAAAAUUACAAAUUUCCAAAUAUACAAUUCUCAUACCUUCAGACUAUUAUAUGCAAGGCUAUCCGCAAGAUCGUCCUUCGUCAUAGCGCAGAGCCCAGCUUCAAGCUUCGGGAACCCCAUACUUCUAGCCAUCUCCCGGCAGACAGAUAAUUCUUUGUUGUCUGGGAGGCAGUAUAAGAAGUCAUCUUCAUCUGUGCCGUUGAAUACUAAGGCCCCUUUCGGAUACUUCAGUUCUCGGGCAUAGUGAUUAGCUUCAAAAAUCUCUUCUUCAGAUAAUCUCUUCCCCGAAGCAUGUCGUAUAAUAUAAUCAUGUAUUUUGGAAGAUGCUUCGGGGGGCAGCAGUGCCAGUUUCUUCACUCAAAAUUUGUUCUGCCAUUUCUGUUUUUUCAGCUUCCAAGGAUUUCACCUUGGCGGGCUAUGAAGGCCCGGCUUCAGUUUUAGACUUUGGCUUUGAAGCUUCGGCGUCAAAGGUUUCAGUGUGCACUUCGGAAGUUUUAGCAAUUUUCUUUGGAGUUGUGCUUGAAGAUUUGAUUGUCUCUAAAACAUCUAGCACAUUAACCAUCCUUUUUCUUUUAGGGGUCACUGCUGGACCCUUUUGGCUUUUUGUUGCCUCAGUUUUUGCCGAAGGACUCAAGAUUUCUGAUGUUUUUACUUCUUUAGCCCUCGUUUCUUCAGCCUUCGUUUCUUCUAUUUUUUCAGUCACUGGCACUUCGGCCAGCACUUCAAUAUUUGGCAGGGGAGCUGUCUCUUUAGCUUUAGUGGCCGAAGGAGUCCCACUAACAAAUGUAGGCACUGUGGCCGGUUCAAUAUAACGUGGCCGGUGUGUGAGAACUUUGACCCUUCUCCUCUUCGGCGCCGGCUCGCUAGGAGCGACUGAAGCAGUUUCCUUCGCAGAAGAUGUAUUCUUUCUUUUUUCACCCCGUGCCGGAUAAUGGUAGUCGGGGUACACAAACCCAAUUGUAUCAAAAACUCGGUUGAGUCUUUUCCUUUUUCGGCCUCCGAAGGCCGCCGAUAAUGCAAUAUCUUCGGCCUUUGAGUAUACACCAAGUAAUUAAUCACUGAUGGCCUCAAUACUUUUCAACCAGUCAUCAUCUGGCUCAACGAAUUUAUCUCCGUAUUUAAAUGUGUAUUUCAACCUGACUAGUCCACCUUCGUCAGUUUCUUUAAUGGUCUCCUUCGGCAUUUCCCAUUUUUCCAUAAGUGGCCAUAUUCUGAAGGCAAUGUGUUCUUGGACUAAGUCCCUUGUUCCAAUAAAAGAGCAAACAACACCGAAGGCUCUUUGUCAUUCUUCGGCUGCUUCAUUCAUUUCCACCUUCGGCCUCCGUAGGCUGAAGCGUUGCCAGAUGGGACGCAUGAUGAUCCUUUUUAUAUCUUCCCGUGAUUUCAAGUCAUUCUUCACGUAAAACCAUUCCGUCAUCCAGUCGCCGGGCCACCUCUUUCGGAAGGUCGGCACGGGGCAGCUUGACCCAGACCGGGAGCCGAAGCUGUAGCAGCCAAAAUUGUUGUGAUACUGUUCUUUACCCCAGGGUUUUGUCUCGUACAGUAAUUCAUGUAUGUUGCAGAAACUUUUCGCAUUAGGUUCCAAACCUUGGCUUAUCAUGGCCCACACAAAGAUAUUCAUCCUUAUGAUUGCUUCGGGGGUAAGUUGGUGAAGGUAGAUUUCAAAUAUCUUCAGUACUUCUACAACAAAACUGCUUAAGGGAAAUCGUAGUCCAGCUUUUAAGAAGCUUCGGAAUACCACGACUUCAUUUUCCUUAGGAGUCGGGCAAGUCUUCUCUCCUUCAUCAGCCCUCACAAUGGACAAGUCCCGGAAAUAUCUGCCCCUCAUAUUGACAAGAUGAUUUUCUUUAAUACUUGAUUUACCAAAAACCGCAUGGCUUGGUCGCCAAGGUCGAUCUUCGGAGUCUUCACCACCACUAUCCACAUCAUAACUGUCACUGUCACCAGUAUCUUCAGAUAAACCCUCCAAAAUUUCUUUAGUAAUCUUCUCUGUAUUAGUCUUCGACAUUGAUUGAAGAAAGCCCAGAUGCAUCUCCUCAGAAAGACUUAGCUUCGAAUCACCAACAGCUUUUUUAUCUUCAGACAUCCUUGCAAACGCUAAGAAAGUCCUCUCGAAACCGAAGCUUAAAAAUCUAAAAAGUCAAGCAAGUGUUGUUGCGCGCAGGCUAAAAAGUUGGGUGAGUAAAAGCAGUGGGCAAGAGAGCGUGUCAAAUAAACUUGUGAUGAGCUCUUAUUUAUACACCUAGUGCAUUGAAAACUGGAGGGUCCCGCUUGUCAAAGACUGUUGCUAUUCUAGCAAAGAGAAGGUGUUUUUUCGGACCUUCGGCUUAAGGCCUUCGUCCAUGUCGCAAUAUGAAUUUAUCAUUCCAGCAAAUUAAUAUUGCGAAGGGCUACUGUUGGGGCCUUCGGCUUCCGAAGGUCCUCAAAAACAUGAUUUGACAAUGUUUUCCAAGUAUGCGAGCAGGCAUCUUCGGAAUCAGGUUACGGGUAAACAAGAGCAUGGUCAAGACGAAGCUUGACUAGGAUGGAAGACGAUCAUGACGAAGGAUGAGACGAUCACGAAGCUAUAUGCAGAAAAGCUUCGGCAUGACAGCAGAAAAAGGGAACUGACUUAAAGAUGAAAAGCCAAAUUAGACCUCGAAGAAUUACUAUACAGUUAUUGAUAAAAGUAAAGGGCAUUAAUGUAAUUUUACACGGGCUGCGUCCCGUGCCUAUAAAUAGAUGAACAGUACUCCCGUACUGUUCAUGCUGACUUGGCAUUAGCAUCACGCUUGUACCCCUACUUUCCUUCAAGCCGAAGGUACAUUUGUAAUUUGUUGUUUAUAUAAGUAAAAUAAAUAGAAAUAAAUUAAUAAUAAUGUUCAAAGUAAUCAUGUUAUUUUCCGUGUUUUUGUAUAAAUCUCUUUUAUCUUUUAUUAUGAUUAUGAAGGUUUGACCUUCAUAACCUUCGUCCGAAAUCCAUUAUAUCCAAAGGGAAAUAAUGCUUCGAAGGACGAAGGGCUUUGAUAUUUAACAUUUUAUGUUGCCUUGUUUUUAAUUCAUAGCAUUUGAGAACAAGUCCCCAACACUUACCUACCCUAUAAAUUCACUAUUGAGAAAUCCACAACAGAGGGAUCGGAAGCCCGCCCCUAUGAAGACUCUGAGCAGCAAGAGUUUACUUUAAGAGGCAAGUUAUAUCCUUGGUUAUAUUGUCUUUAUCUAUAUAAUAUUUACUAUUAUAUUCUCACCUAUGCAUUUCACAAUUAGGUUAACAUGAUGGGACCUAUAUCUUAUUUACACCUAGUUUAAUUAUUAUUGGGUAGGCAUGCUAGUGCUCUACUUGGUUUAUGGGAUAAUGUUAUAUAACAAAGACGACUAUUAUUUUAGUCGCAUCGAUAUUUUUUAUUAUUGUGGUAUUGUUGUAUAUUUAAUUCGAAUAUGGAGCGACGAGCCAAGAAAAAAGUACAGCCACAAGGACUAUUAUGGCUCUCGCUGAUUAAUUAGGGAAGCUAGUAUGGGUUAGCCUUAUCGAAAAGGCAAGAGGGGAGGCAUACCUCAAGUAUAGAUCGGUUCUCGUACUGAUCUGCUCUGUGGUAGCUUUUCAUUAGAGGGAGAUCUAUACCACCUCGACCUGAAACCUUAGCAGGUUACCUCAUACUAGUGGAUCUUUAUAAAGACCUUAUAUUGAACCCCACCACGCUUCCUUGGAAGAGGGGCAUAGGAGUCAUGACUCCUGGCAAAUGGGUAACACGACUUGUGGGUAAAGAUAUACAUCCUCGUAGAGUGCAGAAGUGAUAUAUCAACCAUUCUCACGGUUAGAGCAGCUUGGAUCCUCACAUGAUUAUUCUAUGUAAGUAAAUUAAAUGUAUUUGUAGGUGCUUUAUUUAUUGUUGGUUUUUUUUAUUUGGUAACUGCUAAUAAAAUUUUGACCAACAUAAUUAAAAUGUGGAAUGCUACAACCUCAGACUUAUUCUUGUAAGUCUUACACUGCACUUUUUCUACAUCCUUGUUGUGUACCAACCUUAAGUGUACUUAUUCUUGCUGAAUUCGCUGCUUAGAACAAGGUCAGCAAGAAGAUGACUACUAUGAAAAUUUUAAAGAGUUUUAGGCCUUCGAUGCUCCGGUCAACCAACAUGGAUAGUCGUUGUUGUCGUCAUUUAGUUUCUUUUGUUUAUUUUAUUUUAGUUUAUGAAAUUGGUUUCUAGACACACUAAAGUCAUCAUAUGUGUGUAAUUUGAUCUUGGUGUACAUAUGAGAUGCAUCUAGAUUUGUUUUCAAAUCCGGGUGUGACAAAGUUGGCCACGACCAUGGUUUCAGGAAGGAGAGCUAUGCAUACUUCUCUAUUGGCCUCCUCACGAACUGGCUUAAUCUAAAACAUAGCUUUGUUAUAUUUCUAUUCAAUAGAAAUAUGUGUUCUACAUGGCUUGAUAUAUUAUGAUACAAAAAUGAAUGGAAGAUCAUAAAAGGAGCAAAUUAUUUGUAUUAAUUCCUUGUGCAAGAGUGUUGCGUGAAAUCACCUUAAAAUUCAUGCAUCUAAAAUAUAGGAGAAGCGAUAAAGAAAACAACAAAAACACCAUGCCAUUCAAUACACUAGUGACACAAACAUGCACAUUCAAAACAAACAUACAUUACCAUGUGAUAAUAAUGGAAAGAUAGUGAGAAACAAGACACUUCACACAUGAAUUAUUGCUUUCUCGAUCGAUAGGACAAGAACAACAUGCUUGGUUUUUUCAUUCUCAAGGUGUUCGGCAAUACAGUGAGCGAACUCUUUGAAUAACUUGUCGAGUAUGUGUUCUCCAAAUUGGCUUGCGACCAGCGACUCCAUAACUGCUCGUAGGCACUUAGCAACAUUUUCACCGCUCCCGAUACUGUUAUGCACAUCAUCACUUUCCGAGUCAUCGUAGGGAUCCCAAUUUAUCUCAAAUACUUUAACAUGAUUCAUGUUGAACAACCCAACUUGCUUCAAAAUCGCCUCCACUUCACCAACCGAUGGUGAGUAGAACGGAAGAUAGAAUGACUCAAGUUUUUCUUUCUCCACAAGACCCUGCAAAGGUCAAACAAAGUCCAGUUAUUUACUGCAAAUUAAAGUUACUACCUAGUACCUAUUAGAGUGAUCAAAACUCAGUACUUCUUUAUAUUUAGUUUACCUCAUCAACUAGGGAUUUCAGUGACUGCGCAAGCAAUCCGUGAAGAUGGUUGGGCUCUCUAGUGAACACAUCCUCAUGCUUCCUUCCAAUAAAUGUUAGAACCAUUUGGCCACCAGACACGAGUUCCUCGUAGCGUAGCUUGAGGAAGAGGGAGAAGUCCUUCUCAAACUGCUGUUGAAACAACUUCACCAUCGACGGUGGCAUAUUCUUUGUGAUGUAGAUAUCUAGGCAUUUAUUUUUGGUGUCCUUCAGUUGUUCUGAUGCCUAUAUAUGUAUAUAAACACAAAAAUGGGUUACACAAAAACACAACUAUACGUUGUUUUAAAAGACUCAAAAAGUCAAAAGCAUGGACACAUCCAGCAGCCUGACAGGUAAUGCAUGAUGAUUUUCUGAGAAAAACAUACAAAGUCACGUGUGAAUGAACUGUAUGCAUGUGUACCUGAGAGUGCCAGUGAACGGAGAACAAAGAGUGGAAAAGGUGAACGCUUUCGCUAGGAAAGAUCCUAGUGUAGAAGGAGCCUGACAAACCAGAGAUAUAGCACGGAGGCAGUGCCUCAGCUGCCUCACCCUUGUGGUUUCUUGCCAUCGACUUAUUGAACUGCUGGAUGAGCAGGAAGAGAUUGUUGAAGUCGUUUCCCGGCAGGUCAUUCAGGAAGAACUGAAGUUGUGGGUAGUCAUGUCGUCGGUCGUGUUCUUUGCAAUGGCGAGCUAUGAUGCCAAUCACCUCGGAGACGAAGCGCAGUGUGUUAGGCCCCGAUGAGCAGCCUAAGUCGGCCACGACCAUAGUUCGAGGGAGGAGAGCUGAGUAUGCUGCUCUAGUGGCCUCCUCAAGGACUGGCUUGAUCUGAAACAUAACUUUCUCCUGUUGCCAUCGAACAGAAACAUGUAAUACUUGAUCUGGAACAGAAGCAGGUAUAUAUAUAGAGAACACACAGCUUGUACCACAGUACGUAUGCAACAGUAGUAGCUGUGCAUGCUGGAAAUAAAUAAUGGAGAGUAGAUCUUUUACCUGAAUCCUAGAGUUUUUCGUGUAGCUAGUUUCUCCGUUCCCUGUGGCCAUGUGGAGAUCACGCUCGAUUGUCAUUGGCAUGGCUGCAACCUGCAAUCCGAGGCUUCAGCUAUGGUGGAGAGAAGAGAAGUACCCAAUCCAAAGCUCAGCACAUACAAGCACAACACAGUUUUGCAAUCUUAUAGAAAAGUUUGCCAUGUUUUUUGCACAUGCUCCUCCGAUCCUACAGCGCUAUUAUUACACAUGAAUCAGCUGCUCAUUUGUGUUCGACGUCAUCAACAGGAUCUCAUGAAUUUUAUGACCACAAAUAUUAAUUCGUUUUUUUCGUCGGUCAAGCCAAAGUGCGAUGAGUACGAUGUAAACUAUAAAUAAUACGAUACGUUCAUUGCUAGCUGCCAAACGAAGUGUCACUGUGAUCAUAAUCAUUCUGUUCAUUUCUGCACUGCCAAACGAAGUGUCACUGUGCGGGGCUUGUGCAUUGCUGGCGACCGGCCACCAACUCAUGUGCCUCUGCGUCUGUACCACACAGAUGGUCGCCAAUCAUCCGUUGUACAGAAAGUGGAUAGAGAUCGAGCAUGUUCCCUAUGCAGUAAGUGGAUAGGGAUUGAGUGUUCCCUAUGCGAUAUAGGAUAUACUAUCUCAGUUCUCGAAUAUUUGUAGUCCACUAGUUUAUUUUUAAACUAAACCACGACAAAUAAAAAAACGAAUGGAUAUCGGAUAUAAUACCUCAGUUCUCAAAUAUUUGUUGUCCACUAGUUUAUUUUUAAACCAAACCAAGACAAAUAAACGAAGAGAGUACUAUUUUACAUAUAUACACUAAAGAAUAUCAGAGGCGCUGGAAGAGAUUGGAAAACACCGUGAUGCCCCUGGCCGGUGUGCUGCAUGUUUAUAUAUGGGCAAUAACAACCAUUGCCGUGGUUUACAUUUGGAUAAUCAUGAGUCUGUUUCAGAUAAUCACGCAGAGUUGGUUACACGAGAUAAACUCUAAUACAAUCGACUAUAUGAGAUACGAUUGAUAUACUAACUCUGUGUUAUCUGUUACAGGCGCUUUGCUUUACACGCCCCCUCAAUCACAACUUUCUCAAGUUGAGAUUGUAUUUAAAGUUUUCUAAUUUCUUCACUGUAAGAGCUUUGGUAAAACCAUCUGCAAUAUGAUCUCCUGUGGGAACAUAGUCAAUGUCCAGUAAUUUCCUGGCGACACGCUCCCUGACAAAAUGAUAAUCCACCUCAAUGUGUUUUGUUCUGGCAUGAAAGACUGGAUUAAAUGAUAAAUACUUGGCACCCAUAUUGUCUACCCAAAGUUUUGCGACUGAGGGGCUUGAAACUUUCAGUUCAUUCAAGAGAGUUUGAAUCCACAUGAUCUCAGCUGUGGCAUUAGCUAGAGCUUUAUAUUCUGCUUCAGUGCUGGAUCGAGAUACUGUAGCUUGCUUCUUUGCAUUCCAUGACACUAAAUUAUUUCCAAGAAAGAUAGCAAAACCUCCGGUGGAUCUCCUGUCAUCGAGGCAUCCUGCCCAGUCUGCAUCUGAAAAUCUGCUCACUAGAAAGGAGGAAGAUUUGCACAAGCUUAGCCCAAGACUAAUACUAGAUUUAACAUAUCUCAAAAUUCUUUUUACUGCUGUCCAGUGAGAUGUGGUUGGAGCAUGUAGAAAUUGGCACACUUUGUUUACUGGAAAUGCAAUAUCUGGUCUUGUUAAGGUCAAAUACUGCAGGGCCCCAACUACACUUCGAUACUGAGUAGCAUCAUUUGGCCCAAGCAGAGAACCUUCAUGAAGAUGUAAUUUUUCACUUGUGGAUAACGGAGUACUCUCAGGUUUACAAUUCGCCAUGUUUGUCCUCCGUAGUAAAUCAGUUGCAUAUUUUUCCUGUGUUAACAUGAUAUCGUUUUGUGUCUUGUUUACCUCUAUACCAAAGAAGUAGUGAAGAUUCCCUAAGUCCUUUAGAGCAAAUUCUUCCUGCAGAUUUUUCAGUAGUGCUGAAACAGCUUCUUGCUUGACCAAGGAAGCCCUCACCCAGGUAGCGGCAUGCAAAACUGCCACAGAAACCUGGAAGGUCAUCGAAACAAUUUACUCCUCCAUGACCAAGGCACGCUCCAUCAACACAAGAAUCACCCUCGCCACCACCAAGAAAGGGGACCUCACAAUUGCUGAAUAUGUCGGCAAGAUGAGGGCCCUGGGAGAUGAGAUGGCAAACUCCGGCAAGCCGAUCGACGACGACGAGCUCAUCUCGUACAUCAUCACCGGCCUCGACUACGACUACAAUCCGGUCAUCACCUCCCUUGUCGCGCGAGCUGAUCCGCUCACCAUUAGGGAGGUGUACUCCCAACUGCUCAGUUAUGAGCAAUGGCUGGAUCUCCUACGCGAGUCAGAUUCCUACUCCGUCAACGCUGCCACCCGUGGAAGAGGAAGUUCCCGAGGAAGAGGCGGCAACCGUGGUGGAGGAAGUAGAGAUUCUAGAGGCCGAGGACGUGGCGGAUCUCAGUCUCGCCAGAUUGGCAUCGGCAACAGAAACGCUCCACAACAAGACAGCAGGCCCAAGUGCCAGCUCUGUGGCAAAAGAGGACAUCUGGUAAUGAAGUGUUGGCAUCGCUUUGACGAAAAUUUUGUUCCCAAUGAAAAAUAUGCAGGGGCAGCAGCCACAUCAUAUGGAGCAGACUCAAACUGGUAUGUAGAUACUGGAGCCACAGAUCACAUCACCAGAGAUCUUGAGAGGCUAGCAGUACAUGACCAAUACAGAGGCCAUGAUCAGAUCCACACGACAAGUGGUGCAGGUAUGAACAUUAGUCGCAUUGGUUAUUCAACUGUUCCAACUCAUAACCGUGAUCUUAAACUCAAUAACAUUCUUUAUGUUCCUCAAGUUACAAAGAAUCUUGUCUCAGUUCAUAAACUAGCCACCGAUAACUCAGCCUUUCUUGAAUUUCAUCCCAAUUUCUUUGUGAUCAAGGAUCAGGCCACGAAGAGACCUCUGCUUAAAGGACGCUGCCACAAAGGGCUCUAUCCUUUGCCAUUGACAUCAUCCAAGCAAGCAUAUGGAGCCACUAGACCAUCUAUUGAAAGAUGGCAUAGUCGUCUAGGUCAUCCCUCUGUUCCUAUAGUAGAAAAAGUUAUUCGUCGUUUUAAUCUCCCUUGUUCUAGUGAGAAGAAUAAACAGUCUGUUUGUAACGCCUGUCAAAAGGCUAAGAGUCAUCAGUUACCUUAUCCCAAGUCAAGUCAUGUGUCGAGUCAUCCCUUAGAACUCGUUUUCUCUGAUGUUUGGGGUCAUGCACCCAACUCUAUAGGAGGCAAUAAAUAUUAUGUCAGUUUUAUCGAUGAUUAUAGUAAAUUUACUUGGAUUUAUCCUCUCAAAUUCAAAUCCGAAGUCUUUCAAAAGUUUGUUGAAUUUCAAACUCUCGUUGAGCGUCUUUUCGAUCGCAAAAUAAUAACCAUGCAAACCGAUUGGGGCGGAGAAUAUCAAAAACUUCAUUCAUUCUUUGCUAAAGUUGGAAUCAGCCAUCAUAUCUCCUGUCCUUAUGCACAUCAACAGAAUGGGUCGGCGGAGAGAAAACACCGCCAUAUUGUUGAAGUUGGUCUAGCCCUUCUUGCUCAUGCUUCUAUGCCCCUGAAAUACUGGGAUGACGCCUUCCUUGCAGCUGUUUAUUUGAUCAACCGUACUCCUAGCAAAACCAUAAAUUAUGAAACACCUUUGGAGCGUCUUUUUCACCAAAAACCAAAUUACUCCUUUUUGCGCAUUUUUGAUUGUGCUUGCUGGCCUAACCUUCGUCCCUAUAAUUCUCAUAAGCUUCAAUUCCGCUCCCGUCAAUGUGUCUUUCUAGGAUACAGUAAUUUUCACAAAGGUUUCAAAUGUCUUGAUCUUUCUUCUGGACGAGUCUAUAUUUCAAGGGAUGUCAUCUUUGAUGAAACAAUUUUUCCCUUCUCCUCUCUCCGCCCCAAUGCUGGUCGUCGUCUCCAACAAGAAAUUUCCCUUCUUCCUCCAUCCCUUCAACAUUCUGAUAUUAUCACCGGUUAUGGGGGCCAACAUGUGGAUAAUCAUGUGCCUACAUGUUCUACUAACACUACUAAUCCAUGUGCUUUGAGCUCUCCACCUGUGCAGGACACAGCCGGGUCAAAUGAUGCUUCCGGCCCAAGUACUGAGGCCGAGUCACCUAUGCCAGCUCCUGUUGACGAUGCUGCCCUGCCCGCCAUGCAGUUGGAUGAGAGCGCCAUACACGAUCCGCCUGCAGCCACGGACUCCCCGCCUCUUGGAUCCUCUGCACCCGGGGGGGACCAACAGCAGUCGCAGCAUAUGGAACAGCGACGCCCGAGUACACGUCUCCAACAUGGAAUCCGUAAGCCCAAAGUUUAUACUGAUGGCACUAUCAAGUACAAUUUUCUUACAACUUCUGGUGAACCACGAAACUUAGAAGACGCCUUGAGUGAUAAAAACUGGAAAAAUGCUAUGGAUGCUGAAUUUAUGGCACUAGAAAAGAAUAGAACCUGGCACUUAGUUCCACCUCAAAAAGGCAGGAAUAUAAUUGACUGUAAAUGGGUUUAUAAAAUUAAAAGAAAACAAGAUGGAAGCUUAGAUAGAUAUAAAGCUCGCCUAGUUGCAAAAGGAUUUAAACAAAGGUAUGGUAUUGAUUAUGAGGACACUUUUAGCCCUGUGGUCAAGCCAACUACUAUCAGGAUUGUUCUCUCUAUUGCUAUCUCUAGGGGGUGGUCUCUUCGUCAAUUGGAUGUGCGAAAUGCUUUUCUUCAUGGAAUCCUUGAAGAGGAAGUGUACAUGAAACAACCUCCUGGAUAUGAGUGUUGGGGCGAAGGCAAAGACGCCACCCUUCGCUCGAGGCCUUCGCUGCAGCCGCCGGUCCGACGGAGACAAAGCGGGCAGGGACACCCUUCGCAGGACUCGGCACUUUGACGAAGGCCUGCGGCGACGUCCUACCACGGCGUGUCCUCGUUCAGUCCCAAGGCCCACGUGUGAUCUGGCCCAUUGUAACGGGCCCCGCGUGGCCGCCUCUGUAUUACGGGCCUAACUUGUAAAGGAAUACUUGUAAUUACGGUCUGUAACCCUGCUUUAUGGGAAUAUUCUGGGGAUAAAAUAGGUGCCUGAGGGCACAUGCGUCCUUAACACAAGACGCUGGGCACUCAGAUACCUAUAAAUAUCCCCGCACAGUGCCCGUGAGAGGCUAGAUGAACAGAGCUAUUGCCCCCGUGCACGUAACCCUGUUGUCACCACUAUUCACCCUUGUUGGCCUUCUUGCUGCUGUGAGCGAGUUCCAACAUUUGGCGCCCACCGUUCGUGCUACGAUAAAACCACCCGCGAUGGCACCCAAGAGAGCUAACCCCAAGGCUGACGAGGCUGCGAAGGCAGCACUGCUGGCCGCAAGAAAGGGCAAGGCCCUCGUCCUCACCCAAUCCACCCACCAAGAGCCCACUGAAGACAAUGUUCCCCACACCGGCGAAGACGACACCUUCCGCACCUGCGGAACCGAAGGACAGUCACAGCCGCCCCCAGGCUUCGCCCCACUGGAAGGCGCGGAUCUCACCGAGGACGGUGAGGUCCUCGGCGUCUCAACAGAAGAACAGCUGCAGCUGCGCGCCCUGCGCCUCAGGAACCGCAAUCUCCAGAGGCAGAAAGAGAUACUGGAGGCCAAGCGCCAGCGUGUGUCCGCAUUAGCCAAAGUGCGGCAAAUGAUACGCGACGAGGAGCAGAAAGCUCAAGACCUCGAGCGCGAGAUCGCGCUGAUGCAGCGCGAAGGCCACCUCGGUCUACAGCAAGAGCCACCCCUCCAACAGCGCACACAACCGGAGGACACGCGCGAAGGCCACCUCGGCCGGCAGCAUGGCCCACCCCUGCAGCACCGGGCGCAGCCGGAGAACCCGCGUUUCCCCCAGCAUGACUACGUCUCCCAGCACGGCGCGCCAUUCCAAGGGGUCAACUACCUCGACGAGCGAAGCCCCCUGGCGCCACACCUACAAGUGACGCCUUGGCCAGCUAACUUUCGAGCGGGGGCAUACCCCAAGUACAACGGCAGCACCGACCCGGCGCAGUACAUCAUGAGUUAUCAAGUCGUCGUUGCAUCAGCCGGAGGGGACGACGCCACAAUGGCGAAGUCUUUCAUCAUCGCACUAGAGGGCCCAGCACUCACCUGGUUCACCAGAUUGCCUCCGCUGUCCAUCGAUUCGUGGAGAAGUCUCAGGGACAAGUUCCUCCUCAACUUCCAAGGGUACCGUCCAGACACCGACGCUUUGACCGAGCUCUCGCUUUGCAAACAGCUAGAAAAGGAGACUCUGCGGGAGUAUUACCGCAAGUUCUUAACACUCAAGUCGCAGCUGCCCUCUGUCGACGAUCAGAUCGCCAUCCACUACGCCAUCAAUGGCCUUCGGGCCGGCGUCCUCUACAGCCAUUGUAUCAGAGAUCCACCCAAGAGCUUGCAGGAGCUAUAUCAGCUCUUCGAAAAAUAUGCCAAAUCCGAAGAGCUCCACCAGCGCAAGGUCGAGUCACAACGGAAACCCAAAGAUGCCCCGCAGUCCAGCCGCACGUGGACAAGGACUCCGCAGCCAGACUCCGGUCGAGAGGGCCGCAGUCAGCAGCAAGUGCACAACAUCGUCAACCAACAGCCUGCUGCUGAUCCCCCUCGCCGCCAGGAAUAUCCCCCCAGGGCCGCGGAAAUGGAACUCGCGGCAGGGGUCGAGGGCGGGCGCAGCAGCCGCCGCGCCGGUUCUAUUGCCUUUUCCACGGCGAAGACUGCGCCCACCAGACCAAAGACUGCCCCGAGACGAAGGCCACCAGAGAAAGAAUGGCGCGGGCGCAGCCAGCCGACAAUCCUAGAAUUGUCGCGCAUAAUUACCAACCACCCCCUCCACCAUACAUCCAUGCUCCCGCUCCGCAUCCACCGCACCACGCUUACCAACACCAUCAGGAAGUACAAAUCGUACCUCCUCCACCCCCACCGCCACACCAGCAACACCAAAACAUCCCCCACGCCCCAAAACAGGAAGACUUCGCCGAUCAACCAUAUCGCGGAGUCAUUCACAUGAUAACAGGGGGGUCCAGCACUGACUUCGACACCAAGCGGCAGAAGCGGGACCACUACCGCAGCAUCAACCACGUCGCCGUCACUGGCCCAGUCGUGCAGACGAAGUGGUCCCAUAUACCGCUAACCUUCGACGCACGAGACGUCGACCUACGCAGCGCCCCCCACAUCGACGCUAUGGUCAUCAAUUGCAGCGUGGCAGGCUGGGAUUUACACAAAGUCCUAGUCGACAACGGCAGUCAGGCGGACAUCAUCUUCCUCCACGCCUUCGACCGCAUGGGUAUAAGCCACAGCUUGCUGAAGCCUUCGGACAACCCGUUGUAUGGUUUCGGCGGCAAGGGCACCUUUCCAGUUGGCAAGAUAGAGUUGCCCCUCUCCUUCGGUGUAGCGCCCAAUGCCCGAAGUGAGCAAGUAACCUUCGACAUUGUCGACAUGGUAUAUCCAUACAACGCCAUCAUGGGCCGGGGAUCCAUCAACAAGUUCGAAGCUGCCAUCCACGGGUUGUACCUAUGUAUGAAGAUACCAGGCCCGCUAGGCGCCAUCACAGUCUACGGCAACCAGCAGACGGCGCGCAACAUUGAGCGGGACUUCGUGCCCGGUCAGAGAAACAUACACUGUCUCACAACCCAGCGCGAGGUCCCUGCGCCGGCCAGCCCAACCGACAAGCAGCACGACAAGGCACAGUUGCAGUGCCAAGACGGGACCAAGACUGUCCCCCUCGAUCAGGCCACGCCCAAGCACACAGUAACUAUCAGCGAAGACCUCACCUCACUUGAGGAAGAGAGACUUCUCUGCUGCCUGGCCAAGAAUAAGGAUGUCUUCGCCUGGUCUGCCCUCGAUCUGGUCGGAGUCAGCCGAGCCAUAAUUGAGCACAGCUUGGGGAUUAACCCUUCGGUGCGACCCAAAAAGCAGAAGCUUCGCAAAAUGUCAGACGAAAAGACAGAGGCCGCCAAGGCGGAGGUGCAUCGCCUCCUGGAGGCUAAAUUCAUCGAGCCAGUGGCUUACCCCACGUGGCUCUCCAAUGUUGUGAUGGUGCAGAAAAAAAGCGGAAAAUGGCGCAUGUGCAUAGACUUCACCAGUCUCAAUAAGGCCUGCCCAAAGGACAAUUUCCCGUUGCCGCGGAUCGACAAAAUAGUCGAUAGCGCGGCCGGAUGCGAGGUCAUGUCCCUCCUCGACUGCUUCUCCGGCUAUCACCAGAUAUACAUGAAGGAGGAAGACAAGGCUAGCACCAGCUUUAUAACACCCUUCGGCACUUAUUGCUUUGUCAGAAUGCCGGAGGGUCUCAAGAAUGCCGGAUCCACCUUCUCCAGACUCACCAAAACGGUGCUCGAGGGGCAGGUCGGCAGAAAUAUAUUCACAUAUGUGGACGACAUCGUCGUCGCCAGCAAGAAUAAGGAGGACCAUCUCGCCGACCUGGCAGAGACAUUCGCGAACAUGCGAGAUGCACGACUCCGCCUAAACCCGGAAAAGUGCGUUUUCGGUGUCCGCCAGGGCAAGAUAUUGGGCUACCUGGUGUCCCGCCGCGGCAUCGAGGCCAACCCAACCAAGAUCCAGGCCAUCGUCGAUAUGUCGCCUCCGCAGUCCGCCAGGGACGUCCAGCGCCUGACAGGCAGGAUGGCCGCUCUCAACAGAUUCAUCUCCAGGUCCGCCGAGCGAAGUCUCCCCUUCCUCAAAACACUCCACGGCGCGAAGGACUUCGCUUGGGGACCGGAGCAAGCAGCGGCCUUCGCCUCACUAAAACUGUACCUGUCGGAGCUGGCCAUCCUCACGAGCCCCGACUCCUCGCUCCCCCUAUUGCUCUAUGUCGCGGCUUCGCCGCACGCAGUCAGCGCGGCACUGGUACAGGAGCAGACAGUCGAGGGCGCAGUCAGACAGUGCCCUGUCUACUAUGUCUCCGAAGUCCUGACACCGUCCAAAUGCAACAUGACAGAGCUGGAGAAGAUUGCCUACGCAGUUGUUAUGUCCUUGCGCAAGCUGCGCCAUUAUUUUGAAGCAUUCAAGGUCCGAGUCACCUCAGACAGGAGGCUCGGCGAACUAUUCAGGAACCCGGAGGCAUCAGUGAGGAUUGCCAAGUGGGCAGCCGAACUCUCCGGCUACCACAUCAGCUUCGAGCCUAGAACAGCUAUCAAGUCGCAAGUCCUGGCAGACUUCGUCGUCGACUGGACUGGGCCAGUAACACAGCCGGACCCAUCCACAGAAAAGGUCUGGACUAUCCAUUGCGACGGUGCAUGGUGUCAUGCGGGGGCAGGCGUUGCUGUAGUCGUCACCUCGCCAGCCGGAGUCAAACACAGAUAUGCAGCACGCCUCAGCUUCGCUCUGGAAUCCGACAAAUGUACAAACAACAUAGCAGAGUAUGAAGCAGUCAUCCUCGGCCUCCGCAAGCUAAGGGCCCUCGGAGUCACCACAUGUAUCAUCAAAACAGACUCCAAGAUAGUUGCCGGUCAGGUCAAAAAAGACUAUGCAGCAAAAGACCCCGCCCUCAUGCAAUACCUCGCGGCUAUCCGAAGUCUCGAGAGACAAUUCAAGGGAUUCACCCUGCAGCAUGUGGAUAGGGCCAAGAACGAGGAGGCCGAUGCCUUAGCCAAGGUCGCCGCCAGGGGCGAGCCCCUGCCCUCCGACGUGUUUUUCCACACCAUCGGCACUCCAGCUGUCCGGAGCCCCGAAGGGCUCCAGAUAACUAAUGAUAGCGAAGGCCACCGUAUAGUCAACCUAAUCAUGACAGAAGACUGGAGGGCACCAAUAACCCUGUUCCUACAGGGGUACUAUCAUCCAGCCGACGUCAGUGAGGCAAAGCGCCUCAGACAUCGAAGCCGGGACUUCGCUCUGAUCGAGGGCCAACUGUACAAGAAAGGGGUCAGUCAGCCAAUGCUCAAAUGCGUCACCGAAACCGAAGGCAUGCAGAUCCUACGCGAAGUUCACAGUGGCACGUGCGGCUCGCACGCAGGGCCAAGGGCCCUGGCUGCCAAGGUGAUCCGACAAGGGUUUUACUGGCCCGCAAUGAUCUGCGCCGCAAAUCGGGUCACGAGGUCCUGCGAAGCCUGCCAGAAGUUCUCCCCUCAGUCAGGCAACCCCUCGCAAUAUACAAAGCUGAUUGCCCAUACAUGGCCUCUCCAGCGCUGGGGCCUGGACAUCGUCGGGCCCCUGCCCACCGCUCAGGGGAACCUUAAGUUCGCCUUCGUAGCUGUCGAAUACUUCACCAAAUGGAUUGAAGCGAGGGCUGUUUCCACAAUCACAUCAAAGACUGCCCAAAAAUUCUUCUGGCAGAACAUCGUUUGCCGCUUCGGAGUACCGUCCGAGCUAACAGUUGACAACGGCAAGCAGUUCGACAGCCAAGAUUUCAAGGAUUUUUGUUUCUCCAUCGGCACCAAGCUUGCCUUCGCUUCAGUCUAUCAUCCGCAGUCCAACGGGGUCGUGGAGCGCGCCAAUGGGAAAAUAUUCACAGCUGUCAAAAAGAUGCUCCUCGAUGAAAGAAAAGGCAGAUGGACAGAUUUAUUACCAGAGGCGGUCUGGGCGCUAAACACAACCGAGUGCAGAGCGACCGGGUUCACUCCUUUCCGCCUUCUAUACGGAUCGGAGGCAAUGACCCCGCAAGAAAUAAAGCAUGGGUCCCCGCGUACAGUUCCGUCAGCCGUCCCCGAAGUGGAUGAGCCAACUUCAAAAGAUCUCAUUGACGGAGACCGGGUCUUCGCCCUACAGGCCCUAAACAAAUAUCAGGCCCAGACCAAAGCAUGGCGCGACCGCGCAGUCAUCCCAAGGGAGUUCAGCGAGGGGGACCUCGUACUCAUCCGAACAGCUCGGACGGAGUCCAAGGGCAAGUUGGAGCCCAAGUGGGAGGGCCCCUUCAUAGUCAAGUCAAAAGCUUCCCGCUUACAGGCUCACAACGCCAAACGGCGAGGACCUAGAGCACUCCUGGAACGUCGACAACCUUCACAAAUUUUUUGUUUGACCCAUUUAGGGCUGAUUUCGCCCUUGUAAUUCGCUGCAAACAAUCUUGUACCGGCCCGCACUCUUUUCCUCCCGGGGGGUGAGGUUUUUAACGAGGCGGAGCCAUGUAAUAUAUGUGAGAAAAAUCCCCCGCAAAAGCAUGUGUCGAAAAAAGACCGCAACAACGGUCUUCGGCAUUCGACCAAUUCGAAGUCACCGCGAGGCUAAGCGCUAGCCACCCUCGCGUGCGACCAAUCCGCGCAGAAGUCGCCUAAGGGUGCAGCCGGACUUAGCACAACAAGUGCGCAAAAAUCCAAAGUCCAUCGCGAAGACUAUCCGCGCAGAAGUCGCCUAAGGGUGCAGCCGGACUUAGCACAACAAGUGCGCAAAAAUCCGAAGUCUAUCGCGAAGACUAUCCGCGCAGAAGUCACCUAAGGGUGCAGCCGGACUAAGCACAACAAGUGCGCAAAAAUCCGAAGUCUAUCGCGAAGACUAUCCGCGCAGAAGUCGCCUAAGGGUGCAGCCGGACUAAGCACAACAAGUGCGCAAAAAUCCGAAGGCUAUCGCGAAGACUAUCCGCGCAGAAGUCGCCUAAGGGUGCAGCCGGACUAAGCACAACAAGUGCGCAAAAAUCCGAAGGCUAUCGCGAAGACUAUCCGCGCAGAAGUCGCCGAAAGGUGCAGCCGAGCUAAGCACAAGCGCGCAAAAAUCCGAAGCCUAUCGCAAAAACUUCGCGCAAGAGCCGCCUAAGGGCGCAGCCGACCCAGUACAACAAAAGCAGAAACGACACCAAGACCAAUUAUAAUCGUGCUGGCACAGCAUAAUCAAUCACACCAGACAAAGUACACAGCGCCCUCGCAGGCACAGGCACGCGAGGGCACACAACUCCAUUUUACAAGCCCUUACACAUACACAAGCGAGGGCACCGCGCCCUACAUCGGCUCAACCUUAGGAAUAAUCCCCAUCUCUCUAUAAUUAAACAACAUUAUCCUAAGCUCCUCACCCGCAAAAAGGCUUCGCAGCUCCCCUUCCCCUGCACCAGCGGCGGCCGGCAAAGACAGCAGCUCCUGCCGACCAGCCCUGCUAACGCGGAGCCGGGCCCCUUCCUCCGCACUAAUCCUACGCUUUGCAACCGCCCUUCGUCGUCGGUGCCCGGUGCUAGGACCGGGCACGUCUGGCGCGUCCGCAGCGUGUGGCGCAGCCUCCGCCGCAGCCACGUCCAAGGCCGCAAAAUAAUCCAAGUCCCCCUCCGAAGACUCCUCAGUCCACUCAACCGAGCUCCCAGAGUCAGUAAAAUCACAAAACUCAGAAACAGACCCACCAUAUUCAUUUCCAUCUUUCGCGGUCGAAGCCGCCAAAAACUCAGUAGUAGCGGUUGCGUGCGCAGGCCCAAAAUCUCGAACCUGCGCAGCAACCAAAAUUCAGUACAACAUCCAAAAAUUCCUCAACCCUAAACACCACAUAUGCCACCUGCGAAGGCCCUGCCGCUGCGGGAGCCUCCGCCGAGGCCUCCGCCGCUGCCUCCGCCCCCACCUCCGCUGGAUCUUCAGCGCUCGGCACAGCAGCUGCGGGGGCAUCGGGCGCGCCUUCGGCCACCUUUGGGGGAAGGUCUUCGCCGGCCGCAGCAGGUGCAGGGGCGCCUGGUGCAUCUUCCGCGGUCUCCGGGGUCGGUCCGGGGGCGACUCCAGUCGCGGCCUCCGCAGGGGUCGUCUCCGGGUCAGGCAGCGCGCUGUUCAGCGCCCCGAAGUCGUCCACCCGCUCGCCACGCUCCGCCUAAGACAAAACGCACAAAAAUUCAGCAAACACACGCACAGACCGCAUCCAGCAAACGCCGAGCAAACGACAACGUUACCUGAGCCCUCGCAGCCGCGGCCCGCGCCCGGACCACCUCACAACCGUAUGAACUCCACAUCCGGUCAUAGAGGGCCCCGGCGGAUUCCUUCACCACGGGGUCUUCGACCUCAAAGAUAUCUCGCCCAAAAUCCUCAUCUGCCUGGUCGAGGGCCUCAAAGUGCCGGCAGCCUUCGCGAGAGAGCGCGUUCAUUGCUGCCUCGCAGGUGACCAGGGAGGUGAACGCCAUCAACCCCGCCAAGACAGUGGGGAGCUCCUGCAGUUCCUCCUGCACCCAUUCCAGACAGCGAAGUCCGGCCUCUCGCUCCGGCACCUCGAAGUCACCCGUCCGCACACCUAGCUCGCGGUAUGCAGUCAUGAGCUGCGUGCGCGUCCGUUCGGCCUCCGCUCGCAUCGCGGCCUCGGCCCCCUCCGCGCGGCUCUCCAGGGCAGUAAGCCGCCGCUGCAGCUCUCCGGCGAGCUCCUUGGCGAUAUUGCCUUCCGCCCGCGCCAGCCUGGCCUCCGCCUGAGCAGCCUGCUCUUUGGCGAUGGCUUCGUUGGCCUCCCUCCUCUCCCCCGCCAUCUGGCGCCGGAGGUCAGCCUUCUCCUUCUUCAGGGCGGCCACCUUCUCCGACAGUUUGCGGCACUUGCUGUCGGAGGCCGAUUUCUCACGAACAGCGUCAGCAUGUUGCGUCCGAAGUCUCUCGACCUCGGCAGACAAAGCUGCCGUAAGGGCCCCCGACGCGGUGCGGCUGGUGAAGUCAGCCACCUGUAGAACACACGUAAGGCCGUUGCGUAAAAAAAAGAGAGGGGGGCGGAGAGGGCAUAGCUCGGCGGACCUGACUCAGCGCCUCCGUCGCUCGACUCAACGCCUCCGUCGCUCCCCUCAGCCGGCGGGUCGCCACGCCCGCCUCGUCCCUGACCAGCGCGAGGGCAGACACCUCGCCUCCGGCGCCAAGGGUCUCUCCCCCCGCCUUCGGCGCUGGCGCAGCCGUCGCGAUCGCCGCGCCAGGCAUAACCAGAGCAAGCGGGCCCUCGUCCGACCCUGCAACGCGUCAACAAAUUAAAAAAAACGUGUGUAUAUAUUUAUAUAGACUUACCCCCAAGAUAAUCCUCCACAUUAAUCUCGGUGCCGAAGUCGGCAACGCGUUUGCCGGCGGCGGUAACGUUCGGGCCGCCUUCGCAGCCUCCGCCACUCCGCUGACAGACGGCACCACCUUCGUCAGCGUGGGGCCUCCGGCGCCCACCGUCACCUCCGGCGCCUUGCCAGGCGCAGAGGCGCCCACCUUCGCCGGCAGCGGCGGCUUGCCUCCGCCGGAGGCCUCCGCCUUCGCCGUUCCCCGCUGCCUCUUCGGCCGAGCUUCGUGAACCCUCACAGUCGCCUGGCGUUUACGCGCCGCCCCUUGGCGAUCCUUGUCCAUCACUGCCCACACAACAUGACCGAUAUUUCGCCCAUAAGGAAAAACUCUCCACCGAUGAACCAUACGAGAUGUAAAACAGUCCUCCUCAGCCGCGCAGGGGAUAGGAAUGUCUUUAGGCCAACAACCCCCGGUAACCCUCAGCAUCCGAGCCGAAGACUCCCGGAGCUCGGGCGAAGACAUCCUCUCCCCCGGGGCCGCACACGUCCUCAUUAACUCUCUAGCGAAACUAUCAGACACCCCAAGUCUUCCCAUCGCAGUACCUAAUUUUCUCUUUUUCAAGGAGGCGGCGGCCACCAGCGCAGGGUCGCCUCCAGUCUCCACCGCCGGUUUCUUCCCACGGCGGUCCGCUUCGUCUUGACCAGGGUAGCCGUCGUACGGCAGUUGAUUUAAUUCGAAGACCCUGUUCAAACGUUCAUUUGACCCGCGGAUGUCAAAGCUGCGCUGGCCUUCCGUCCUCGGCACAUAACGCCCCACGAGCCGCACCGCCAAGUCCUCCGCAUCACGCACAAAGGCGGCCGGGUCACGGUUUCGCAAAUUCAGUGCGAAGGCAGGACUUCGCACCACCCUUCCUCCGUGAAAGGGCAUCUGGCGAGGGCAUACUUCGCCCAGCGCCCAGCCGUGCGCCAAGGGCCAGACCCCGUACGCCACGAACUCUUCAACUAAAUCUCGAUCGCUGCUCUGACCGGCGGCGCACCGAAGGGCCCCUUCGUCUGCAUCAUCUUCUGCUACUUCAUAAGGCGGAUACGCAGAGUAAUAGUGAGAGCACAUUUCGGACACGGGGAGCCCGUUAUGGCCUUCGACAGUAGCCUCAGCAACAUAAAACCAAAAUUCAUUCCAAUUGCCCCACUUGUUGCGGGCGCACGGGACCAACUCCACUACUGGCAUUGUGGUCUUGCCGGUCUUCGGCGUGAAUGUGCAUGACCCGAACUGGGCAACUCCGUCCUCAACCAUCCUUUUCUGCCAAUGCAAACAAUAAUUCUUCGCAAAAACUUCAACUGACGGCUGUCCGCCGUACGAAGUCGUCGCCCAGACAUACUUCGCCAGCGCCACUAUGGCGUUCGGUGUCAGCUGAUGUAUUUGAACGCUGAAUCUACGCAGGACUUCGCUGACAAAACGGUGCGCAGGCAAGCGGAGUCCGGCGACGAAGAACGCCUCGAAAACAACCAACUCGCCCUCUGGUUCGGGGACCUCCUCCGUCCCCGGAGCACGAGCGACUCCGCCGCCAAAGUAGCCCAACCGCUGCAUAUCUUCAAUACGGGCUGACGUCAUCCGCGACACACCAAAUUCAACAGAGUCGCCGGCGCGCAACUCCUCCACCACCACGUUACUCAACGUCUCCUCAGACGAGGCGGCGGCCGGCGGCGCAGCGUCGGCGGAAGAAGAAGAGGAUGGCAUUGCUACGUACCGUCGGCGGCGGCGGGCGGUCUGCUUCACUCGAGCCAGAACGCCGGCGAGCAAAGGGAGCAGCGGAGGAAAAGGAGCAGCAAGACGGCGGGCGGCUAGGGUUUUACGAAGCGCGGAAGGCAGAGUUCAAACAGCGCCGCCCCCGCCCCCUUUUAUAGGCAGGGCGCGGCUCUUCGGGAAACCCGCAAUCCGACAGGCCGCGACGCUUCGGGAAACCCGCAAUCCAACAGUACGCCGUCCAUCAACGGUCACAUCAAAUACCCCCGCAGAACCACUUCGAGCGAGGGCAGCGUCUCCGCCAUCUAGCGACGUCUUCGGCACCAGGUGACUUUGUCGAACUGGUCCCUCGGAGGGCAAAUGUUGGGGCGAAGGCAAAGACGCCACCCUUCGCUCGAGGCCUUCGCUGCAGCCGCCGGUCCGACGGAGACAAAGCGGGCAGGGACACCCUUCGCAGGACUCGGCACUUUGACGAAGGCCUGCGGCGACGUCCUACCACGGCGCGUCCUCGUUCAGUCCCAAGGCCCACGUGUGAUCUGGCCCAUUGUAACGGGCCCCGCGUGGCCGCCUCUGUAUUACGGGCCUAACUUGUAAAGGAAUACUUGUAAUUACGGUCUGUAACCCUGCUUUAUGGGAAUAUUCUGGGGAUAAAAUAGGUGCCUGAGGGCACAUGCGUCCUUAACACAAGACGCUGGGCACUCAGAUACCUAUAAAUACCCCCGCAUAGUGCCCGUGAGAGGCUAGAUGAACAGAGCUAUUGCCCCCGUGCACGUAACCCUGUUGUCACCACUAUUCACCCUUGUUGGCCUUCUUGCUGCUGUGAGCGAGUUCCAACAAUGAGGACAAAGAGAAGCCAAGUUAUGUUUGCAAACUAGACAAAGCUCUUUAUGGUCUAAAACAAGCUCCUCGGGCCUGGUAUGCAAGGUUGAGUAAGAAACUUUUUGAUCUUGGUUUUAGAAGUUCCAAGGCCGACACUUCCCUAUUUUUCUAUAAUAGCAAAGAUGUGUCUAUGUUUAUCCUUAUAUAUGUAGAUGACAUAAUUGUGGCAAGCUCAAAGCAAGAAGCUGUUUCAGCACUACUGAAAAAAUCUGCAGGAAGAAUUUGCUCUAAAGGACUUAGGGAAUCUUCACUACUUCCUUGGUAUAGAGGUAAACAAGACACAAAACGGUAUACUGUUAACACAGGAAAAAUAUGCAACUGAUUUACUACGGAGCAAGAAUCCUAGGACCUGUUGGUCUGUGGUCUUCCAGUCCUCCCAUGCCGGAUUGGGAACGUCGACGUCCUUGUCCUUGAUGGUGGUCGCCGGAGCUGCAGCAGCACCCGUGAGGUAACCCUCUAGGCGCACACCCCUGACGACGGCUAGGACUUGCAUCUUCCAGAGUUGAUAGUUCCCCUUGGCCAGUUUCUCAGAAACAGCUUGACCGACGAGGGGAUUGAUAAUUGCAGCAGUGCUCGACAUGAUGAUUCUCUGGUGGAUUUUGGUGUUUAUGGAUUGGCUCUGAUUACCAUAAAGAAUAUCAGAGGCGCUGGAAGAGAUUGGAAAACACCGCGAUGCCCCUGGCCGGUGUGCUGCAUGUUUAUAUAUGGGCAAUAACAACCAUUGCCGUGGUUUACAUUUGGAUAAUCAUGAGUCUGUUUCAGAUAAUCACGCAGAGUUGGUUACACGAGAUAAACUCUAAUACAAUCGACUAUAUGAGAUAAGAUUGAUAUACUAACUCUGCGUUAUCUGUUACAGGCGCUUUGCUUUACAUACACUCUAUUUGGAAAAAAACACUGUUGAACUAUAGUACUUCCUCCGGGUUCAAAUGAAUUGACUUUCUGGUUGUUUUAGAGAUUGCUCAAAUUUCGCAUACACACUUCUCAAAACUAACUAGAGGAAAACAUCCUAUCUUUCCAUCAAAAAUGCAUACCCCAUUCCCAUCAAACCUUGGUCGAGCACAUAAGAACAUCAUUUAGGACAGUUAUUCUUAUUCCGGCAUGUUAUCAGUGGCUCAUCUUCAUCUAGAAGAAGGUAGUAUCGCUUUGAUUUUCUAGUAAGGAAGAACCAUUUCUCAUCAAUGAAGAUAGUGUCAAAUAAUGCCUUAAAUCUUGGAUAUUUGGUAUGCUUUUAGGCUCAAGCAUAUUAACACACCACUGCAGCCUAGCUUGCUUGUUUGCUUCGGUUAAGUGCAACUUGAUACUAUUUGCAUGCUUUUAAUAAUACCUUGUUUUAGAGAUCUCAACAAUUUGGACUUGCUCACAUGUAAAAUAGCACAUACAUCUUCCUGACUUGUUCUAUCUUUUAGAGCAGUGUUUUCGGUGCUUCUAAAUCCAGAGGAACUGGUUUACGGCCAAAACUCUACCACGGCUCUUAGCAUAAACAUCAACAAUAAUAAUGCCUUGAUCAAGAGAUUGCUUACCAUCGUGCCAUAUAUGUUGCACAGUUCUUAUUUUGUAUCAUGCCUCAUAAGCUUUCCAUUUUUACUUCUUGCCAACAAGACUUGAUAUACUUGUUUCUUCACUUCACCUGGAGUAUCUUUGCUACCUAAAAAUAUUCAUAGUGCUCUAAAUGGUAAACGUAAAAAAUGGUAACAGUGGGUGAUACUAUAUUAAGGCAUAUAUCACUAACUAUUAUAAGGAGUUGUUUUUUGCCACAUGAUGAUAAGAAUUUUUGACUAGUGGAGAACUGAAUACAACAUAUCACACAUGUAAGGAGGACAUGCUCCUCUUGUGGAAUGGUUCACAUAUGCAUAGCGCCUCUCUUACACAUUUGUCAUAGCUUCAUAUAAAAGAAUUAACCUAGAGGUACUACUUAUUAAGUGACAAAUAUUAUAAAUUGACCCCCCCCCCCCUCACUCCUAAACUUUCAAAAAUAUAUGACAUGUUUAGUUCACUUCUCUUAGGGCUAGUUUGAGAACUUCAUUUUCCCAAGUGAUUUCUAUUUUCCCAUAGAAAAAUAAACUAAUUUCCAUUGGAAAAAUGGAAAUCCCUUGGAAAAUUAGGGUUCCCAAACUAGCCCUUAGCAUAAUGUUGCACCUUGGAUCCUCAAAACACUGUUUGUUUGAUUGCUUGCACAUACACAGUGCCCGCAGUCAAGCCUGUGGGAAACGCCAGCAACAAGCUUACACAUAUGUAGCUCACACACUCCUAGAUGCCUUUUUUGUUUGUUUUUCUCGUUAUAUUUUCUAAUUAAAAGAUUUAAUCACCAAACCAGUUUCAUAUAUAUGUUUCUGACAUUUGUGCGAAUAAAACUAGACCACUCAUACUAUAUAUAUAUAUAUAUUAAACAAAAAAAUAUGUGCUUAAGAUUAACAAAUAAUUAGUGUCUAUUGGUAUGAAAUUGGUGCCUAUUACGUAAUUUUUACAUAUAAUUAGUGUCUAUUAAUAUAUUUCUAAUUUUUAAUAAGUAUUCAUGCAAGCAACCGAACAACAUCUCUAAUAAACCAUGUUGGACACAUGCAACAAUCAAAGAGGAGGUAUGUUGUUACCCAGACUUGUCAGAGUCAGGCUCACUAGAUUGGAGCCCAGCUCUACCAUGCAGUCAACCAAAUACGCCCAUACUAAAUCCACCACUACGACCACACAUAGGCCACAAGGGCCAACUACUAUACAUAACUAAUAGGUUGGGGUGUUAUGAUACUCCUAAUUCUUAUAGCACAUAGCACUAUAGAUUUUCGAUGGCCAAAAGCCGCCAAAAAUAAGGGUUUUCCGCUAAAACUAGCUUAUUUUCAGCGGCAAUAGGUAUAUUUUCUGCGGUACCCAACGGCCACGGAUAAUGAGCCGAAAAUAAGUUCCUAUUUUCAGUGGCCACGCUAUUACCAUCGAAAAUAAGAUAUUUUCGACGGCCCUCUUUGCCAAUGGAAAUAAUAUUGUUAUUUUCGUGGGUCUUUUUCAGCCGCUGGAAAUAAAGAUUUUUUUAAAUAAAAAAUAAAUAAGUAAAAAAAUCAUAUAAAUCAUAGAACAAUUAGGAAAAAUCAUAGAAAAAUUAUACAACAUCAUAUAGUUGAGAAUGCACUUUCCAUCACACAUGUCCAGAAAGGUCAUCUAAAUCUUCACAAGUUCAAAUAUCAUCCUAAUACAAUAACAGUACAUAUUAGUUCAACUAAGAAGCAAGUCUAGCUCCUUGUUGUAGUGUUCAGACCUCACAAUAGUAACAUGACAAAUUGAAAGGGAAAUGUGUCAUUGGGCUAUUUCUACAAAUGUUUUGGUGAUUAAGUGUCCAACACAAAUGUUUUGAACUACUUAUGUGUUAAACAAGCAAAAGGUGCAAAUCAAAGAUAAGGUAUGUUUUUAGACUUAGUGUAUUGUUUUUGAGUACUAACAUGGUUAUCUAAGUGCUAGAAACAGUGAGAAAAGAAACUGAAAAGACUUAGCUCUGUGCAGCCAAAUUCAGCUCAUUCUGGCACACCAGACUGUCCGGUGAUGCACCGGACAGUGUCCGGUGCGCCAGGCUGGUCUCCGGUGAAAGUGUUGUUCUCGGGAAUCGACAGUGGCGUACGGCUAAAAAUCACCGGACUGUCCGGUGAGUCAUCCGCGGUGAACUCGUCGCUCUCGGGAAACGGAAAAGGCAACGUGGCUAUAAUUCACCGGACUGUUCGGUGAGCCAACGGUCGGCCGCGCAAUCUUCGCGCGACGCGUGGCAGCUCCAACGGUCGGCGGGGGGCACCGGACUGUCCGGUGUGCACCGGACAGUGUCCGGUGUGCACCGGACAGUGUCCGGUGCGCCAACGGGCCCAGAGCUGCAACGGUCGUCUGUGCCCGAUUUGGAAGGAAAUCACGCACCGGACAUGCUACAGUAGCUAUCCGGUGGCGCACCGGACUGUCUGGUGCGCCACUCGACAGAAGGCAAGGAUGGCCUUCCAAGUUUAUCUACAACGGAUCCUAGCUGCCUUGGGGCUAUAAAAGGGACCCCUAGGCGCAUGGAGGAGUCACCUAAGCAUUCACUAAGCAUUCUAAGACUCCCGCACUCCGCCUCCGCGGAAUUGGUCGACUGUGUUAGUGAUUUGAGCUCCGUUUGAGUCGUGAACUCACUGUGCUACGUUUCGAGCUCAAGUCUUGGCUUGUGUGCGUGUGUGUGCUACGGAUUUGUGUCUUGUGUGUGUUGCUUUUCCCAACCUUACUUCGUGCUUUCUUUGUGAUCUCUAUUGUAAGGGCGAGAGACUCCAAUUUGUGGAGAUUCCUCGCAAACGGGAACAAUACUCUAAAAGAAAAACCGUGGUAUUCAAGUUGAUCAUCGGAUCACUUGAAAGGGGUUGAGUGCAACCCUCGUCCAUCGGGACGCCACAACGUGGAAGUAGGCAAGUGCUACUUGGCCGAACCACGGGAUAAAAAUCACGCGUCUUGUGUUGCUUUCUCUGUGAUUGUUGUGUUCACAAGAACUCGCUUCAAGCUACUUAGCUGUACUAAUACUUAUAACUAAGUUUUGUGGCUAUUAGUGUUUGAUUUUUACAGGAUCACCUAUUCACCCCCCCCUCCUCUAGGUGCUCUCAAUUGGUAUCAAAGUCGUACUCUUCAUCUAAGGGACUAACUGCCCGAAGAGACUAAGGGAAAGGGGAUGGUGGUCAACGACAAGGAAAAGGGGUCCGUCUUAAAUGAGCCAAGAGAUGACAAGCCUACCGACUCAGGCUCGAGUAACAAGAAAAGAGACGGGAAGAAGAAGAGGCGCAUCAAGAAGAUCAUCUACUACGGCAGCGAUGCAUCUUCUUCUUACCAAGAGACGACGACGACGACUCUUCAUCGAAAAAGAGAACGGUUAAUCAAAACUACUCUUUUGACUAUUCUCGCAUGCCAUACAAUUCAAAUGCACAUUUACUUUCUAUUCCUAUAGGAAAACCUCCACACUUUGAUGGAGAGGACUACUCAUUUUGGAGUCAUAAAAUGUGUAGUCAUCUAUUUUCUCUCCAUCCUAGCAUUUGGGAAAUAGUGGAAAAUGGAAUGCAUUUCGAUAGUAUGGAUAACCCUGUGAUUAUUAAUGAGCAAAUCCAUAAGAAUGCCCAAGCUACUACUGUGUUGUUAGCAUCUCUUUGCAGGGACGAGUAUAGUAAAGUAAGUGGCUUGGACAACGCCAAGCAAAUCUGGGACACCCUCAAGAUCUCACAUGAGGGAAAUGAUGCUACAAUGAUCACCAAAAUGGAACUGGUGGAAGGCGAGCUAGGGAAAUUCGCCAUGAUCAGGGGAGAAGAGCCAACACAAACCUACAAUAGGCUGAAGACCCUGGUCAACAAGAUUAGAAGCUAUGGAAGCAUAAGAUGGAUGAAUCAUGACGUCGUCCGACUCAUGCUCAGGUCAUUUAUAGUUAUUGACCCCCAUCUUGUGAAUCUUAUCCGUGAAAACCCCAGGUACACAAAGAUGAUGCCCGAGGAGAUACUCGGAAAAUUCAUGAGCGGGCGCAUGAUGGUAACGGAGGCACGAUAUGUGGAUGACGCCUUGAACGGUCCACUACCUAUCUACGAGCCGCAGCUCGUUGCUCUCAAAGCAACGAGCAGCAAGGAGGCGCUACCAAGCAGAGUAGCUCAAGUGGAGGCUGUCGGACUUAAUGAAGAUGAGAUGGCGCUUAUCAUCAAGCGCUUCAAGACCGCACUCAAAGGACGCAAGGAAUACCCUAACAGGAAUAAAACAAGGGGAAAACGCUCCUGCUUCAAAUGCGGUAAGACUGGUCACUUUAUUGCAAAUUGUCCCGAUAAUGAUAGUGACUAGGGACAAGAAAAGAGCGGGAAGAAGGAGAAAAAGAAGAACUACAGGAAGGCAAAGGGCGAGGCACAUCUUGGAAAGGAAUGGGACUCAGACUGCUCCUCUUCCAACUCCGAUGACGAAGGACUCGUUGCUUCGGCCUUCAACAAAUCCUCACUCUUCCCCAACGAACACCAUACAUGUCUAAUGGCCAAGGAGAGAAAGGUAUGUGUUCGGGACACACCCAAGUACACUUCAUCUAGUGAUGAAGAAUCCUCCGAUGAUGAAGUAUAUUACUCUAGUUUAUUUAAAGGUUUAGAUAAAGCUAAAGUAGAAAAAAUUAAUGAAUUAAUUGAUGCUCCAAAUGAAAAAGAUAGAUUGUUAGAAAAACAAGAGGAUAUUUUAUAUGAGGAACAUGAAAAAUUUGUUAGUGUGCAAAAAUCCCUUGCCUUAGAAAUUAAGAGAAAUGAAAUGUUAUCCUCUGAAUUGUCUGUUUGCCAUGAAUCGGUCUCUAGUUUAAAGAGUUUAAAUGAUGAACUAAAUGCUAAGCUAGAGGAAGUCAACAAAACUAGUUCAUGUGUAGAUCAUGUUGUUAUUUGUAAUAGAUGUAAGGAUUUUGAUGUUGAUGCUUGUGAUGAUCACCUUAUUUCUAUUACCAAAUUAAAAGAUGAGGUGGCAAGUCUCAAUGCUCAACUUAAGACUUGCAAAAUUAAUUUUGAUAAAUUAAAAUUUGCUAGGGAUGCCUACACCGUUGGUAGACACCCUUCAAUUAAGGAUGGGCUUGGUUUUCGAAAGGAAGCCAAGAACAUAACAAGCCAAAGGGCUCCCAUUCCCAACAAGGAGAAAGGGAAGGCUCCUAUGGUUAGUAAUCCUCAAAGGAACCAUGUUUUUAUUUAUGAUAGGAAAAGUGCUAAUCGUGCUUGUUAUAAUAGGAGUUAUGAUCAUGAUGCUUUUAAUUCACAUGCUAUGUUUGCCUCUAGUUCUACUUUUGUUCAUGGUAGAAGUAGGCCUAGGAGAAAUCAUGUUGUUCAUCAUGUGCCUAGGAAAAUGUGCAAUGAAUCUACUACUGUUUUCCAUGCUUGCAACACUUCUUUUGUUCUUUCAUGUAAGAAUGCAAAAGUAGUGGCUAGGAAAUUUUGAUCCAAAUGCAAGGGAGACAAUACCUGCAUAUGGGUUCCAAAAACUAUUGUGACUAACUUUGUAGGACCCAACAAGAGUUGGGUACCUAAAACCCAAGCUUAAAUUCCUUGCAGGUUUAUGCAUCCGAGGGCUCAAGCUGGAUUAUCGAUAGAGGAUGCACAAACCACAUGACGGGGGAGAAGAAGAUGUUCACCCCCUACGUCAAGAACAAGGAUUCCCAGGAUACGAUUAUCUUUGGAGAUGGGAAUCAAGGCAAGGUCAAGGGUUUGGGAAAGAUAGCCAUCACCAAUGAGCACUCCAUAUCAAAUGUAUUUCUAGUAGAGUCGCUUGGUUACAACCUUCUGUCUGUAAGUCAAUUAUGUCACAUGGGUUACAAUUGUCUUUUUACAAAUGUUUAUGUAUCUGUCUUUAGAAGGAGUGAUGGUUCAUUAGCUUUUAAGGGUGUAUUAGACGGCAAACUCUACUUAGUUGAUUUUUCGAAAGAGGAGGUCGAUCUAGAUGCAUGCUUAAUAGCUAAGACUAGUAUGGGCUGGCUAUGGCAUCGCCGUCUAGCACAUGUUGGGAUGAAGAACCUUCAUAAACUUCUAAAGGGAGAACAUGUGUUAGGACUAACCAAUGUUUGUUUCAAGAAAGAUAGACCAUGUGCAGCUUGUCAGGCAGGGAAACAGGUGGGAAGCACUCAUCACAGCAAGAAUGUGAUGACAACAUCAAGACCACUGGAGCUUCUUCACAUGGACCUCUUCGGACCCGUUGCCUACCUUAGCAUCGGGGGAAGUAAGUAUGGUCUUGUAAUUGUUGAUGAUUUUUCCCGCUUCACUUGGGUGUUCUUUUUGCAGGAUAAAUCAGAAACCCAUGGGACCCUAAAGUGCUUUCUAAGGAGGGCUCAAAACGAAUUUGAGCUCAAGGUGAAAAAGAUAAGAAGCGACAACGGGUUCGAGUUCAAGAAUCUGCAAGUGGAGGAAUAUCUUGAGGAAGAAGGCGUCAAGCAUGAGUUCUCUGCUCCCUACACACCACAGCAAAAUGGUGUGGUAGAGAGGAAGAACAGGACGCUUAUCGACAUGGCGAGAACGAUGCUUGGAGAAUUCAAGACGCCCGAGCGGUUUUGGUCAGAAGCUGUGAACACAGCUUGCCACGCCAUAAACCGGCUCUACCUACAUCGCCUUCUCAAGGGGACCUCGUAUGAACUCCUUACCGGUAACAAACCCAAUGUUUCUUACUUUCGUGUAUUUGGGAGCAAAUGUUACAUUCUGGUGAAGAAAGGUAGACAUUCUAAAUUUGCUCACAAGGCAGUAGAAGGGUUUUUACUAGGGUAUGACUCAAAUACAAAGGCAUAUAGAGUCUUCAACAAAUCAUCGGGUCUGGUUGAAGUCUCUAGCGAUGUUGUAUUUGAUGAGACUAAUGGCUCCCCAAGAGAGCAAGUUGAUCUUGAUGACAUAGAUGAAGAUGAUGUUCCGACUGCCGCAAUGCGCACGAUGGUGAUAGGUGAUGUGUGACCACAGGAACAACAAGAGCAAGAUCAGCCAUCUUCCUCCACAAUGGUUCAUCCUCCAACUCAAGACGGUGAACAGGUACCUCAAGAAGAGGGACAGGAUCAAGGGGGAGCACAGGAAGAACAAGUGAUGGAGGAAGAAGCACCACAGGUCCCUCCAACUAAAGUUUGAGCGACGAUCCAAAGAAAUCACCCCGUCGAUCAGAUUCUAGGUGACAUAAGCAAGGGAGUAACACCUCGCUCACGUUUAGCUAAUUUUUGUGAGCAUUACUCGUUUGUCUCUUCUAUUGAGACUUUCAGGGUAGAAGAGGCCUUGCAGGAUCCGGACUGGGUGUUGGCCAUGCAGGAAGAGCUCAACAACUUCAAGAGGAAUGAAGUUUGGAGCAUGGUGCCACGUCCAAAGCAAAAUGUUGUGGGAACCAAGUGGGUGUCCCGCAACAAGCAAGACAAGCACGGGGUGGUGACAAGAAACAAGGCUCGACUUGUGGCAAAAGGUUAUGCCUAAGUCGCAUGUUUGGAUUUCCAGGAGACUUUUGCUCCUGUGGCUAGGCUAGAGUCUAUUCGAAUUUUAUUAGCCUAUGCCGCUCACCACUCCUUCAGGCCAUUUCAAAUGGAUGUGAAGAGCGCUUUCCUCAAUGGGCCAAUAAAGGUGGAGGUAUACGUGGAACAAGCACCUGGCUUUGAGGAUGACAGGUACCCUGACCAUGUGUUCAAGCUCUCUAAGGCGCUCUAUGGACUUAAGCAAGCACCAAGAGCAUGGUAUGAAUGCCUUAGAGAUUUCUUAUUUGCUAAUUCCUUCAAGGUUGGGAAAGCCGAUCCCACUCUUUUUACAAAGACUUGUGAUGGUGAUCUUUUUGUGUGCUAGAUUUUUGUCGAUGACAUAAUAUUUGGUUCUACUAAUCAAAAGUCUUGUGAGGAGUUUAGCAGGGCGAUGACACAAAAGUUUGAGAUGUCGAUGAUGGGCGAGUUGACCUACUUCCUUGGGUUCCAAGUGAAGCAACUCAAGGACGGCACCUUCAUCUCCUAAAUGAAGUACACACAAGAUCUUCUCAAGUUGUUUGGGAUGAAGGACGCCAAGCCCGCGAAGACACCAAUGGGAACCGACGGGCAUGUUGACCUCAACAAAGGAGGUAAGUCUGUUGAUUAAAAGGCAUACCGGUCUAUGAUAGGUUCAUUGCUUUAUUUAUGUGCUAGUAGACCGGACAUUAUGCUAAGUGUAUGCAUGUGUGCUAGAUAUCAAUCCAACCCUAAGGAAUGUCACCUUGUGGCCGUUAAGCGAAUUCUUAGAUAUUUAGUUUCUACGCCUUGCUUAGGGAUCUGGUAUCCAAAGGGGUCUACCUUUGACUUGAUUGGAUACUCAGACUCCGAUUAUGCCGGGUGCAAGGUUGAUAGGAAGAGCACAUCGGGGACGUGCCAAUUUCUAGGAAGGUCCCUGGUGUCCUAGAGUUCAAAGAAACAAACAUAUGUUGCCCUAUCCACCGCUGAGGCCGAGUAUGUUGCCACAGGACAAUGUUGCGCGCAACUACUUUGGAUGAGGCAAACCCUCCGGGACUUUAGCUACAAUCUGAGCAAAAUCCCACUUCUAUGUGACAAUGAGAGUGCUAUCCGCAUGGCGGAUAAUCCUGUUGAACACAGCCGCACUAAGCACAUAGACAUCCGGCAUCACUUCCUCAGAGACCACCAGCAAAAGGGAGAUAUCGAGGUGUACCAUAUUAGCACCGAGAACCAGCUAGCCGAUAUCUUUACCAAGCUGUUGGAUGAGAAAACUUUUUGCAGGUUGCGUAGUGAGCUAAAUGUCUUAGAUUCGCGUAACUUGGAUUGACCUAUAGCAUACAUGUGCUCUAUGCCUUUGAUCAUGUUACUUUGAAGCAUUUACAUUACUCGUUGUAUAUUUGUGGUGCUCAAGUUGUACAAGACCUCCCCGGACCUCACAAGUCCAUAUGCAAGUGAUGCACAUAUUAAGGGGAGAUGUGCUACAACUUGACCCUUUGAGUCUAACCUGUGUGUUUGAGUACUCUUGAUGUAGUCUUAAAGGGAAUUGAAAGGGAAAAUGGACUUGACCGUUGCAAAGACUUCCACUGCACUCUGAUAUUGGUGUAUUUAAUUCCAAGUUCAUUCUUAUGCUCUAUUAGCCUUUUUGCUCUUAAUUGACAUUUUUGGUGAGGCAAUGGGGUUAAAAGGGGCCAAAAAUGAUCCCAUUUUGGUGCUUAAUGCCAAAGGGGGAGAAAUUAAGGGCCAAAGCAAAUGGAUCAGCUACCACUUGUGGAUUUUAAAAAAAUUAGAGUUAGAACUUUUGAUUUGUCCAAAAUACUCUUAUUGCAAAAUUUGGUCUCUUGUGGGGAGAAUUUUGAUUAUGGGAAAAGGGGGAGUUUUUGGCACUUGAUCAAUUUUUCUCUUGGAAUAUCUCUCUAUAUGCCCAAACAAGUGUGUUUGACUUAGAGAUAGGAAAAUGAAUUUGAUUUGCAACAACAAACCAAGUGGUGGCAAAGAGUGAUCCAAAUAUGCCAAAUUAUAGUCAAAAACAAUUUGGUCUUCAAUUGCAUUGAUGUUACAGUUCUUUUUGUUGCUUUUUGAUGUGUUGGCAUAAAUCACCAAAAAGGGGCAGAUUGAAAGGGAAAUGUGUAAUUGGGCCAUUUCUAUAAGUGUUUUGGUGAUUAAGUGUUCAACACAAAUGUUUUGAACUCUUUAUGUGUUAAACAAGCGAAAGGUGCAAAUCAAAGACAAGGUAUGUUUUUAGACUUAGUGAAUUGUUUUUGAGUACUAACAUGGUUAUCUAAGUGCUAGAAACAGUGAGAAAAGAAACCGAAAAGACUUGGCUCUGUGCAGCCAAAUUUAGCUCAGUCUGGCACACCAGACUGUCUGGUGAUGCACCAGAAAGUGUCCGGUGCGCCAGGCUGGUCUCCGGUGAAAGUGCUGCUCUCGGGAAUUGAUGGCGGCGUACGGCUAAAAAUCACCGGACUGUCUGGUGGUGCACCGGAUUGUCCGUUAAGUCAUCAGCGGUGAACUCGUCACUCUCGGGAAAUGGAAAAGGCGACGUGGCAAUAAUUCACCGGACUGUCUGGUGGUGCCCCGGACUGUCCGGUGAGCCAACGGUCCCUAGCGCCAACGGUCGGCCAUGCAAUCUUCGUGCGACGCGUGGCAGCUCCAACGGUCGGUGGGAGGCACCGGACUGUCCGGUGUGCACCGGACAGUGUCCGGUGCGCCAACGGGCCCGGAGCUGCAACGGUCGUCUGUGCCCGAUUUGGAAGGAAAUCGCGCAACGGACAGGCUACAGUAGUUGUCCAGUGGUGCACCGGACUGUCCGGUGCGCCACUCGACAGAAGGCAAGGAUGGCCUUCCAAGUUUGUCUUCAACGACUCCUAGCUGCCUUUGGGCUAUAAAAGGGACCCCUAGGCGCAUGGAGGAGUCACCUAAGCAUUCACUAAGCAUUCUAAGACUCCCGCACUCCGCCUCCGCGCAAUUGAUCGACUGUGUUAGUGAUUUGAGCUCCGUUUGAGUCGUGAACUCACUGUGCUACGUUUCGAGCUCAAGUCUUGGCUUAUGUGCGUGAGUGUGCUGCGGAUUUGUGUCUUGUGUGUGUUGCUUUUCCCAACCUUACUUCAUGCUUUCUUUGUGAUCUCUAUUGUAAGGGCGAGAGACUCCAAUUUGUGGAGAUUCUUCGCAAACGGGAACAAUACUCUAAAAGAAAAAAUGUGGUAUUCAAGUUGAUCAUCGGAUCACUUGAAAGGGGUAGAGUGCAACCCUCGUCCAUUGGGAUGCCACAACGUGGAAGUAGGCAAGUGCUACUUGGCCGAACCACGGGAUAAAAAUCGUGCGUCUUGUGUUGCUUUCUCUGUGAUUGUUGUGUUCACAAGAACUCGCUUCAAGCUACUUAGCCGUACUAAUACUUAUAACUAAGUUUUGUGGCUAUUAGUGUUUGAUUUUUACAGGAUCACCUAUUCACCCCCCCUCUAGGUGCUCUCACAAAGAUCCGAUGGCCACACAAUGUCUGACGGCUUCCUAGAGCCAUCAGACAUAAGAUCCAACGUCUGACUGCUGUCAGACAGGCCGUCGGCGAUAACCUUAUGUCCGACGGCCUGUCUGAUAGCCAUCGGACAUAGCCUUAUGUUCGACGGCUGUCAGACAGGCCAUUGUACAUAAGUGAUUUUAUGCCACGGCGCCCAACCGCGCCGUUUCAUUUCGCUCCCCCAGCCAACUCACGCCCACCCGCCGCCGACGCCCGUGCCCGUCGCUCGCAGUCGCUCAUACCGCCGGCGCCCGCCCCGCCACCGCAGGCGCCCGCUCCUCCCCCAGUAACCCUCCGAUUAUAAGGAUCCUCCUACGCCUGAGGUUCAAAAGUUCUUCAAGCUCCUUACAGCUGCCGAAGAGCCGCUGCAUGAGCACACGAAAGUGACCGUCCUUGUGUUCGUGACUCGACUUAUGGCUAUUAAGUCCAAGUUUGCAUUCUCAAACAACUGCUAUAAGGAGCUUCUGAACUUGAUUAGUGAUGUAUUUCCAGAGAAUCACAAGAUGCCAAAGGACAUGUACCAGUCCAAGAAGUUGCUCUCUGGUCUCGGUAUGGACUACGAAAAAAUCGACGUCUGUGACAAUAAUUGUAUGCUUUUCUGUAAGGAGACCACGAGUGAGAAGAAGUGUAUAGUAUGUGGUGAGCGUAGGUUCAUAGAGGUUGAAAACGGCGAUGGUUUGACCGUGAUGACCGAGGUAGCAUGUAAGCAGCUUCGUUACAUACCUCUUAUACCUUGGUUGAAACGUUUGUUCAUCUCCAAGAAUACAGCCUGACACAUGAGGUGGCACAAAGAAGGCGUACGUGAGAAUCCAGAUGUCAUGGCGCACCCAGCUGAUACAGAUGCAUGGAAGGCACUAGAUGCCUUUGAUUCCAGCUUUGCUAAUGAAGUGUGUAAUGUCUGCAUCGAUUUGGCAACAGAUGGUUUCUCACCUUUCAAUCUAACUGCACCAUCCUACUCAUGCUGGCCCGUCUUUGCUGUUCCAUACAACAUUUCGCUAGCUCUUUGCAUGAAAUAUGAAUUUAUUUUCUUGUGUCUUGUAAUACCUGGUCCGGAUCAUCCUAGAACAAAGAUCGAUGUGAUGAUGAGACCCCUGAUUAAAGAAUUGAAAAUUUUGUGGGAAGGAGUCGAGACGUACGAUUGUUACAAGAAAUAGAAGUUCAACCUAAGAGCUGCAUUUUUGUGGUCGAUUCACGAUUUUAUGGCUUAUGGUAUCUUUGCUGGAUGGAGUUGUCAUGGGUUCUGACAUGUUCGAUAUGCGCUGAAGACACUUUAUGCUUCUGACUAAAGUUUGGUGGAAAGAUAUGUUACUUCAAUUGCCAUAGAUGUUUUUGCCUGAGGAUCAACCGUUCAGGUUCGAUAGGAACGCUUUUAGAAAGGACAUUAUUGUGACGAGGGGACCACCCAAGCGUCUUAGUGGUCCAGAGAUUCUCGCAAGACUUAAUGAUUUGAGACUAAAUGAACAUGGAAAUUGUUAUGAAGGUUUUGGAACCGAGCAUAAUUGGACUCACAAAUGUGGUCUAUGGAAACUCCCUUAUGUAAAAGCCUUAAUUCUAAUGCAUAACAUCGAUGUGAUACACCAGGAACAAAAUAUGGGUGAAAGCAUUAUCAGCCCUUGCUUGAAUAUCACUAACAAAACAAAGGACAACCCUAAGGCUCGAAAAGACUUGGGCUUAAUUUGUAGUUGACCAACUCUGGAGCUAGGAGAGAACGAGAAGAAGCCAUGUGCUCCUUUCAAUCUUAAAUCUAAAAGGAAGAAACAAUUGAUGAAAUGGUUGCAAAACAUAAAUUUCCUAAAUGGUUACGCCGCGGGCUUUAUAAGGUUUGUGAAUUUGAAGACAGGCAUGUUUUCUGGGUUGAAGAGUCAUGACUACCACAUAAUAAUGGAAAGACUCCUUCCUAUUAUGUUUCGUGGUUUUGUAAAAAAUGAUGUGUGGAAAGCGUUGUCGGAGCUAAGCUACUUUUAUAGACAUCUUUGUGCUAAAGAAAUAAAGAAAGAGAUGAUGGAGAAGCUUGAGCAACAAAUAGCAGUUUUGGUAUGCAAAUAACUUGAAAAAAUAUUUCCUCCAGGUUGCUUCAAUUCGAUGCAACAUCUACUUGUUCACCUACCAUACGAAGCUAAGGUAGGUGGUCCUAUCCAGUAUAGAUGGAUGUAUCACAUCGAAAGGACACUAAAGAAGCUACGUGCAAUGGUUGGUAAUAAGAGAUGAGUUGAAGGGUGCAUUGCUAAAGAAUUCAAAUACAAAGAGAUAGCAUCAUUCACGGGCCUGUACUUUAUAGAGGAAAAAAAUGUCAAUGCCCUUGCGUUGCGGUAUCAUGUCGACGAGCCCCCUAUCAGUGAUAUUGAAAUUUUUCAAAGGAGGGACAAAACUGUAGGACCCAUCAUAGCAUACUGUUUCACCAAUGAUGAAUGGAAGACUGCUUUACUCUACAUGUAUAACAACAUGGAAGAGAUGAAUCAGUUUCUCCUGUAAGUGUAAACUUAAUUUUUAGUCAUUGUCGCUAUCCUUGUUUUUCUUAUCCUAAUAGGUCUAUUUCCUUGUACUAACAGUGAAUUUGAUUCUCAAAAUUCGAUGUCUGGUAGUGAACGUGAUCAGAUUCGUCGAGAGGAAAAAGAUGGGGGACCUAAUUUCUUGUGUUGGUUUCGAGAUUAUGUAGAUAUAAAUUACAAUAUACACCCAAACCUUCGACAAUUGUCCCUAGGAGCAGUAACUAUCAUACAUUAUGGUCGGUAUGAUGUCAAUGGUUUCCGUUUUCGUUCUACAAGGUUCGAAGAUGCUCAUCCUCUAGCAGCCACAACAAAUUCUAGAGUUGUAACUAGAGUUGUCGAUGAUGAAGGGAAGGUGACUAAUUAUUAUGGAGUCAUUAAUGAUAUACUCGAGUACAAGUUUUUUGGAGAUGAACAACUCAAAGUGGUGGUCUUCGAUUGUGAUUAGUUUACUCCAAAUACAACGCAAGAAAACCAAUAUGGCAUGGUGGAAGUCAAACACAACGAUCGAUUACAAGGCCACGACACUAUUUUUUGUAGAAACGGUACAAGUUGCCGGAAGAUGGGUCAUAUGAUCUGAACGCUCAUUACAUGUUUGAGUAUAACGCGAACGAUGUUGUUGCAGAUGCAAUGUACUAUGCAUGACUUCAGGCUAUAAAGGCAUGGUACAGGGCAAGUGAUGAUGAUCGGCUGAUGUCGAAGACCAAGGCAGAGUGGUCAUCAAUUUACCUUACGGAGGAGUAAUACCUUGAGGUAAACAAAUUGUUGCAUCUCAUAUCGUUUUUUGCCGAUUCUUGUUUUGGGUACAUGUUAAUCCAUCUAUUUGUUUGAUUGAAAAACAUUUCAUGUAGGUGUCUAUGCCUGAGAUGGCCACCCAAUCAGAAGGUUAUCGGGCCUUAUGCAGUUGGUGGGCUUCCCCUAAGUUUCAUGCCAUUUGAAGUGUCCCGAUCCUCUGGGACUCAAAUGUGAUACAAUUACUAGUCCCAGGAGGCUAGUAAACACAUUUAUACAUUAGAUGAUUCCAGAUCUGCUUAAACGAGACAAACCUAUAAAGGUGGCGAACAACUUUAAGAGUUGGUCCACAACUCAGGACAUAUCAUCAGAGUGGGGCUGAAGCAGCCCGAUAUACGUAGCGAAACAAAUCAGCGGUCCAACAGCCACAGGCAAGGUUGGGAACAGGCGUAACUCUUACCCGAUCUCCUUAGCAGCCCACCUUCACCUGCGGAAUGGGGAAACAGAUAUAAUGCAUGGAAUAUGUGGAGCUCAGGAUAUUUUGCAGAAACAGCAAUAUUUUAUGCAGGGUUGUUUUGAAAAACAUUUGUAUUUUGCAAAGCGCAUCCUCUCCAAAAGGAGCAGGAAGUUUUUCAGUAUUAUAAUAAAAUCCCCUGGACUAAACCAUCUAGGUAUCUCAGCAUUUUCCCACUGGUUUUCCUUUUCAAAAACAGCUACUGGACUUCCCGUCCACCAUAGCUCACGGCUCAACCGCCGAACCUUUUAAAAACCACUUUUCUCAAACGCACCCUUUUUGAAAACCAAACAUUAAUUGUCAUACCAUACCAGACUCGUCCAUUCCUGUGGACACAGACUAUUCGAAUAGGUUUGAACUCUGCGCAGAGGGGUACACUUUACCCACUAGUCCGGCUCUGCGAUCUCAUGAUCAAUGAGAUCCGAAUCCGAAUCCCUUUCCUUCCCCGCACGUCCUAACCUUAACGGUUAUACCGGAAGGAGUCAGGCCACCGCCAUGUCCAAACCGGAAAAAACAUUCCCCCUCCUUAUCCUCCCGGUGCUCCCCAGCCUUCGUAACCCUGGGGUUGGACCGUACGAGUUCAGAUUGAGUGACUGCCCACACAGUCUCGAGUGGUUGUACUUAUCAUGAGUACAGGUAGUGAAAGAUGACAAAUCGGUCCUUAUAAGAGGGUACAAUCCUUCUGCUCACGCCUAAACCAGCUGAGCCAUCACCUUAGGCCCUCCCCUAAACCAGGGAGUCCCUGAUCAUCCCUACUCAAAGGUGAUAAGGGUGAAAACCCUUCAUCAUACACAUUUUGAAAAGCAUUUUCUUUUGAAAACUCACACCUUUUCUCAAAUCAUUUGGAACAAAUAUAUCAAGGAUUGAUUGCGGCAAGCGGCUGGGUGGCCAUAAUAACUUGUCUCAAAAUCAUAUCAUGCAUAAAAUAACAGGCUGAGGGUUGUGGUUGAACAAUCAUAGGUAAUUUAUGCAUCAAAGGGAUCCAGUGAGCUUGCCGUGCUUAUCCGGCGAAGGGGAAAUAGGAGCUCGCGGAACUGGCUUCUAGCUCCACUGCCUGGUGUAGACUUGCAGAUCUGGCCUCCACGAGACGGCACGAACGCUCGAUAACUAUGCAACAUGAACAAACAAACAUACAAACCAACAAUUAUACCAACAAAUAUUUAGUAUAGUGGUCAGAAUAGCGAUAUAUGGGUGGGUAGAGUCGUGAGUAGAAUCUGUGUCAUGUGGUGUUGAGAUACUGCUGGUGGUGAAGCGAAGGUGCUUACCAGGAGGGUGGACUGGAGACAAAGCGACACUAUGUGUGUAGCCAGCAGAGCGGAGUAACUGAGUGGGUAGGGUGUUUGCCUUGGCUGAGGGUGUUGAGUGUGUGUGGAGAGGGAGAGGGUGGCUGGGUCUAUUUAUAGCUGAGUGUAGGUGGUGUAGCACAGUGAAGUUCACUGUUGGUGAGAAUAGUGACGAAUGAAUCGUCUCACUUAGUAUGAAUAGGAGAGUUAUAGGCAGAAUAUGGGACAAGAGUAUUUUGGGAGUUUUUUUUUGGAAUAUGGACCAUGCUUAAGGGAUGAUAUGGUUGGAUAGGGAAUAGUUUGAUAAGAAUUUAGAAACAAGAAUUAUUGGAAUCGGAGUUUGGAAGCCUGGUUCGAAGGAAUCUUAAAGUUAAGCGUGCUCAACUUGGAGAAACCUGGGAUGGGUGACCAGAUGGGAAGUUCCCACUAGAAGGAAAAUCAUAGUCACCGGAGUUCGUAUGACUGAAAUAUGGGUCUGGCUGGUUUUAGGUGGACUGGACAGCAUGAUGUAUGAGUAGUUGAAAUUUGGGGUGAUCGGCUAAUCGAUGAAUAGUAACUAUGAAUAGUGACGACGAAAAAGUUACUAUAGAUAUCAUCGAUGAGUAGUAACGAUGAUAAAUAGUAACGAUGAUGAAUAGUAACAAUGAAUAGUAACGAUAGUGAAUAGUCUCGGUGAAUAGUAACGAUGAAUAGUAAUGGUGAAUAGUGAUGGUGCAUAGUUUGUAUGAACGAACGAUGAAUAGGAACUAUGAACGAACGAACGAACGAUCGAAUGAUCGGACGAACGAACAAUCGGAUUUUCGGCAGCAUAACAGCAGGACAAAGAUUAUCUGGAAGAACGAUGAAUAGAGACUAUGAACGAACGAUGAACGAUGAAUAGGAACUAUGAACGAACGAUGAACGAUCGAAUGAUCGAACGAACGAACGAUCGGAAUUUCGGCAGCAUAACGGCAGGAAAAAGAUUAUUUGGAUGAACGAACGGACGAACGAUCGAAUGAUCGGACGAACGAACGAUCGGAAUUUCGGCAGCAUAACGGCAGGACAAAGAUUAUCUGGAAGAACGAUGAAUAGGGACUAUGAACGAACGAUGAAUAGGAACUAUGAAUGAACGAUGAACGAUCGAAUGAUCGAACAAACGAACGAUCGGAAUUUCGACAACAUAACGGUAGGAAAAAGAUUAUUUGGACGAACGAACGGACGAACGAUCGAACGAUCGGACGAACGAACGAACUAAGAACAGGGGACGAACGAUCGAAUGAUCCUUGUGCUAGUGUGUGAUUGUGUGGAACAUGGAGUGGGUGUGUGUGGGGGGGAAGAGAGUUGCCAUGAAAUGGCUUGGGGUGGGAUGAGAGGAGGCCCUUGCCCCUCUAUUUAUAGCCAUGGUAGGGGGAUUAGGGGGAGGGAUGAGAGGAUUAGUGGGAGGAUGAGAGGAUUAGUGGGAGAUUAGCAUGGAUUUGUCUUAUAUGAGUGUAAUUAGCUUGUAUAGCUCAACGUAUGACACCGGAGGCAUACGUAUACGUAUGAACAUGAAGAAAGUUAUGAAGAAAAUAUUUGUGGGGACUUCAAAAAUGAUUCUGAAGGUAUUUCUCAAGAGGAAAAUACCUGGAGAUAUAUCGGUGGAAUAUUUGGGCAGUAUUUCUGGAAAGAACUUGAAGAGGAUCACUAGGGAAAUAUCUCGGCAGUAUUUCUGUAAACAAUUUGAGGGGGAUCACUGGGGAAAUAUUUGUAGGAUAUUUUGAGGAGGAUUUUAGAGAGAAUAUAGACCACUAUACUUUAUUUGUUGAUAUCAACUCACAAACAAACAUUUUGAAAUGAAAUUUGAAAUUCAUUUUGAAUUUAGAGCGAGUUUGAGAAAAUUUCAGGAUUUGAAUUUUUGGGAUGCUACAAAUCUACCCCACUUAAAAGGAAUCUCGUCCUCGAGAUUCGGCUUAGAAGGGUUAUGGGUAUAGCUUUACUUCAGCUACAUAUCUUCACUUUGCAACUCUUCGAGGAGAUAGAGCUUCAACAGAAUCUGGCCUUUGAGGGGCAUUCGGUUGCUGAUUGCAAACGCUGAUUCUGGCUACUCAAAGAUCAUCUUCAGGCUUCUAGCUUUUGCUUGGCAGCUAGCUUAUUGAAGAAGCAUCGAUGCCAACACACAAACCUUCUUCUUGCGAACUCCCACAUGGAUUCCUUCAUUGAUUGGUCUUCUAGUGCUUCAUCAACGGAACUUGGGUGACCACUUCUCAUCCAGAAACUCAUAUGCUUCGAUGAUCUGGUCCUCCACAAGCUUGCUACAGGCCUUCUUCUUUUUCUCCAUAGCAGGAACUUUACUGGAACACUACCCCACUUAAAAAGAAUGAGGGUAGAACUCUUGAAUCUUGGGGAUUUGAACUCCUUGAAGUACCUCAUAACAAGGGUGUUACGGGGCCUUCUUCUGCUGUUGCUGCUUGACCAGGCUGCGGAGAGAUGACUGACACAGGGUUGAUUCUGGGAGAACCUUCUUCUUAUCUUCUCUUCACUUAUCUUCUUUUCUCUUCUCACUUUUCACUUUUCACUGCCUCUUUCUUUCUCUUUGCUCUUCCCACUGGAGGAUUCUAUCAAAGAGUAUUACUAUCACACAUUGGAGGAAACCAAAGAUUAUGAACCAUGUACAACAGUCUUCAACCCAAGAAUCACCAAGCAUUGUGAUCUUAGGGGCGAGGGAGUGGAAAAUGGAGUUGCUUGCUAUUUGGCAGAGGGUAUUUUAUCGGGAGUGUUUUGCUUGGGAUGGGAACUGAGGGAGCUGGUGCGGAAGUUUUAUAGGCGAGCGGUAUGCGAGGUGGUGCUUGGGUGCGGAGUGGUGGUGAUGGAGUAGGUGCCACGUGGCAGCGGAUGCGACGGAGGGGAAAGGGGGGCCUGGUGUUGCCGGCGACAAUGGUGGCGGUGGAUGUGCUGCUGAGAGCACCUAGAGGGGGGGGUGAAUAGGUGAUCCUGUAAAAACUUCAAACUUAAGCCACAAAAACUUGUUAAGUGUUAGCACGAUUAUUGCCAAGUGGCUAAGGUGAAGUCUCAACAAAACACAGUACCACAAGAGAAUCAAGCACAGAGUGACACAGUGGUUUUAUCCCGUGGUUCGGCCAAGACCAACGCUUGCCUACUCCACGUUGUGGCGUCCCAACGGACGAGGGUUGCAAUCAACCCCUCUCAAGCGGUCCAAAGACCCACUUGAAUACCACGGUGUUUUGUUUUCCUUUCACUAUCCCGUUUGCAAGGAAUCUCCACAAAUUGGAGUCUCUUGCCCUUACAAGUAUAUGAUCACAAAUGAAACACAGAGUAAGGGAGGGAAGCAACACACACAAAUCCACAGCAAAAGCGCACACACACGGCCAAGAAUCGAGCUCACAAGACUAUCUCAGAGUUCUUACUUAGAACAGAGCUCGAAUCACUUAGAAACAUAAACGAAUGCGCAGAUACUUAGUGUGGAUGAUCAAGAAUGCUCAAAGGUUGCUUGUGUGUCUCCUCCAUGCGCCUAGGGGCUCCUUUUAUAGCCCCAAGGCAGCUAGGAGCCGUUGAGAGCAAAUCCGGAAGGCCAUCCUUGCCUUCUGUCGUCGGGGGCACCGGACAGUCCGGUGCACACCGGACACUGUCCGGUGCCCGAUUUGUUUCCUUAAACGGCGAAGACGACCGUUGCAGACCGUUGGCAGAUCUGGCGCUGUUGGCGCACCGGACAUGUCCGGUGCACACCGGACAGUCCGGUGAAUUUUAGCCGUACGCCACCGGCCAAUUUCCCGAGAGCGGCCAGUUCGAGUCGCGCCAGCCUGGCGCACCGGACACUGUCCGGUGCACACCGGACAGUCCGGUGCUCCAGACCGAGCUGGGUCUUGGCAGCACACAGCCAAGUCCCUUCUCCUUUUCUCUAUUCUUCUUCUUUCUGUUUCUAACACUUAGACAAAUAUAUUAGUACUUAAAACCAAUGUACUAAGGCUUAGAAACAUACCUUUACUUCAUGAUUUUCACCUUGUUCAUCCAUGUACAUAAAUUCCCAAUUAAGCACAUGUGUUGGCACUCAAUCACCAAAAUACAUAGAAAUGGCCCAAGGGCACAUUUCCCUUUCAAUCUCCCCCUUUUUGGUGAUUUAUGCCAACACAACAUAAAGCAACUAGAACAAGUGCAAAAUCACUUUAAAUAAAAACUCAAAUUGGUUUUAUUCAAUUUUGGCAUAUAUGGAUCAUCCUUUGCCACCACUUGGUUUGUUUUUGCAAAUCAAACUCAAAUCUCUAUCUCUAAGUCAAACACACAUGUUGAAGUAUAAAGAGAGUCAUUCCAAAAGAGAUUGAUCAAAGAUUUCAAAAACUCCCCCUAUUUCCCAUAAUCAAUACUUCUCCCCACAAGAAACCAAUUAUUGACAAGAGAGACAACAUAAGAAUUUUGACAAACCAAAAAUUCUAUUCUACUAUUUUCAAAAUCUCUCAAGUGGUAGCUGAUCCAUUUAUUGCUUUGGCCUUUAUUUUCUCCCCCUUUGGCAUCAAGCACCAAAACGGGAUCAAUCUUGGCCCUAUAACCCCAUUGCCUCACCAAAAUCUUCAAUUAAGAGCAAAUGGCAAUGAGAGUUCAUGAGAUGAACUUGGAAUUAGUUACCCUCUCAUCGGAGUGCAGUGGAAGUCUUUCAUGGUCCAAGUCCACCUUUCCCUUUCAAUCCUCCUUCGAGACUAAAUCAUCAAACUCAAGCACAUGGUUAGUCUCAAAGGGUCAAGUUGUAACACAUCUCCCCCUAAACAUGUGCAUCACUUUGCAACGGACUUGUGAGGUCCAGGGAGUGUUUGUACAACUUGAGCACCACAAUAAGCAACAAAAUGCAAAAAGGAACAUGAUCAAAAGCAUAAGUACAUGUAUGCUACAAUUCAAUCCAGGUUCCGCGAAUCUAUGACAUUUAGCUCACUACGCAACCUGCAAAAGGUCUUCUCAUCUAGAGGCUUAGUGAAGAUAUCGGCUAGCUGGUUCUCGGUGCUAACAUGAAACACUUCGAUAUCUCCCUUUUGCUGGUGGUCUCUCAAAAAGUGAUGCCGGAUGUCUAUGUGCUUUGUGCGGCUGUGCUCAACAGGAUUCUCCGCCAUGCGGAUAGCACUCUCAUUGUCACAUAGGAGUGGGACUUUGCUCAGAUUGUAGCCAAAGUCCCGGAGGGUUUGCCUCAUCCAAAGUAGUUGCGCGCAACACUGACCUGCGGCAACGUACUCGGCCUCAGCGGUGGAUAGGGCAACGGAUGUUUGUUUCUUAGAAUUCCAUGACACCAGGGACCUUCCUAAGAAUUGGCACGUCCCCGAUGUACUCUUCCUAUCGACCUUACAUCCAGCAUAGUCGGAGUCAGAGUAUCCAACUAAGUCAAAGGUAGACCCCUUUGGAUACCAGAGCCCGAAGCAAGGCGUAGCAACCAAAUAUCUAAGAAUUCGCUUCACCGCCACUAAGUGACACUCCUUAGGAUCGGAUUGAAAUCUAGCACACAUGCAUACACUAAGCAUAAUAUCCGGUCUACUAGCACAUAAGUAAAGCAAAGAACCUAUCAUUGACCGGUAUGCUUUUUGAUCAACGGACUUACCUCCUUUGUUGAGGUCGGUGUGUCCGUCGGUCCCCAUCGGAGUCUUUGCGGGCUUGGCGUCCUUCAUCCCAAACCGCUUUAGCAGAUCUUGCGUGUACUUCGUUUGGGAGAUGAAGGUGCCGUCCUUGAGUUGCUUCACUUGGAACCCAAGGAAGUAGUUCAACUCGCCCAUCAUCGACAUCUCGAAUUUCUGCGUCAUCACCCUGCUAAACUCUUCACAAGACUUUUGGUUAGUAGAACCAAAUAUUAUGUCAUCGACAUAAAUUUGGCACACAAACAAAUCACCAUUACAAGUCUUAGUAAAAAGAGUUGGAUCGGCCUUCCCAACCUUGAAAGCAUUAGCAAGUAAAAAGUCUCUAAGGCAUUCAUACCAUGCCCUUGGGGCUUGCUUAAGUCCAUAGAGCGCCUUAGAGAGCUUACACACAUGGUCGGGGUACCGUUCAUCCUUGAAGCCAGGGGGUUGCUCCACGUACACCUCCUCCUUGAUUGGCCCGUUGAGGAAAGCGCUCUUCACAUCCAUUUGGAACAACCUGAAAGAAUGGUGAGCGGCAUAUGCUAGCAAGAUUCGAAUUGACUCUAGCCUAGCCACAGGAGCAAAAGUCUCCUCAAAAUCCAAACCUGCGACUUGGGCAUAACCUUUUGCCACAAGUCGAGCCUUGUUUCUCGUCACCACCCCGUGCUCGUCCUGUUUGUUGCGGAACACCCACUUGGUUCCCACAACAUUUUGCUUCGGACGAGGCACCAUUGUCCAAACUUCAUUGCGCUUGAAGUUGUUUAACUCCUCUUGCAUGGCCAACACCCAGUCCGGAUCUAGCAAGGCCUCUUCUACCCUGAAAGGCUCAAUAGAAGAGACAAAGGAGUAAUGCUCACAAAAAUUAACUAAUCGAGAUCGAGUAGUUACUCCCUUGCUAAUGUCACCCAGAAUUUGGUCGACGGGAUGAUCCCUUUGAAUCAUCGCUCGAACUUGAGUUGGAGGUGCCGGUUGCGCUUCUUCCUCUAUCACUUGAUCAUCUUGUGCUCCCCCUUGAUCAAGCGCCUCCACUUGAGGUACCUGUUCGUCAUCUUCGGUUGGGGGUUGCACCAUAGUUGAGGAAGAAGGUUGAUUUCGUUCAUCUUGUUCCUGUGGCCGUACUUCUCCAAUCGCCAUGGUCUGUAUAGCGGCCGUCGGAACAUCUUCUUCAUCUACAUCAUCACAAUCAACAACUUGCUCUCUUGGAGAGCCAUUAGUCUCAUCAAAUACAACGUCGCUAGAGACUUCAACCAGACCCGAUGAUUUGUUGAAGACUCUAUACGCCUUUGUAUUUGAGUCAUAACCUAACAAAAACCCUUCUACAGCUUUGGGAGCAAGCUUAGAAUUUCUACCUUUCUUCACUAGAAUGUAGCAUUUACUCCCAAAUACACGAAAGUACGAUACAUUGGGUUUGUUACCGGUUAGUAGCUCAUACGACGUCUUCUUGAGGAGGCGAUGAAGGUAGACCCUGUUGAUGGCGUGGCACGCUGUGUUCACGGCUUCCGUCCAAAAGCACUCGGGGGUCUUGAACUCUCCUAGCAUCGUCCUCGCCAUGUCGAUGAGCGUCCUGUUCUUCCUCUCUACCACACCAUUUUGCUGUGGUGUGUAGGGAGCGGAGAACUCGUGCUUGAUCCCUUCCUCUUCAAGGAACUCCUCCACUUGAAGGUUCUUGAACUCGGACCCGUUGUCGCUUCUUAUCUUUUUCACUUUGAGCUCAAACUCAUUUUGAGCUCUCCUGAGGAAGCGUUUGAGGGUCCCUUGGGUUUCAGACUUAUCCUGCAAAAAGAACACCCAAGUGAAGCGGGAAAAAUCAUCAACAAUAACUAAACCAUACUUACUUCCCCCUAUGCUUAGAUAGGCGACGGGUCCGAAGAGGUCCAUAUGCAGUAGCUCCAGGGGUCUUGACGUGGUCAUCACAUUCUUGCUGUGAUGCGCUCCUCCCACUUGUUUACCUGCUUGACAAGCUGCACAAGGUCUAUCUUUUUCGAAAUACACGUUAGUCAAACCUAUCACGUGUUCUCCCUUUAGAAGCUUUUGAAGGUUCUUCAUCCCCACAUGUGCCAAGCGGCGAUGCCACAGCCAGCCCAUGCUAGUCUUAGCUAUUAAGCAUGCAUCUAGACCGGCCUCUUCUUUUGCAAAAUCAACUAAAUAAAGUUUGCCGUCUAAUACACCCUUAAAAGCUAGUGAACCAUCACUUCUUCUAAAGACAGACACAUCUAUAUUUGUAAACAGACAGUUAUAUCCCAUAUUGCACAAUUGACUAACAGAUAGUAAAUUAUAUCCUAGUGACUCUACUAAAAACACAUUAGAGAUAGAGUGCUCAUUAGAAAUUGCAAUUUUACCUAACCCUUUUACCUUGCCUUGAUUCCCAUCACCGAAUAUGAUUGAAUCUUGGGAAUCCUUAUUCUUGACGUAGGAGGUGAACAUCUUCUUCUCCCCCGUCAUAUGGUUUGUGCAUCCGCUAUCAAUAAUCCAGCUUGAACCCCCGGAUGCAUAAACCUGCAAGGCAAAUUUAGGCUUGGGUCUUAGGUACCCAACUCAUGUUGGGUCCUACAAGGUUAGUGCAAAUAUCCUUAGGGACCCAAAUGCAAGUUUUGUCUCCCUUGCAUUUUGCCCCUAACUUCCUAGCAACAAUUUUCCUAUCCUUUCUACAAAUAGCAAAGGAAGUGUUUAAAGCACAAUAAAUUAUAGAAGGUUCAUUCACUACUUUCCUAGGAGCAUGAAUAACAUUCUUUCUAGGCACAUGAGCAAUAUUUCUCCUAGGCAUAUCCCUAUCAUGCUUAUAAGAAGAACUAGAGGCAAACAUGGCAUGAGAAUCAUAAACAUGUGAAUCAAAAUCAUUAUAAGCAUUUCUAGCAUUUCUCCUAUCAUAAUACAUAAAAGCAUGGUUCUUUUUAGCAUUACUAGCCAUAGGGGCCUUCCCUUUCUCCUUGACGAAGAUGGGAGCCUUAUGGCUUGUUAAGUUCUUGGCCUCUCUCUUGAAGCCAAGACCAUCCUUAAUUGAGGGGUGUCUACCAACCGUAUAGGCAUCCCUUGCAAAUUUUAUUUUAUCAACUUCAUUCUUGCUAGUCUUAAGUUGGGCAUUAAGACUAGCCACUUCCUUAUUUAAUUUGGAAAUUAAAACUAGAUGUUCACUACAGGCAUCAACAUCGAAAUCCUUACACCUAGUGCAAAUCUUAACAUGUUCUACACAAGAGUUAGAUUUAUUUGCUACUUCUAACUUAGCAUUUAAAUCAUUGUUAACACCUUGUAAAGUAGAAAUGGUUUCAUGACAAGUAGAUAGUUCAUAAGAAAGCAUUUCAUUUCUUUUUACUUCUAAAGCAUAUGAUUUUUGUGCCUCUACAAAUUUAUCAUGUUCAUCAUACAAUAAAUCCUCCUGCUUUUCUAAAAGCCUAUCCUUUUCAUUCAAUGCAUCAAUCAAUUCAUUGAUUUUAUCUAUCUUAGAUCUAUCUAAGCCCUUGAACAAGCAUGAAUAAUCUAUGUCAUCAUCACUAGACUCACUAUCACUAGAAGAAGCAUAAGUGGAGUCUUGAGUACUCACCUUCUUCUCCCUUGCCAUAAGACAUGUGAGACGCUCGUUGGGGAAGAGAGCCGAUUUGUUGAAGGCAGUGGCGGCGAGUCCUUCGUUGUCGGAGUCGGAGGAGGAGCAAUCCGAGUCCCACUCCUUUCCUAGAUGCGCCUCGCCCUUUGCCUUCUUGUAUUGCUUCUUCUUUUCUCUUUUGUUCCCCUUUUCCUGGUCACUUUCAUUAUCGGGACAGUUAGCGAUAAAAUGACCAAGCUUACCGCAUUUGAAGCAUGAGCGCUUCCCCUUGGUCUUGGUCUUGCUUGGCUGCCCCUUGCGACCAUUUAGCGUCGUCUUGAAUCUCUUGAUGAUGAGAGCCAUCUCUUCAUCGUUGAGUCCGGCCGCCUCAAUUUGUGCCACCUUGCUAGGUAGCGCCUCCUUGCUUCGUGUUGCCUUGAGAGCGAGAGGUUGCGGCUCGUUGAUUGGACCAUUCAAGGCGUCGUCCACAUAUCUCGCCUCCUUGAUCAUCAUUCGCCCGCUAACAAAUUUCCCAAGAACUUCUUCGGGCGACAUCUUGGUGUACCUGGGAUUUUCACGUAUAUUGUUCACCAAGUGAGGAUCAAGAACGGUAAAUGACCUUAGCAUUAGGCGGACGACGUCGUGGUCCGUCCAUCGCGUGCUCCCGUAGCUUCUUAUCUUGUUGAUAAGGGUCUUGAGCCGAUUGUAUGUUUGCGUUGGCUCCUCGCCCCUUAUCAUUGCGAACCGUCCAAGCUCGCCCUCCACCAACUCCAUCUUGGUGAGUAAGGUGACGUCGUUCCCCUCAUGAGAAAUCUUGAGGGUGUCCCAGAUUUGCUUGGCGUUAUCCAAGUCGCUCACCUUAUGGUAUUCAUUCCUGCACAAGGAAGCUAGAAGAACAGUAGUAGCUUGUGCAUUCUUAUGAAUUUGUUCAUUAAUGAACAUGGGACUAUCCGAACUAUCAAAAUGCAUUCCACUCUCUACAAUCUCCCAUAUACUAGGAUGGAGAGAGAAUAGGUGACUACGCAUUUUGUGGCUCCAAAAUCCGUAGUCCUCUCCAUCAAAGUGUGGGGGCUUGCCGAGUGGAAUGGAGAGCAAAUGAGAAUGUGAACUUUGCGGAAUACGAGAGUAAUCAAAAGAAAAGUUCGAAUUAACCGGUUUUCUUCUCUCGUAGUCGUUGUGGUCCUCGUCCUUUUGGGAAGAAGUAGACUCGUCGCUGUCGUAGUAGACGAUCUCCUUGAUGCGUCUGGUCUUCUUCUUCUUCCCUUCCUUCCGUCUUUGGCCCGAGCCGGAGUCGGUAGGCUUAUCGUCCUUCGGCUCGUUGACGAAGGAUUCCUUCUCUUUGUCGUUGAUCACUAUACCCUUCCCCUUAGGAUCCAUCUCUUCGGGCGGUUAGUCCCUUUGUGAAGAGAACGGCUCUGAUACCAAUUGAGAGCACCUAGAGGGGGGGGUGAAUAGGUGAUCCUGUAAAAACUUCAAACUUAAGCCACAAAAACUUGUUAAGUGUUAGCACGAUUAUUGCCAAGUGGCUAAGGUGAAGUCUCAACAAAACACAGUACCACAAGAGAAUCAAGCACAGAGUGACACAGUGGUUUUAUCCCGUGGUUCGGCCAAGACCAACGCUUGCCUACUCCACGUUGUGGCGUCCCAACGGACGAGGGUUGCAAUCAACCCCUCUCAAGCGGUCCAAAGACCCACUUGAAUACCACGGUGUUUUGUUUUCCUUUCACUAUCCCGUUUGCAAGGAAUCUCCACAAAUUGGAGUCUCUUGCCCUUACAAGUAUAUGAUCACAAAUGAAACACAGAGUAAGGGAGGGAAGCAACACACACAAAUCCACAGCAAAAGCGCACACACACGGCCAAGAAUCGAGCUCACAAGACUAUCUCAGAGUUCUUACUUAGAACAGAGCUCGAAUCACUUAGAAACAUAAACGAAUGCGUAGAUACUUAGUGUGGAUGAUCAAGAAUGCUCAAAGGUUGCUUGUGUGUCUCCUCCAUGCGCCUAGGGGCUCCUUUUAUAGCCCCAAGGCAGCUAGGAGCCGUUGAGAGCAAAUCCGGAAGGCCAUCCUUGCCUUCUGUCGUCGGGGGCACCGGACAGUCCGGUGCACACCGGACACUGUCCGGUGCCCGAUUUGUUUCCUUAAACGGCGAAGACGACCGUUGCAGACCGUUGGCAGAUCUGGCGCUGUUGGCGCACCGGACAUGUCCGGUGCACACCGGACAGUCCGUGCCGUCUUCCGACCGUUGGUUGGCUCACCGGACAGUCCGGUGCACACCGGACAGUCCGGUGAAUUUUAGCCGUACGCCACCGGCCAAUUUCCCGAGAGCGGCCAGUUCGAGUCGCGCCAGCCUGGCGCACCGGACACUGUCCGGUGCACACCGGACAGUCCGGUGCUCCAGACCGAGCUGGGUCUUGGCAGCACACAGCCAAGUCCCUUCUCCUUUUCUCUAUUCUUCUUCUUUCUGUUUCUAACACUUAGACAAAUAUAUUAGUACUCAAAACCAAUGUACUAAGGCUUAGAAACAUACCUUUACUUCAUGAUUUUCACCUUGUUCAUCCAUGUACAUAAAUUCCCAAUUAAGCACAUGUGUUGGCACUCAAUCACCAAAAUACAUAGAAAUGGCCCAAGGGCACAUUUCCCUUUCAGCUGCAAAGGGGGCGUGGGGCGGUGGUAGUGCGCAUGGAGGCGGGCACGCGUGUGAGGGGCACGGGUGAGUGGUGGGGUCAAUGACCCUGAUGUUUGUGGUCUCUGGUUCCAAGAAUCUUUGCCUCUCUGUAUGGUAAUAACUCCUUCUGUCCUCUUUUCCUGUUUACUUUGACUCAGGGGCAGUGCUUUGAUUCUCACGGUCGGUCCUUUUGACUGAGCGACUGGAUAGGUUCUUCUGUAGCUUAUUCCAUGCUUCAAGGGUAAGCUUCCCGGUAUCUUCUUGGGUAAGGUGCUUUUCUCUUGAGAUGGGUUAAGGUGAGAAUGGAAGCAUAAGGUGAGGAUUGGAUCUAAUUUGUGAUCUGUGUUUUUAGAGAAAACCUUUCUUAAAAAGAAAGAAAACACACAAGCUCAGCAAUGAUAAGCACAAACAAAUCAAAUAUUUUGAAUAGGGGAAUAAUAGAGUUUUUCCAAAGCACGGGCUACUCAGAUUCGGGGGCUAAGCAUAACUACUAUUGCUCGGCUCUUGAACUGAGAACUAUGCUAAAUGCGACUUAUAAGCACUAACGUUAAGGCAUCACAUAUGCACACGAAAGGGGAGAAAACAUCAAGCAAAAUUCAUUUUGAAAUGCCCUAGGGGGCCCACACAAAUAGAGUUUUUCAAAGCACGGGACUACACGAUUACCUCUCAUACAUGCAGGGCUCUAGCCAAAGUGAAGAAAAACUUCACUACCCAAUGCAUGCAGAGGACUGGGCAUACUAACUUCAGACCAGGCAACUUCUCUUCUGGCAAGGCUUGCACACAACUUCAAUCUGAGACAUCUCCUGGAUGGGUUAAGAGGGAGCUGAUGUUGAUGACUUCUUUUGGCGGCGACUGAGAUGGCAGGACAGGGUUGAACUCUUCUUCAAGCGGGACUGGCUCUUGUAGCUCCUCAGAGGGCGGCGAUGCUGGUGGGGUGCUUGCAGCUUCUUCUUUGAGCUCACGGGAUGGUACUGGAAUUUUCUUCAUGGUGAGGGGCUCAAACAACUCUGGCGGGGGAUCUUGGGCGGAUUCGGGGUGCUCUUGCUUAUCCAUAGCCUGAGGGAAGACUGGAAUUCCUUCCAAGACUAUGGCUCCUUCCGGGAGUUCCCAAGCCUUCUUCUCUCCUCUGAUAGAGACCGGGUGACCUUCAAGAAUCUGGGGGUCUUCAGCUCUGAUGGGUUGAACAGGGUUGGAUGAAGCGGGCUCUUGGAUCCGCAGGGCUCUAUGUUGGUUAUGGGUGACCAAGUAGGCCUCCAUCAACUUCUGGACGUGCUCAUCCUUGGCUUGCUUCAGGGCUUCCACAGCAAUGACUUCACGACUUCCAAGGCAGCUACACGGGCUUGAGCUGUGGUGAGAUCCACAUGGAGCUGACGGUUGCGCUUCUCUGCAUCUUCUGCUCGGGCAAUCAUCUGACGGUGGUGCCGAGCCAAGAAAUCAUACUCGGCAUCCAGGGUGAGCAGGUAUGCAGUGAGGUACACGACUGUGGGGUCAUCCUCAAGCAGCUGCUGCUCUUCCAAUGCACGCAUCCUGGCCAUCCAAGCGGGAUGGUCUCUCUGAAAGGGCGGAAAGAAUCUGAGCGGGGUGUCGGCCACUUCUUCUUCAUAGAUCUGACACAGGGCCCUCAAUGCCUUGCGAGCGACGACUUGGCAGGUGUCUUUGAAUCUGUGCCCAGCAUCAGUGACACUCCAUUCCACAUGGUGCGGACUGGAUCCAAUGUAUACAGUCACGACACACUUCUCUGUGCCAUGCUCGACGAAUUCACGACCAUCAUACUCUGGCUGGCUCCUGAUUCCGAGGCGAACUGUGCAUGCUCUCAACAUCUUGGGGAAACCAUCUUCAUUCUGGCAAAACCUGGUUUGGCAAUGAACCUCCAUCUGACUUCUGAGAGAAGGAAAGGGGGAAAGCAUUUUUGAAAUGAAGGGAUGAGAGCAAGAUUUUUUUAAGAAAAUAGUUUUGACUCAAAAACUUUUGAUCAGGCUAAGGGUUACGUCCUGCAGCCAACCUAACAGCUCUGAUACCACCUGAAGCGUCCCGAUCCUCUGGGACUCAAAUGUGAUACAAUUACUAGUCCCAGGAGGCUAGUAAACACAUUUAUACAUCAGAUGAUUCCAGAUCUGCUUAAACGAGACAAACCUAUAAAGGUGGCGAACAACUUUAAGAGUUGGUCCACAACUCGGGACAUAUCAUCAGAGUGGGGCUGAAGCAGCCCGAUAUACGCAGCGAAACAAAUCAGCGGUCCAACAGCCACAGGCAAGGUUGGGAACAGGCGUAACUCUUACCCGAUCUCCUUUUUCUGAAAAAAAUAAAUAAGCAAGGGUGAGUACAAACGUACUCAGCAGCCCACCUUCACCCGCGGAAUGGGGAAAUCAGAUAUAAUGCAUGGAAUAUGUGGAGCUUAGGAUAUUUUGCAGAAACAACAAUAUUUUAUGCAGGGUUGUUUUGAAAAACAUUUGUAUUUUGCAAAGCGCAUCCUCUCCAAAAGGAGCAGGAAGUUUUUCAGUAUUAUAAUAAAAUCACCUGGACUAAACCAUUCAGGUAUCUCAACAGUUUCCCACUGGUUUUCCUUUUCAAAAACAGCUACUGGACUUCCCGUCCACCAUAGCUCAUGGCUCAACCGCCGAACCUUUUAAAAACCACUUUUCUCAAACGCACCCUUUUUGAAAACCAAACAUUAAUUGUCAUACCAUACCAGACUCGUCCAUUCCUGUGGACACAGACUAUUCGAAUAGGUUUGAACUCUGCGCAGAGGGGUACACUUUACCCACUAGUCCGGCUCUGCGAUCUCAUGAUCAAUGAUAUCCGAAUCUGAAUCCCUUUCCUUCCUCGCAUGUCCUAACCUUAACGGUUAUACCGGAAGGAGUCAGGCCACCGCAAUGUCCAAACCGGACAAAACAUUCCCCCUCCUUAUCCUCCCGGUGCUCCCCAGCCUUCGUAACCCUGGGGUUGGACCGUACGAGUUCAGAUUGAGUGACUGCCCACACAGUCUCGAGUGGUUGUACUUAUCAUGAGUACAGGUAGUGAAAGAUGACAAAUCGGUCCUUAUAAGAGGGGACAAUCCUUCUGCUCACGCCUAAACCAGCUGAGCCAUCACCUUAGGCCCUCCCCUAAACCAGGGAGUCCCUGAUCAUCCCUACUCAAAGGUGAUAAGGGUGAAAACCCUUCAUCAUACACAUUUUGAAAAGCAUUUUCUUUUGAAAACUCACACCUUUUCUCAAAUCAUUUGGAACAAAUAUAUCAAGGAUUGAUUGCGGCAAGCGGCUGGGUGGCCAUAAUAACUUGUCUCAAAAUCAUAUCAUGCAUAAAAUAACAGGCUGAGGGUUGUGGUUGAACAAUCAUAGGUAAUUUAUGCAUCAAAGGGAUCCAGUGAGCUUGUCGUGCUUAUCCGGCGAAGGGGAAAGAGGAGCUCGCGGAACUGGCUUCUAGCUCCACUGCCUGGCGUAGACUUGCAGAUCUGGCCUCCAUGAGACGACACGAACGCUCAAUAACUAUGCAACAUGAACAAACAAACAUACAAACCAACAAUUAUACCAACAAAUAUUUAGUAUAGUGGUCAGAAUAGCGAUAUAUGGGUGGGUAGAGUCGUGAGUAGAAUUUGUGUCAUGUGCUGUUGAGAUACUGCUGGUGGUGGAGCGAAGGUGCUUACCAGGAGGGUGGACUGGAGACGAAGCGACACUAUGCGUGUAGCCGGCAGAGCGGAGUAACUGAGUGGGUGGGGUGUUUGCCUUGGCUGAGGGUGUUGAGUGUGUGUGGAGAGGGAGAGGGUAGCUGGGUGUAUUUAUAGCUGAGUGUAGGUGGUGUAGCACAGUGAAGUUCACUGUUGGUGAGAAUAGUGACGAAUGAAUCAUCUCACUUAGUAUGAACAGGAGAGUUAUAGGCAGAAUAUGGGACAAGAGUAUUUUGGGAGUUUUUUUGGAAUAUGGACCAUGCUUAAGGGAUGACAUGGUUGGAUAGGGAAUAGUUUGAUAAGAAUUUAGAAACAAGAAUUAUUGGAAUCGGAGUUUGGAAGCCUGGUUCGAAGGAAUCUUAAAGUUAAGCGUGCUCAACUUGGAGAAACCUGGGAUGGGUGACCAGAUGGGAAGUUCCCACUGGAAGGAAAAUCAUAGUCACCGGAGUUCGUAUGACUGGAAUAUGGGUCUGGCUGGUCUUAGGUGGACUGGACAGCAUGAUGUAUGAGUAGUUGAAAUUUGGGGUGAUCGACUAAUCGAUGAAUAGUAACUAUGAAUAGUGACGGCGAAAAAGUUACUAUAGAUAUCAUCGAUGAGUAGUAACGAUGAUAAAUAGUAACGAUGAUGAAUAGUAACGAUGAUGAAUAGUGUCGGUGAAUUUCGGCAGCAUAACAGCAGGACAAAGAUUAUCUGGAAGAACGAUGAAUAGAGACUAUGAACGAACGAUGAACGAUGAAUAGGAACUAUGAACGAACGAUGAACGAUCGAAUGAUCGAACGAACGAACGAUCGGAAUUUCAGCAGCAUAACGGCAGCAAAAGAUUAUUUGGAUGAACGAACGGACGAACGAUCGAAUGAUCGGACGAACGAACGAUCGGAAUUUCGGUAGCAUAACGGCAGGACAAAGAUUAUCUGGAAGAACAAUGAAUAGGGACUAUGAACGAACGAUGAAUAGGAACUAUGAACGAACGAUGAACGAUCGAAUGAUCGAACGAACGAACGAUCGGAAUUUCGGCAGCAUAACGGUAGGAAAAAGAUUAUUUGGACGAACGAACGGACGAACGAUCGGACGAACGGACGAACGAACCAUGAACGAUCGGACGAACGAUCGAACGAUCGGACGAACGAACGAACGAACUAAGAACAGGGGACGAACGAUCGAAGAACGAUCGAACGAUCCUUGUGCUAGUGUGUGCUUGUGUGGAACAUGGAGUGGGUGUGGGGGGGAAGAGAGUUGCCAUGAAAUGGCUUGGGGUGGGAUGAGAGGAGGCCCUUGCCCCUCUAUUUAUAGCCAUGGUAGGGGGAUUAGGGGGAGGGAUGAGAGGAUUAGUGGGAGGAUGAGAGGAUUAGUGGGAGAUUAGCAUGGAUUUGUCUUAUAUGAGUGUAAUUAGCUUGUAUAGCUCAACGUAUGACACCGGAGGCAUACGUAUACGUAUGAACAUGAAGAAAGUUAUGAAGAAAAUAUUUGUGGGGACUUCAAAAAUGAUUCUGAAGGUAUUUCUCAAGAGGAAAAUACCUGGAGAUAUAUCGGUGGAAUAUUUGGGCAGUAUUUCUGGAAAGAACUUGAAGAGGAUCACUAGGGAAAUAUCUGGGCAGUAUUUCUGUAAACAAUUUGAGGGGGAUCACUGGGGAAAUAUUUGUAGGAUAUUUUGAGGAGGAUUUUAGAGAGAAUAUAGACCACUAUACUUUAUUUGUUGAUAUCAACUCGCAAACAAACAUUUUGAAAUGAAAUUUGAAAUUCAUUUUGAAUUUAGAGCGAGUUUGAGAAAAUUUCAGGAUUUGAAUUUUUGGGAUGCUACACCAUUUCCCAAAGGAACAAGGGAAAUCGUGGUACUGAGUCAUUCCACAACUACGGUGACGAUGGACAUGUGCGCUUGGCUAAGAGAAUGGUAUGUCAUAGUAUGUUGUAACUUCGAAUUACAUAGAAAUGUGUCAUUCUAACUUGUAUGUACAAGAAGUCAAAUCCAAUCGUACGCCCACGGAUGUGGAGGUGUAUAUGCAAGGGCAUAGGGGUUCUGAUCCUCAUGAUACUGAUGUUUUAUGCACUCAGACAGCCACCGACCGUCUAGUGAGUUUUUGGUACUCUAUUAUGUGUUUGUGCAUCAACUCUAUGAUGCAAUUAUAUUUCAUAUGUUUGCCUCCAGGCUUCGUAUGGGCAAGAGAUGGUUCAGCGCCAUGGGCAGGACUACGACUGAAGGAGCCAGCCAAUCGACCCUUGGGCAGCAUAUGCUAGCACAGGAGGACAAGCCCAUGGACGGUGAGAGUAUUUGAUUUGGAUUUCAAAAUUAUUCUCAUAUGCUUGCGAUUGAACUGAGUCCGUGGUUUACUCUACUAAGUCCAUGGUUUACUAUACUAAGUUCAUGGUUCACUCUUGUAGGUUGGGUAUUUUUUAUUCUACGAGUGAUUCUAGGGAGCUGAGACGUUGUGGACGACAGUCCACAUCCUCAUCUUCGCAGUCGUCCCAUUCUCGGUCAUCCACCCAAGAGAUAGAGAUUGCAGUGUUGCGUUAGCAGGCAUAUUAUCAUCUAUCAGUUUUGAGGCAACAAAUGGAGUACUAGAGGUAGCAAGCUGAGUACCAGAAGAAGAAGGACGAGUAUUAUUCAAACAUCUAGGCCCAGAAUCAAGCUCUACUCUCGUUAAGUUGAAGUAACAUUUUAUUUGUAACAACUAAAAAACACAUGAUGUGUACCUUAUUUUCUCAACAAUUGCUUGUAUCUAAUUUGUAGCAACUGGCACAACAAGCGGGUGUCUCGAUGCCAACAUAUGGGAUGUCACCUCCGGACUUUGCACUACCGCCGCCAAUGCUGUUGCCUCCUCCUCCAUCACAAUUCCUUAUGGUAUGUACACAUAUGCGUGUGUGAUAUGUUCAUAGAUGCCUUAUGUGUUAAAAUGAAAAACUUAGUGGUUAAUAUUUCAUGUGUGUGUUAUAGGGCUUUGAGACACCUCCCGCUUCAGUUGCCACACCUGGAGAUGUGUCUGGUAAAGACGACGCAUCAACUUCUUGGGUGAAAAACAUUUUCAAUGCCCAGAGUCUAGCCAGAGGAAGUGGCUAUAACUCCAACCAACCAGGUGACUGAUAAGUGUGAUAGUUUGUCAAAUGUGUUUGAUUUGGAACUAUGUCAGUGUUGAUGCCAAAGACUAUGUGAAUGUCGAACUAUGUCAGUGUUUAAUUUGGAACUAUAUGUUGAUGUAAAAGACUUGUUGCAACUAUUAGGAACUAUGUGUUUACGAAUGUUAGGUGAUGUUUGAGAAUGUAAAUAGUUAUGUGAAUUGAUGUUUGUGAAUGUGAAUAUGUGGUUGUAUAUAAAAUCUGUGUAUAUAUAUGAAAUCUGUAUUUUUCUGUAAAUGUUAGAAAUUUACAAAAAUAGGGUUUUUUGCCACUACUGAAUAUCAUUAUGUCCGACGGCUUAGCAGAGGCCAUCGGACAAAAGGCUCUAUUUUGUUCGGCGGCCUCUCCUAAGCCGUCGAACAUAAUAGAGCCUUAUGUCUCACGGCCUCUGCUAAGCCAUCGGACAUAAGAGAUGUGGGAUCCACAAACGACCAUUACGGUCGUUAGCGACGUUAAAUGUUGAUGUCCCUUUGCGGCCGUCGGACAUAAGCUAUGUCCGACGGCCGCAAAGGGACAUCAACAUUUAACGUCGCUAACGACCGUAAUGGUCGUUUGUGGAUCCCACAUCUCUUAUGUCCGACGGCUUAGCAGAGGCCAUCGGACAAAAGGCUCUAUUUUGUUCGGCGGCCUCUCCUAAGCCGUCGAACAUAAUAGAGCCUUAUGUCUCACGGCCUCCGCUAAGCCAUCGGACAUAAGAGAUGUGGGAUCCACAAACGACCAUUACGGUCGUUAGCGACGUUAAAUGUUGAUGUCCCUUUGCGGCCGUCGGACAUAAGCUAUGUCCGACGGCCGCCGUCGGAAAUAAGCUUUUGUCUGACGCGUUACAACCGAGGGACAGGUACCGUCGGACAUAAGCCUUCGGUCAUCGUAAAUAGCUUAUGUCCGACAACUUAGGGCUUAUGUCCGACGGCUUUGAUCGUCGGAAAUGCCCUGUUCUACUGUAGUGCCUGAAGGUAUUACCAUAACAGCUGCUAGGUAGUGUUUUCAUGUACUAAAUUAACACUUGUGUCGGGCUCACCUAUUGAGCGAAGUACUUGAAACCUGGCCUACCCUCUCGGCAAGUUUGUUUCUUCUUUCAAAAAAUCUGCACCAAAACAAUAGAAGAGUAUGAUCACUAACCAUGAAACCAUUUUGGAAAAGUUGAGGCACGAGUAGUCAAAAUAGUAGAUGUAUGGAUGAUCUCUCGUGAGGCAUAAUCAAUAUCAGCAACACAAUUCGGUUGUUUCAAACUUUCGACAGUGAGAUCGGCCAUGUCAUUUUCGAUAGUCGGCUGCAACCGUCGAAAAUAACCAAUAAUUUCGGCGGUGGUGCUUUGGCCGCCGAAAAUGAAGAGUAUCCAUGUAGUGUUGGAGCGGACAUCUUUGGAUUGGGCUUUCGCAUCCUCACUAUCGUGCCUAUAUGUUGGUCCAUCCACCAUCGCUUGUUCAGAGUUGUCAACAUUUAUUUAGUAUUUGGUCAUGUUAGACUAUCUGUUUGGUUUGCUGCCUCACUUGCCAUAGCUUGCUACACCUAAAGUUAGGCAAGUUUGACCGAGUUAGGCAUGUAUUUGGUUUAUAGUCACAAUUGUGGCAAGAUUUUUCUUCUGCUGCGUAGGUCCCACUCGCCAAUGACUUAUAAAAGUGUGACAUAUUCUCUUAGACAUGCCAGGUCCCACUCGCCAAUGACUUGUAAAAGUAUGGAAGAUUUCCUUAGGCAUGCCACAGUUGUGGUGUAGAAGUUGGCAAAAAAUGUGUGGCAAUUUUUGGCACCUUAAGCGUAGAACCAAACAGCCCUGGAACAACACCACCAGGUGCCGAACAUGGAGUAUUAACAAUCAGGGAUGAAGCGCAGUGUAUUAGAUCAACUCCAAUCUCUACUAUUAUAAUGUAUCGGUUUCGUGCAGGAAUAGAAUUAUACAUGAAACUGUUUCCACCGUCACCAACCACCACCCCACAAACAGCGCCACCAUCCAAUGUCCUGCUCGUCCAAAACCACCGACCCUAAGACAGAGCUGCCAUACAACCCCCUUCACGGCGCAUACGGCGAGCAACAAACCCCCGCAAACACCGCCCCAUGCCCCAACACAGACUCCGAGCUCCUCAGCAUGCGCCUCCGAGCUCUUCAGCGUCGCGCCACCCAUGGGGCUCGCCUCUCAGACCCCGACCUGAACCUACACGUUGUCGCACUCUAGGCCCAGCACAGACUCGGUGGUCGGCGCCAGCACCGCAGGUGUCGUCCGCGAUGCCAGCUCAAGAAGAAGUCCAAGGAGGCAGGCCACGACGGUGGACCCUCAGCUGCUAUGGAUAAGUACCUGCAGAUGUACCAUAGAUUGGAAGACCGCGCCUAAGCUGCCCUCUACCGCUAGCUAGAAAAGCUCGCUGAGAACUUCAUUAAGAAGAAGGCCAAGGAGGCGGGCCACAGCGGUGGACCCUUAGCUAUUGUGGAUAAGUACCUGGAGAUGUAACAUAGAGUGGAAGACCGUGCCUAAGAUGCCCUCUAAUGUAGACGCUAAGAAGCUUAAGACACUAGUAGAAAAAAGGCUCAAUACCUGCGGGACCAUUUAUUUUUACAGACAGAUCCGGUUAUCCACCGACUGUACUAUUUCUAGUGGCGGUUCCUUAAGAAAACUGCCACUAGAAAUCGUAUUUCUACUGGCGGUUCCUUAAGAAAACUGCCACUAGAAAUCGUAUUUCUACUGGCGGUUCCUUAAGAAAACCGCCACUACAAAUCAUGGAUUUCUACUGGCGGUUUUCUUAAGGAACCGCCAGUAGAAAUACGAUUCCUAGUGGCGGUUUUCUUAAGGAACCGCCACUAGAAAUCAUUUUUAUCCUUAAUUUUUCGAGUUUUUCAAACGACCUUGUAUGACAAAACCACCAAAAUAAAAGUUGUAGAUCUCUAAAAGUUAUGAAACUUUGUAGUUGACAACUUUUUUAUUUGAACUCAUUUCAGUUCUCAAAAAUUGAAUCUAAGUAUGUCAAAUUUAAAAUUCAAAUUUUGCAAACUACCUCGGAUGAAAAAAGUGUCAAAAUAAAAGUUGUAGAACUUCAAAAGUUAUUUAUCUUUGUAGUUGACAACUUUUUUAUUUGAAUUCGUUUAGGGUCUAAAAUAAGCAAUUUACACUCAAAUGGUUGUAAUAUGUGGAGAAAACAACUACAAACUAGACACAAAGCAUGUCAUAGACGGAGUGGUAGUGGAGGAUACGCGCGAGAGUGAGGUUGACGGUUCGAUUACUAACAAUCGCGUAGCGCGCACCGGGCGGGUGGGGUGGUCCUAAUACAAAUAAAUUUUUUUACUAUUUUAAAAAUUUGUUUUAUGUUUUCUGGAAACGAUUUGCACUGGCGGUUUUAUUACGUCGACCGCCAGUGAAAAUCGAUUUUCACUGGCGGUCAAUUCCAAGAAUCACAUAAAGUCGAUCUUAAGUUUGACUCUAUACUAUGAAGGAUCUAUCUUAAGUUUGACUGCGCAAAUAAGUGCAGUAUUGUCAAGGGCGAUAAUUAGGGACACCUGAAUUACCCCCUAACAAAUGCACCCAGAGAAAUAAGGACUAAACUCCCAAGGGGUAAUAACCGAGCCACCUAUAAAAAGUCAAGACAUCCCCCUAAGGGUCUCCCACCUCGAGCGGGGCUCCGCCUCACCCGAAGUCGACACCACUCGCUCUGCCUCGCUUGAGGUCGCCUCCGCUCAGUCCGUCUCGCCCGAGCCAGCCUCGAGAAGAUAGGACAAGGGCGCUCGAAAACAGGCAGGGGACAGGUGCAUUUAAUGCGUGUGCCAACCCGCGCUGUGGCAGCGGAGCACAGUGGUGGACAAGAUAGCGAUCACAUCUAAGUGUAGCAGUAUGAUUACACAUGUGCCAAACAGUGCGCGCAUGCCACCUGACGCCCUCUGAUGAGACGCCUAAUACGACAAGCCAAGCGGACAAGUCUUCGGGCGCAACCUCUCUGCCUCGCCCAACCUAAGCUUAGCCCUCGGGCAAAAUCUCCACCUCGCCCGAGCUUGGCCUUGGCCACCGGCUACGCCGCGAAUCCCGCAGACAGCCACUCCGCCCGACUAUAGCGCACGUCAAGGGAUGGCUCAUCUGGCACCUCGAAAGACUUAUGCAUCAACCAAGCGAGGGCUCUGAUCUUGAUGAGUGCUGUAGAGAAUCUCGACGUCACCGCGUGCCAGGGCGCCCUGUAAGCAGCCUUUGGCCCAAACCCCGACGCUGCUACAACCACCACGGCAUGGGCAGUCUCUCCCUCGGGAGCUCGAGCAUACGGACGACCCCUCGGUCUUGGCCUCGGCUCUCCAUGGGAAGUCAGCAAACGCGAAUCUAUUGCACGGUUCGCCGUCACGUCAAAUGUCAGGGCAUCUCUCCUUCAAAAUACAAGACUCAGCUUCACCAUGCGCGCUCCCCUGGGUGUAUAAAUACGGCAGUGGUCCCUCCAUUGAGGGACAUGACCACAACAACAACACACGUAGACGAGUUCUUGUUUUCUCACUCUGUCUUAGAUAUUGGCACUUGCCUCAAUCAUCUCUAGGGACUUGGGGACUUCCCCUCUCACGCCGUGCUUGUAAACCCCUACUACAGGCACCACGGUGCGAGUAAUAUAAGCUUCAUUCCCUCUGCUGGAAGUAGGGCCUUGAGAAGCCCGAACUAGGAUAAUCGCUUGUGUCAUCUUGCACACCAUCUAGAGUCGACCAUACGACAUUUUACUAGUUAGUUAAGGACCCGUGGUCCAGAGACUGACAAGUAUGGAAAUUUUUUCAGGCAUGUGACGCCGACACCUCCACUCCUCCACGGGCCACGGUGCCGCGGCGGAUCACCAGCUCCAUCCUUUGUCGUUCUACCCUCGACUAGUCUAGUGCUCCAUUGCCAGAAAUGUGUCGUCUGUCGAUGUUCCUGGUGCCUCCACCUCGUUCGUGGCACUAGCCUUUGUCGUUCCCUUGGAAAGCGAGACAACAGGUCAAUCAAUCAACUAAGGCAAGAUAUUCUUUCUCGAGUUGUCUUUAUACACCUGUUCAUUCCUUUGACCUCUUGGACAUAAUAAAAAAUGUACCAUGUGUAGUGUCACUUUGUUUUUUGAUGCUCAUGUGAUUUUGUUCCUGGUGUUGUUUUCCCUUACUUUGGACAUACAUGCAAAACAUACAACACAUAGAUCUAAACGAUACAUGGAUGGAUUAUAUUUUUUCCCUGGUAGGUGUACAUGGGCAGACCAAGACUUUAUGAGUCUUCACCUAGGAAGCUAUCAGGAAAUCUACAGCCAUCGUCAUCUUCAUAGGCUAAUACAGCUAGAUCACAGGUGUUCGCUUUCACCAAGUUCAUACAACUACUUCCCUAACAAAUCUACCUCUCAAAUUGAUUUCUCGUACUUGUAAAUAUUCAUCUAGCGCAAAUCGAUUUCCCCUGGCUAGCGACCUAGUUUCCUCCGUUGGAGACACAGCACUGCCGGGAUUUAUCGUGUCACGGUGGAGCAUGGCGCAACGGCGAUGGGAAACAUAGACUGCCGCCAUAGCUCGUGCAUGGCUAGAUGAAGGCGCAAAGGAAUGAGGAAGGCGCGGGAAGAUGAAAUCGCGAGGAAUUGGGAGCGUCGGCAUCUGUGGAAAAAUGUGCAUCGUGGAGGUUGGGUUACGCACAUGACUCGAUCGGGAGCUAGACUAGGAAGCUAUUGUAUCUGUGUUUUUUUCUUUUUUCCCUAUUUUUUGGUUUAGGGAUUGGAUAUCGAGAAUUGUUGGACUUGCUCUUACAUCCCAAUGUGCAGUGUACACUACCGGACAUAACUGCUUUGUCCAGUGCUUCAGGCAAAGAAGAUAAUUUGUCGAGUGUUUGUUAGAUGACACUUGGCCAAGAAGAUAUUUUGCCGAGUGUCAAGGGCUGACACUCGGCAAAGUUAAUGGUCGUCAACUAUAGACGGCUACUGAUGGCCCUUUGCCGAGCGUCGCAUUUCGCCGAGAGCUUGACACUCGGCAAAGCCUCCUUUGCUGAGAGUUUGUCUAUGCCGAGUGUUUGCACUCUCAGCAAACUAGGUCUGUGUCGAGAGGCUUAGUUCACCGAGAGUGGCACUCGACAAAGCAUGCUUUGCCAAGUGCCCAAUAAUUUGCACUCGGCAAAGAGCCGGAUUCUGGUAGUGGUACGUUGGCCAUGACCAUGGUUUGAGAGAGGAGAGAUGUGUGUACUUUUUCGACUGGCCUCCUCAAGAACUGGCUUAACCUAAAACAUAACUUCGUUCUAUUACAUAUGUUCUACAUGGCUUGAUAUACAUUAUGAUACAAAGACGAAUCAUAGAUCAUAAAAGGUGCAAUUUAUUUGUAUCAAUUGCUUGUACAAGGGUUGCAUGAAAUCACCUUAAAAACUUAGACAUAUAAAAUAUAGGAAUACAGGAGAAGUGAUAAAUAAAACAACAAAAACACCAUAUGUAAUUCAAUACACUAGUGACACAAACACACAAAAAAACAUACAUACAAAGUUUUCUACACAAAUAGUAGCAUGCCAAGCGAGAUAGUGAGAAACAAUACACUUCACAGGUGAAUUGCUUUCUCGAUGGAUAGGACAAUAAUAGCAUGCUUGGUUUUCUCAUUCUCAAGGUGUUUGGCAACACGGCGAGCGUACUCUUUGAAUAACUUAUCGAGAAUGGGUUCUCCAAAUUGGCUUGCGACUAGCGGCUGCAUAACUGCUCGUAGGCACUUAGCAACAUUUUCAC
Molecule: long non-coding RNA, 128503 nt
Filed under: Zea mays
Lineage: Eukaryota; Viridiplantae; Streptophyta; Magnoliopsida; Poales; Poaceae
Description: long non-coding RNA (ZMAY_LNC005179)
Rfam family: Small nucleolar RNA Z247 (bases 71646-71784)
Source: RNAcentral